RNAcentral lists this long non-coding RNA (93071 nucleotides) under Malus domestica (apple). The record is from RNAcentral. Lineage: Eukaryota; Viridiplantae; Streptophyta; Magnoliopsida; Rosales; Rosaceae.
AAAUUCCAUGGGAGAAUUGAACAUGGAGGACAUGCCUCUGCCGGCACUUUUCGAGCAAGCUCGGAAGAUCCACCUGGGGGCGACGGAGUCCGGCGACGGUGUCGAUCAGGUACACUAAUCUACACCAUAAUUUCAUAGUCUCGUUCAUUUUUUUUCAAAAAGUUUUAAUUUUCGUUUUUGUUUCGUAAUUAAUUUAACUGAUUUGGGGAUUACUGGUAGGAGGAGAUUAGGAAGGGAUGCAGAGCCUUGGAGAAGUGCGAUGAAAUGAUAAGCAAUCUGGGUUUGUUCUCAGCCAAUGAGACCAAGGAGGAUAUCAGCACCACCAAUCUCAAAUAUCUUCUGGUAAUUCUUUUGGGUAUUUGUUUUUAAAGUCGAAAACUUUGAAUGAUUGUGAAAAAUCGGCAUUUAGUAAUCAUCUGAUGGAAUAGUUUGGAAAUUUUGGAUUUUUGGUUUGAAUUUAUUGAGCUAACUUGUGAUGGGGUUUUGAUUACAGGUGCCAUAUUAUCUAGGGGAGUUAAUCGAAAAGGUUGCGCAGGAUGACAGGAUAUCGGUUCUUAAGGCUUCCCAGGCUAAGUUAAAGGUGAAGCAUUUUCAUUAGUUACUUGCCGAAAAAGCAAUACUGCAGUGGGCAUGUCUUUGCAGUCUUGCUAGUCAGUGUCUUUGUAUCAGAAUAUGUGUUGAUUGGUUGGUUUCAGGGUUAUGUUCCUGUUAAAACUAACUAGGAUGGUGGCGUGUUGCAGGAGUUUAUUUCUAUUUGCGAGGCAAUGGAACUUGUUCCAAAAGAGGAGUUAGAAGCAUCUGCAAAAGAUGGCCCAAAUUCACAUGUUGAUCGAAGGGCACUGAAGGUACUUUAGUUUUCUUAUCGUCUUUUUUAAAAAAGCAUGAAGAUCCUAACUCAAAUUUCAUGGAUACUCAUGACUUUAAUAAUUGCAUUUUGUUGUUCUGCCGACUGUUUUACAUGUUGCGUGGCAGAACAUGUGAAAGUAUAGGCUUGGUGUUGUACUUUGUUGCUUAUGCUACUUGCUUCUGUAUCCAGAUUGCUCGAUUCAAAAGGCAAAGAGCUGCAGAAUCGAAAUUGCUGGAAAUUAAGGAGCGGAAAGAGCGAAGAGGGCGUUCAACUAAAGCAUCUGCCUUGUCAACUCGUAUUGAGGCAGGAGAGGAAGAUGUGCUGGAUGAUGACGGAGAGGAGGAGCGAGAGGUUUGUAGAUUUAUUAUUACAUAUCCUCUUUACUGAAAUGUUGAUUGGUUCUACAUCACAACGUUCUUGUAAGUUUACAGUUUAAUUACAUAAGCUGUCUAAUUAGAACCCUUGUUUUUGCAGGCUUGGUUUACUACAAUCUCUUUGGCAGUUAGUAAGGUUAGUUUAUAGCUUAAAGUAAUCCUCCACAUGCAGUUGUUUUUAAUUCACGUCAAUUCAUACUCAUGUCUUUCUGCCAUGCAAUCUUGUUCAGGCUUUUGAUCUGUUGGAGAUGCUAAAAAAAGAGGAAGAAAUGCUUGUAGCUUUUAAGGAAAGGCAAUCAAAGGUAUUAAUAUUAACACCGUAACUUAAGAUUGGUGACAUUUAUUGUAUUAUUAUCAGUGUUGGUCUUUGAGUUUCAUUACUCUGUCAUGAAUUCGCAAUUUUUGGUGAUAAUUAUGAGACGGAUAAAAAUUCUAUAGCAGCAUGCUAAAUGUUAUAGGAAAAAGCUGCAUGUCUCGCAACUAGACCUAUUUCUUUACGUGGUAGAUGGUUUGUCAGUAAACUUAAUACUAUUUAGUAAAAGAACCUCUGUUCUAAAAGCUUUUGUUUUUGUCAUGUAUUUCAGGAUGGUGGCAAGGAAUUUUAUCAAGAUGUUCUUGAUGAUCGUGCCAAGAGGGCCGAAGCUUGGCAUCGUGAUGCUGCAACCCGAGUGCAGUAUAGUAGACCAGCAGAGCCUAUCACCUGUGCAACUUUUGCUCAAGACGUUCUAGAAGGCAGAGCCAGGGUUUCGGAGAUGCAUGAACACAAACAUCAGCCACUAAUAUUUGGACCGGCAAGUCUUAUAGGUGGAAACCCAACAAGCGAGAGGGAAAGGAUGGCGGCUCAGGUUUUCCAGCCCAGUCACAGGUACACCUCCAUGUUCUUUUACUUUAAUGUGCCAAGCGUAAUUUAUCACGAGCUCAAAUGAUGGAAAUAUCUGGUUUUCGUGUUUGUGAUUGCAUCUUUCUUCGUGGCAAACAUAUCAUUUGAGAUGCUAAAUUAAAUUUACUGUGCGGCAAGGUUGCCGACCAUGAGCAUAGAGGAAGCCGGACUGAAGGAGAUGGAGAUAAUGAAUACGUGGCAAGAGAGGAACACGAAACUCAUGGAAGAAGCCAAUUCUGCAUGGUACAAGGAACCUAUGAAACCAGGACCACCACCGGAGGGGGAAGAUGAAGACGAUGAUGCCGCUCAAGACAGGGCGAGGGCUUGGGAUGACUGGAAAGAUGAUAAUCCUCGGGGUGCUGGCAACAAGAAGCUCACCCCCUGUGGAUAAAAUGGCACCUGCGGGAUUCUAAGAUUUUGAUUUAUCGCAAAUUAGAAAGUUUUGUAUUCGGUAUCGUUCUUGUUGUGACUGGAUUUACGUUAUGUAUAUUAAUGUCACCCAGAUAAUUUAUUUGAAUAAAAUAUUUUCUCAUAAUUGUUCUACAUUUUGAAUGUCAAAUUCAAAUUUGGUUAGGGUAAUUCUAUUAACAACCCACAAUCUUAUGAAUGCAUUUCAUGAUUUUAUUUUUUUCAGUUAAAUUUCUAUUUUUACUCUGACGAAUUAAGUUCUAAACUCCAAAAUAAACCCCAUCCACCCCCUUAUGCCGGUUGCCAACCACCACAGCGUUUGGGCAAAAUAUCACAACCACUCACCAUGCUCUCUCUCCAUACAUAUACAUAUACCAUAUACAUAUAUAUAUAUAUAUAUAUAUCCAAUCACCAGCCACUCACCGGUAGGUAAUAGGGAAUUGGGAGAUGAGGUGUGUGAAUCAAGAGUGAUGGGCAAUUCUCAGUCUGUUAGAAAGUCAGUCUUGGAUGUCAACUUCUGCGACGUGGAGGGUUUUUGGCUGUGCUGAUAUUGAUGACACCGUGGUCGUCGAGCUAGCUUUUUUGCUGUCAUUUGUUUAUGGGGAUGGGGUGGCUUCAAAAAAAUGGAGGACAAAGCUGGAAUUUUAGAGGCACAUUUUAGAUGUGGGGUGUAUUCAUAAAGAUGUGGGGUGCUAAUAAAACCACCCUUUGGUUAUCCUAGCACAUUGACAUAAUUGUUGACGGAAUGACGAGUUAGGGAAUUACAUUAAUUGAUUUUUAAAAUGAUGAGUUUCGAUCAAUUUUAGAACUACUUGCAAUAAAAAAGCGAAAACCAAAUUUAAAUACUGGUUGAUCCUGUCCACACAUCAUUUUUCUCUCCCGCAAGCACUUGUUAAUUUCUAUUUAAUUUUCUUCAAUUCAUUCGCACCGAUGUUCGAAUUCGACCCUUAUACAACGGAAUCAAGCAAAGAAGAUUUGGCUUCUUGGUCUUAUCUUGUUUUAGGUAAAGAAUCAAAUAAAGAGACAACUGUGGAGGAAGCGGAAAUAAAAUCCAGAAACAGAAACAAAUUCCGUUAAAGCUAACAAACAGUUUCUACUGGUAAAACCAAAUAUCAAGACAUCUGAGAAAUUACAACAUCAACUGAAAACAAUGGAAGGAAACUAAACACAAUGCCGGCAUAGUAAUCAUCUGUAAGUAUACACAAUUUGAUGCAGUACUUGGAAACGCUUAUCGCUAAUUGUAUAACACAAAAUGUAACUUAAGAUACGUACAAGAAGCCACCGGGAGGGCUGAGGAGACAGUUACCGGUACACAAUCGAAGCAGAGCCUGCGAACGCAUUGAUUUCGCCAACUUACCCCUCCGAGUGCUUGCUUGUAAUGUCACAGAAUUGUCAACCAUCUUCGAAGCACAAGCAGUCAAGCACAAUACAACACGGAAACAUCGAAACCUUCCAAAAUCCCCCGGAAUUCAACUGGCAAGGCACUUGAAUCCCCUGCAAACCCACAACCAAAUCCCAAACAACACGGCGCAAGCAAACAAGUCGAGCAUCAAAACCACCCAAACAUGCCUCCUCCAAACUUGCUUGGCCUUUUGGCGGUCACCCGAAUGCAAAGGAUCACUCUUUUGCGUUGGCAACGAAAAAUCCCUAAACCCGCAGCCAUUAGCAUCGUCGCACACAUCCACCUUCUUCUCCAUUGCAGUCACAUCUUUGCAAAGAUCGCCAUUAACCUCUCCAGAUAACCUCUUCUUCUUCUUCUUCAAACCUCCGUUCGGCUUGUUCCCAAGCAGUGGUGUCAGCACCAUGUUCUUCCCUUUACUCGCACUCAAGCUCAGAUUCCGACUGGCUGCCGGUGAAUUGGGCGAGUCCGAGGCCAUUAUUUUCUGAAUAAUCGAAUCGAACUGGACUUGCAAGCAACUGGGGGCAAAAUUAUCCCGAACCAAGAUCGACCCACUUCCACUAACCUCCUCAAAAUCCGAUUUCAACCGGUUUAAGAACGAAAGCGCCUCGGAUUGAUCGAGAUCAGCAUCGUAGAUAGCGAAAUACACAAAAGGGUCAUGAAUUGAGAAAAUGUAAGUUCUUUUUCUUACGGUGUGAGUGAACAUGGAAUGGUGAGGAGGGGCUAUCUCCACGCAUUGCUGCGCUAAGUCUCCGAGACCCGGCUCUUUCGAAAACUCGCCGAGAAUCGUGACCUUGUGGGCAAUGCAGGCGUAGAAAAUCAGAUUUGGAUUCGAAAUCAUCGAUUUGUUCUUCCAACAAAGCCGAAAAAUUUCAAGCUUUUCAAUCGGAGAUUCAAUGGAUGAAAAGAAAGAUGGGAUUUCGAUUCGGAAUCGAGUCCCAGAGGAUUUGCAUGCUAAAUCUGAGUCGUUUCGUGGGUGUUCGAUUCGGAAAGAUCGAAUCUUUCGAAUCCCCCACGACUUCGAAACGUUUCUUAUGAGUUUCUCUGCUACUCUCUCUCUAGAACAUUUCCCGGAGGAUUGGAUUUUCUUUUGUUUCUUUCUCUCUCUCUGGAAAUGCAGAAAUCUCUGUGUGCGUAAAAUAACUCCUCCGAUUGAAGGGAGGAAUCAACUGUUGGAAUGCGUGGGAAGCGAAGGGAAAAAGAAACGGAAUAACGGCUGCUUGUAAUCCAAGUGCCCUCGCUGGAAGGAUUUAUUAAGGAUGUGCCCUUCAAUUUGCAGCAACCAUUCUUGCAACUCUCUCCCUUGGGAAAGGGAUUCUCUUUGGAUCCUUUCCUCCUAAUUCAUUGAGUUCGGAGAUCUGGAUCAUUGAAUUUUGAUCUAACGGUUACAAACAGAAGUCCAUUUUAAAAGUUAUAAAACUUUAGCUGUUGAAUUUCAAUGGUCUGGAUCCCCCAGAUUUUGUGGAUUAGGAGAAAGGGAUCCGAGCGGAUCCCUUUCCUCUCCCUUAGAUCAUCUCCAACUCAUGGAAUAAAGCUUAAGAUAUAAGAUGUAAAAGUCCCCCAAACCAUCUCCAACCAUUGGGCUACAAUAACCUCUGAGAAAAAAUAUCUCUGUGCUAGAUUCCCCUUAUGAUUUAAACCUGGCUUAAAUUUAUUCUGGAUCCGCUAAACUAUCAUAUUUCAAUUAUUUUUUGUUUUCUAUAUAUAAUCUAAACGACUGUGAUAAAAUGAGAUCAACUAAGAAUUUGAUGGUUCAAAAAUAAAUAUAACGUCUAAAAUAAUUUAAGAAAAUUAUUUAAAUCAAAUUUAACUUAAAACUUUAUAAAUACCUAUGUACUUGUAUGAUUUUUAAUUACUUAUCGGAAAUUAAAUAUUUUUAAAUAAAAAUGUUCAUAAAAAUAAAUUAGGAUAAUAUGCAUAAAUUUUAUUUUCAAAAAAGUUACCCAAAAAAAAAAAGCUAAAAUCUUAUUUAAUAAUAUUGGGCUAAAAUUUUAAGCCAUAAAGGUUGAAGGAAAAGAGCAGUUUCUGAGUUAUACGGUUAUACCAUAAAAUUUUCUAGCUUAAAUUUGUAAGCUUUAUCCUCAAGGGUUGGAGAUGGUCUUAAACCUUCUCGUUUUAUUUUUUCUGUCUUUCUCACACAUCAUAAUGGAAGUAGGGACCAAGGUGGUCCCGGGAUCACUUGAAGUCUGGAAAAUAUAUAUGUGAAGGUCCUUUGAGGACCCUUCAAAUAUAUAGUAUGGGUCCUUUUUGUGUCGGCUAAAUAUUUGAUGUAAUACAUGCUAGGCAUAUCUCGAUAGGUUGCGUCGACAACACUCCAUAAAUUCUCUCUAUAUCACUCGUGACUCAUUAGAUUGCUUCGACGUAUGUCGUUAUCUGUUGACAUGUGCACAACAUGGUUUGGCUGCCGAUAACAAGACCGCCAAGAGUUCGACGAAAUGCCUAAGUGAAUAAACUUUCUUUUUUAGCACGCUUCGCCCUCUGUUGUAUUUAACAUCGAGACCCUCAAAGAUUCAAAUCCUGGAUCCGCCACUAUAUCAUACAAUGGUGUUUGCAUUCUAGGUUAUCUUUUAUAGCUCAACUCAGGGUGGAUGAGGACAAGUCAAGACGUGACAAACAAACAUGAGGAAUCAUAUAAUAGUAAUUGAUAUGUUGUAAAUUAAGGAAUCUCAUCUAGAGUAUUGUAAAGUAAAGUUAAUUGUGAUGUAAAGGACAUUCCUCCUUAUCUUAUGUAAGUAAUGGAUAAAAGAGGAAGAUGUCUUUUGUCCCUUGAUAGUUUUACGAGAGGUUCGGGGGAGUUCUUCCUCGGCCUAUAAAUAUGUGUGUAUACUCUGUAAGAAGAUAGACUUAAAUAGAAAUUAGUUCUUUAUAUAAACUUCUCCCGAGUGAAUAUCCUUAUUUGAGUCAUCCUUAGUAAAGAUCCUUAAAUUGAUGAAAUGUAAAAUCUCUCUAUUUGGAUUUAGCUAACCUGGGACUCGGUCAACAACACCAAGAAUUGGUGUCCAAAAUCUAAAUUAAAUUUAGGAAACAUGUGGUGCGAGUAGAAUGACUCUAACUUUGACUUAUAACGAAUGUUGUAAAAGUUCUCAAAAUCGAUUUGAAAACUGUGGGUUAUAUAAUAACUCACAGUUUUUUGUGAAAAAAAAAUUGAAAUUUUUAGUUUUAGGUAAUAUUUUGCGUUAGAGUUAAGGAAAUUAUUGGAAGACCUUUGGACGUGAUCCUACCGUUUAUUGGAUCCCGGAAGUAUUUUUUAUUGAUUUUUAAAGUUGAAAAAUAGAAAAAUAUCUUUAAAUUUAGGUUCUAAAUCCUUGAUUUCAAGUGUUUAAAUAUGAAUUGUAAUAGAUUUUGCAUAGAAAAUAUAUUUUGAAGAACAUGAAUAUGAUAGUUUGUUGUUAUGGUAAGAGAAAUAAAAGAAAAAUUAACCAAAAUAAUAAAUAUAUAAAAAGUAAAUAAAAACACUGAAAAAGAAAAAAAUUUGAAGGGGAAGAUCGGUAUGAUGAUAGCGACUAGGGUCGACGUAUGUCGCUAAGUUCUAGCGACGUUUCUCAAAGAGAAUCGGUAAUAUCUACCGAUCAUAUACUUUUUUUUUCUCUCUUUUUUUUCCAUUGAUUUUUUUGUCUUCCUAUGUUACUUUAUUUAGAUUCAAAUACCUUUAGAUGUAGGUUUAUAUUUAUAUUCUUGUUUUCAAAUUUUUUAACAUGGAUUAUAAGAAAAAAUUUCAUUGAAAUACAUUUUGUAGAAUACAAAGAUGAUAGUUUGAUGUUGUGGUAUGGGAAAAACAAAAUUUAACAUAAAUAAAACAUAAAAUUAAUAAAAUUAAUGGUUUAGGCGUAGAGAGAUGUAGCCCAAACUCAUGCCCACGGGAAGGCCCAAGGCACAUCAGAAGCAAUAGAGGCCCAUGAGAUUUAGGGUUUAAGGGUGUGUGAAUAGUAACACCUUGAGUUCAAGUGUUUAGGGGCGUGUUAAUAAUAACACCCUGGGUUCAAGUGUUUAGGGGCAUGUUAAUAAUAACACCCUGAGAUCAGAAUUUUUACUCAAAAUUUCCGGUUCUUUUGUUUCUUUCUCUCUCUGGAAAUGCAGAAAUCUCUGUGUGUAAUAUAUCAAGGGUUUAGACUCCUCGGAUUGAAGGGAGGAAUCAACCGUUGGAAUGCGUGGGAAGCGAAGGGAAAAAGAAACGGAAUAAUGGCUGCUUGUGAUCCAAGUGCCCUCGCUGGAAGGAUUUAUUAAGGAUGUACCCUUCAAUUUGCAGCAACCAUUCUUGCAACUCUCUCCCUUAGGAAAGGGAUCCUCUUUGGAUCAUUUCCUCUUAAUCCAUUAAGGUUGGGGAUCUAGAACAUUGAAUUUUGAUCCAACGGUUACAAACAGGAGUUCAUUUGAAAAGUUAUAAUAAUUUUAACUGUUAGAUUUAAAUGGCCUGGAUUUGGUGGAUUAGGAGAAAGGGAUCCGAAGAUGAUCCCUUUUCUCUCCCUUAGACCAUCUCCAACCCAUGGAAUAAAGUUUAAGAUAUAAGCUGUAAAAUUCUCCCAAACCAUCUCCAACCAUUGGGCUACAAUAAACCCUGGGGAAAAAAUAUCUCUAUGCUAGAUUUCCCUCAUGAUUUAAACCUGGCUUAAAUUUAUUCUGGAUCCACCAAACUGUUAUAUUUUGAUUAUUUUUUGUUUUCUACAUAUAAUCUAAACGGCUGUGAUCACAUGAGAUCAACUCUAAGGAUAAAAAUUUGACGGCCCAAAAUUAAAUAUAACGUCUAAAAUAAUUUAAGAAAAUUAUUUAAAUCAAAUUUAACUUAAAACUUUAUAAAUACCUAUGUACUUGUAUGAUUUUUAAUUACUUAUCAGAAAUUAAAUAUUUUUAAAUUAAAAUGUUCAUAAAAAUAAAUUAGGAUAAUCUACAUAAAUUUUAUUUUCAAAAAAGUUACUGAAAAAGAAAAAUAAAGCUAAAAUCAUUAUUUAAUAAUAUCGGGCUAAAAUUUUAAGCCAUAAAGGUUGGAGGAAAAAACCAGUUUCUGAGUUAUAGCUUAAAAAUUUUUAGCUUAAAUUUUUAAGCUUUAUCCUCAAGGAUUGGAGAUGGUCUUAAACCUUCUUGUUUUAUUUUUUGUCUUUCUCACACAUCAUAAUGGAAGUAGGGACCAAGGUGGUCCCAGGAUCACUUGAAGUCUGGAAAAUAUAUAUGUGAAGAUCCUUUGGGGACCUUUCAAAUAUAUAGUAUGUGUCCUUUUUGUGUCGGCUAAAUAUUUAAUGUAAUACAUGCUAGGUAUAUCUCGAUAGGUUGCGUCGACAACACUUAGUAAAUUCUCUCUAUAUCACUCGUGACUCAUCAGAUUGCUUUGACGUAUGUCGUUAUCUGUUGACAUGUGCACAACAUGGUUUAGCUGCCGACAACAAAACCGCCAAGAGUUCGACGAAAUGCCUAAGUGAAUAAACUUUCUUUUUUAGCACGCUUCACGCUCUGUUGUAUUUAACAUCGAAACCCUCAAAGAUUCAAAUCCUGGAUCGAUGACCAUAUCAUACAAUGGUGUUUGCAUUCUAGGUCAUCUUUUAUAGUUCAGCUCUGAAAAACAAUCAUCAAAUCAUGAACAUUUAACUAUUUAAUUGGUAUGAUAAAAUUUGAGUAUAUAAAUAAGAAACAUAGUUCGUUUAUUCAUUAAAAAACAACUAGAUGGCUAAAUAAUUUUGAAUUCAUUAAAUUUUUUUUACAUAGAUAUUCUUUGAAAAUGAUAAAAAUAAAUAAAUAAACACUUCCAAUCAUAAAAAAAAACAUUGUAGUAUGCGAAAGAAAAAGAAAUGAGUUCAAAUAAGAAGGUUAUUAGUACGUGUUUUUAUUAUUUUUCAAUAGAGAAAGAAAAUAUUAUAUUAUAUUUUAGUUGAAAGAUAUAAUAUAAAAUAAUAUUGUAAAAAUAAAAGUUAUUAUAUCGUGUAAUGUGGAAGGUUCGGUUCGGCGCUCGCUGGCCUGGUUGAUGCAAGCACAUGUUAUCCAUUGUUUAUAUUUUGCUGUGGGGCACGAACUUGUAUGCUUCGCAUGGCGGUGCUGUGAGUUGGCAAAGCAUAAAAUUGCAUUGGUAAAUGAUUUCUAUGUUUAUUCGAAAAAUAGUGUUACUUGAGAGAACAUCUAUUUGAACCGUAUUUUAUAAAAUUAUAUUUUGUCGAUUAUAUUGAGAAUGAGAGUAAGUGGAAGAAGAUUGGCACAUAGGACGCAGCUCUCACUUUCUUUGCAUUUCCAUGGCACUCGUGCUUAUUUUUAACGUUUGAAUUGAAAUCGAACAAGAAUCAAAUACGGAGCGUAAGACUUGGAGCCAAAGUUGUGGUUAGGAAAAGGCUGAAAUACCUCUGUGAGUCUUCCCAACUCCAGAAAUGAUGGAUAACCGUAACUUCCCACCAGUUGUCCCUCUUUUUUAUUUUCUUUUUUAAAUAUGGAGAGUAAAAAUGAGAAAAUGUAUAAUCGUUUCCCAUAAAAAUAUGAGUUUAUAUGAAACACUCCUGGUACUGUUCAUUUUUAACAUUAAAGACAUUUUUAGCCUAAAAAGUCACUUCCAGUACUAUUCACUUACACAUUUAUUUUAUCAUUUUGAUUAAAAUUAAAAUUUUUGAGAACUUUUCGUUAAUUUUCCUUAAAAAAUAGGAUGUGGAAAGUUGAACUUGAUAGAUAACAUGCUUGUACUGAGACCAAAAGUUUUAUAAUAUAACUAAAUGAAUAAUUAUUCUUUUUCUCUAAGUAUUAGAAUAAUCCAUCUUUCUGGUAGAGAAGUCAACCCUUGGGGUUGACUUGCUUAAUUUGCAGAAAGCAUUCAGAACAGAUAACUAAUCCCAUUUCUUAUACCAACUAAAGUAUAACAUAAUUUGGAAGUGCUUUUAAAAUGACCGAAAGUGUUUUUGGUGAAAAUAUUGUCGGAACCAACCUUCAAUAAAAAUGCCAGUGAAUUCCAGCAUAUCAAGUGCUUUUAGAACCCAAAUUUUUUUUUCUUCUAAAAGUACAUUCAGUCAUUUUAAAAGCACUUCCCAACGAGUCCAAUGUCUCUACUAAUCAAGGCUCAAAAGGAUGAGACUGCUCUUAUCACAUGUAAUGGGGAGUGAAACUGCAGGAUGCUUAUUAAUUUGCACUCGGAUGAAUCAGAAUUAAUAGUUUUACGCCUGUAUAUACCUACCACAUCGACAACCGAAAAACAACGAACAUGAAACAUGAAACGAAAAACUUAUCUGUUGCAGUGUGUUGGAUCUCUCAGCUGACGGAUAAUAAAUAGAUUACCCUAUACAUACGACUGAAGCGCGAAAUCAUUUGGUCGUUGUUCUUCAUCUCUCGGUCUUUCUUUUGUUUUCGAGUCGUUUACUUGACGUAGGGCGGAUCGAUAAAGGCCCAUCCGAAGACCCGCUCGUACUUGAUUGCGGCACUUUCCCAUGUGAAGUCUCUCUCCAUGCCUCUCUUCAUCAAUCCCUCCCAGGAAGGCUUGUACUCUCUGAAUGUCCUACAAGCAAGUUUUAGUGCCUGCAAUGGAUUAACCGUGAGUCAGUACGGCGGAAAAGAUUUUCAACAUUAAGUUUAGGUCGAAUAAACUCCUCGAAACUAUAUGAACAUCCAACGUACUCGCUUCUUUGAUAUAGAACAUUGUAAUAAUCGAUGUUUGGGUUUAAAAAACGCAAAAGGUGAGAGACGUAGAAGAAAAAACUUACCGCCAACAUACUCUCUUUUGUUAAUGGAGAAAAGGUCCACCUGCCAAUGUAGUCCACAAUGAUGCUACAAGUAAGAUUCUACGAAAUUUUUGUAACAGGAAACUAUCAAGGAAAUGCGUUGAGCAAUAGAGUCGAGUAAUAUACCCUGUCCCGUCACCCUUGCCUCCUUGAGCAUAUGGAUUGAAAUUCACUACUGUAUCCUGGAAGACAAGUAACAGAAAGCAUCUAAGAAAGAAGCAAUGUGAUGAGGAACGUGAUGAACCAGAUUUCAUUUUUCAAGUAUUUAAACUCACUCUAAGUCCUCCUGUGCUAUGAACCACUGGUACAGUUCCGUAUCUCAUUGCAUACAAUUGAUUUAGUCCACAAGGCUCGAACCUUGACGGCAUCAAGAGUAUGUCACAGCUGGUAAUUCCAGGUUCGGGGUCAAUAUGAUGCACAUAUGUAGUAAAAGCCUAAACAAUGAAACACAAAAUCUUGAAUUACCCUGCGGUUAUUCUAUGGGAAACUGGAACAUUGAAUCCAACCCAACCCCGGAAUUUAUCUUUGUAAGUUGCUUCUGUUGCUCUCAUCCAAUCUUCACACACUGGGUCCCCAGAUCCCAGCAUAACCUGAAACAUAUACAUACCUUCUCAGUAAAAACUAAAAACGUUAAUGUUGAAAGUUGGGAGCAAGCUACUUAAAAUAACAAUACCAAAAUCAAUGGAAAAGAGAAAAACUCACAAAUUGCACGUCAUCUUCCAUAAGCUGUGGCAUUCCUGACUGAAUCAGGUCAAUACCUUUCUGGUAGUCCAGUCGUCCAACGAAUCCAAUCUAUAAAUUUCAAAACUCGGAUCAAUAUUAGGAGCGGAGUAUAAAUCGUAACUGAAGCUGAGCAUAAGUAGACAUUAAUGUCUUAUGUCUUACCAAUGGGCAAUCCGGCCUAAGGGGAAGACCUAACUCCUUUUGCAAAGCAAGCUUGCACUGAACCUGCAGCCGGCACACAAGAACGGUAAGAGAAUUAUAGUAUAAUAACACCAUAACGCCCCAUCUUAAAAUGGUAGAUUUAGCCACCUUUCCGGAAAGAUCAUCAGCAGAAUAGUGGGAAGCAGUGUGUACAUCAGUAGAUGGGUUCCAUUCAACCACAUCGACCCCAUUGGUGAUUCCUGUCAUAUGGUAUUAUUCCAUUAAUUGAGGGUUAUUCUCCUUGAGCAUGGCACACGGUAAGCUAGACAAUGAAAUAUGAAGUUCAAGUGACGUACCAGUAAGAACACUCUUUCUACUGCUUAGUAGCUCAUUUAGACCAUAUCCACCUUCAACGGUUGUUAUUUCCCAGGAGUAGCCCUACAAUUCAAAGGCAUAAUUUAAACAUGAGAUAUAAGAAGAAUAGCACGAUGAAAUAUAUGGAGGCACAUGUCUGUUUGGAAAGUUUUGAAAACGCUAUAAUCUUCAUCAUACAAGUGGCCUAAAGAUUUUGCAAUCAUUAUUAUACGAACAAGAUGCAAUGAGGACGAAAAAUCCGACAACAGGUCUUAUUACUGAUCACCAUAAAAACGUUUGAUGCUUCAUUAAAUGAGACACAACAAAGACUAUAUAUGGAAUACAACUGACCUCGCUGACUGUCAGAAUCCGAUCAGAUGUCACAAUUGCACCCUUCAGGAUGUUCACUGCUUCACCUUUGUCAAGAGCAUGGGCCCUUGCCCAUGUUGGAAACACCCAUUCCAGUGCUCCGUACCACUCUGCAGGUAGCCCCAAAUUCUUGUAUGUUACUCCUGGUUCCACUCCCUUGCAUAUCAAAAGACGACGUUUAAUAAAGCUGAUCGGAUAUAUGACUAAAGAUUGAUAAUAAAACAAACAAACAAAAUGAAGGAAAGAAAAAGCAUCAACCUGAUGUGCAAGGUUAUGAAUUACAAGAAUACUCCGUGCAUCCUUAUAAACUCCAUAUGGACGAUACUUGGCAGCCAAAAGCCUGAAACAGAGGGACAUGUAAUGAUCAGAAGUCCACUAUCAGUAUGUUUACCCGAAAAAACGAAAAGAUAGAGCAAUAUAGGAAAGAUUUAAAACAAAAUAAUAUAUAGCUAAUUCAUUUAAUUAGUUGAAACUACUUACAAUGGCACAAGGCCAGCAUGCCAGUCAUUGACGAUGAACAGGCUUUUCUCCCCAUAGGUGAACCCUCCCAAUGGAAGCACUAAUGGUGCUUCACAUGCUGCAUGGCAAAGUAAAGUGAACCGAAACUGUAAAACCAAAUGAGAAUAAAACGUAUCAUUAUUUGUGAAUAAAACAGGAUACUACUUAAAUGAUAUAUCCAUUACGUACAACUUUUCAGUUCAAAACUAUACCUGAUUGUCAUCAAAUGCACCCAAACUAUCACCAUAUGGACUUCCAGGUCUGUGAUAAGACGGAUGGUCCACGAAUACCUAAUGACGAUAGGAAAAUAGGUCAUCAUUGGCAAAAAUUCUAUCAGUCGGGAGAAGGCCAAACUGUUUAAAAAGGGAUAAACUAGAACACAAGAAGUAUCCCCAAUAUCUUACCCAAUCAACACCUGCCCUAUAUUCAUGGUAGAAAGAAACUUCUUGCUCUGCACCAAAGCAGUAAACCUUGACGCGGGUUUCCAAAUCAACAGCACCAGAAUAUUUCCGGUCUGCAGCAGUACCGUUUUGAUAUCUAGGAGAGACAACCAUAACACGGUGUCCACGUGCUGCUAGAACAAUAGGCAAAGAACCGCAAACAUCUCCUAAGCCUCCUGUCUUCGAAUAGGGCGCAGCUUCGGCACUAACAAACACAACAUUGUACGUUACACUUGCUUUGGAUAUUUCUUUGCCAUCUAUUUCCACUGAUUCUUCCCCUCUAACAGAACUUACAUCUUCAGGCGAGUCGAUGACAUUGAGUUCACCUGCAGUAAAAUAUCAGAUGGGCCCCACAACUAAUUCACAAACAAAAUUUAAAAUAUCUCAACAUGCCGGGGUUUGGAAGUAUUCCUCAAAAUUUGCAGUAUUACUCGAUUCAACCAAUGAAAAUGCAGCAUUCGAUCACGAACGGAACACUGUACAUGCUAUGAGGUCCAGAUAUGGGGACCAGAGUGGAAAAUAUACAAUCUGAGGUGGAGACCACAAGAAAUGCAAGGACCUGGAGCCCUCACAUGCAAAUUGAUGUGGACAUCCAAAACCAAGGAUGCCUCACAAUUCACAAACAGGUGAAGACUCCAUCAAGCACCACCAUACACUCAAUAUAGCAAACUUUUGACACAUCACAAAUCUCUUAUCGAACCAAACGCAAUGAUUUUCGGAAGAGACGUGGGUUAGAUAGUUGGCCAUGACAGUGUCCCUCCCCGUAAAUCAAAGUUUAGAAUAUCGCUUUGCAAGACAAAAAAGCAAUGAAUUUUAGGAAACUGAAUUGGGGCAAGCAUCAAUUAAAAUCUAAACCACAUUUACUCCAUAUUUACCAACCAAUGCAUCAAAUAAAACAUCUAUCAUCAUUUCGAGGUUAGGAUGUGUCUCCAUCAGCAUGCCACAAAAUGUAAUCACAUUAAAAUCUUUCUGGUAACAGCAUUCAAAUUUGUACUCAAAUUUUCCAGUUUAAAAAACAAAAAGGAUCAGAAUUUCGACUGCAACAAAAGGGUUUUUUAAUCCAAAAACAAAUCAAUCAUUAAAAAAACUUCAAAUGUCUCAAAUAAUCCACCAAACCAAUCCAAAAACAAUGAAACAGCAGGAGAAUUUAUAAAUAAAUAAUCAAAACCAAGCCUGAGCAUUUACCGUUGGGAGGAAUCAAGUUAAACCCAAUAACAGCGCCGGAACCAUCUCUCUCGGCGCCCAAAAAAACACCCUUUCCGUCCUUCUGCUGGUCUUCCACCGCCGAAGCGCCGUCCUGCCCGCCACCGCCACUUCCGCCUGCAACCGACGCUCUCAGCCGCAGACAAGCGGCUCCCCUCCUUUUCCACAGAGGAGCAAAACCCAGUUGCCCGAUCGCCUCGUGAUUCGCGUAUUUAUUUGGAAUCGGAAUUAAAGACGACGAUUUGCAUGGGAUCAAGCUAGUGAAUUUCAGAGACCCCAUCAAAGUCUGAGAGUUCUAGAGAGAUAAAGGGAGGAGAGGAGAGAGUGUAGAGACUGGAGAGAGAGAGAGAGAGAGAGAGGACCCGAGUCCGAUAUAGGACGGAAGGAAUCGAGAUUUACGUUUGACGGAACAAAGAAGAAAAAAGCAGGAAGAAAAAGAAGGAAGUCACACACAAACAAGGAACCACGCACAUCUGUUGGGUUGGGAUCAGAUAUGUGCGAUCCAGAAAAAGCGCCAAACCCAGAAACUGAUUCCCAGUUCUAAACCACCAGAAAUUUUUCAUUCUUACCGUACGACUGUUUUAUCACGUAUUUUCGUAAAAGUGAGAGGAAAUUUUAUUUUUUAAAGCAUUAACUUUUUAACAAAUAUAUUUUACGAGUUGUAAAAAAUUAUACUUUAAUAAGAUGAUGUCACGUGUUAGGAGAUAAGAAAUUAGUUUUUGUAGGAUACGAAAGAUUUUUCAGUAUGAUUAUCACAUGAAGUGGUAAAUUACGUGUUUCCGUCACAAUUAAAAAUGUAUAGUAAGUACGACGAGGUAAGAUCGCGAUUGGCGAAACGGCUUUUGAUGUCGGCCAGUGACGUAAGUGAUUGUGAUUAAGAAGGUGGACGUGGCGUGGGCAGAAAGGAACACGUGUAAAGGAGUAAAUUGGUGAGUAGAAGAAUGAGAGACACAUGAUGCCAGAGGUAAAGUGAACCUAACUUGAUGUCGGCCUGUAAGAACACUUGUUGAAGGCUCGAACAAUUUUGUCCUUCUCUCAGGUCACAUGAAUUUAUUUUGCGUGUGGAGGUAAUGAUUUUCACACUUUCGUCUUUUUUUUUUGGCACUUCUUUUAUAUGUUUUGCCGACGAGUUUUCUUUUAAUUAUCUUAAUUAAUUUAAGUUUUUUAUUUAAAAUGAUCUAUGAGAUUGAUAUAACUUUUUACUUUGGUCUAUAAGGUUUAAAAUCGAUAUAAAUGGUUCUUGAGAUUGUCUAUAGUUAAUUAUUUUGAUCAUCGGUGACAAAUCUCGAUUAAAUUGAGGAUAUUUUGUCAAAUCCACCCCUCAUUUUGGACUGCUGGUUUCUUCAAUUUAACGGAGAUUUUUUUAUAGAAUGACCAAAAUGUUUGACGAUGAACAAUUUCAAGAACCACUUCUAUCGAUUUUAAAUCCCAAGAACAUGAGGAGUUAUGACAAUCUCAAAGACAGUUUUGGCUAAACAGCCAUUAAAACAAAAAAAAUCCAAUGUAGAUCACCUAUGGACAUAGAUUAAAUAGCCUUUGAACCGUUAGCUAAGAAUUCAUCUAUGAAUUUCGGUUCAUGCUAUAGGCCAAUCCAUACUAUACAUCCAUAGAAAAAGAAUAAAUUUGUAUAAGAUUUUCUCUCUUUUUUUUUCAAAAAAAAUACAUAUCAUGAGACACAGUGACAUAAUUUUAUAUAAUAUUUCACAAUAUAUAUAUAUAUAUAUAUAAUUAAUACAAAACCUCGUGGAUCCAUGGCCAUAAAAUAAAUAAUACGAUGUUUGUUCAUACAUCAUAAGCAAAAAAUGUCUUGCAAAUGGAAAAUUUAUGUCACACCAAAUUAACUUGCACCUAACCGAAAGUAUGUCUCCAACCAUGAACACCAAGCGGCAGGUCCCAAUCCUCACCAUGGGGUGAAUCAGGCCCAAAGCCCACAGCCCCCCUAGCAUGCCCACGCGGACCAUUACUUUUCGGGCCUGGGCUUCUUGGGCUACUCGGGAUCAGGUAGUUUGCUGUACCUCCACCCGAGCUCGGCGAAUAGCAGCUCGACCCAACAACCGACCCCUUCCUUGUUGAAGGGUUCCAUUGAGGAGUUGCCGGGCUACACUGCUUGCCCAAGCCUUGGCCCCGAACCUUAGCCUUGGCAGAUUGGGUCGGGGACAUGUAACUAGGGACGUUAUUCGACCCUUGUUGGCGGCGUUGUCGGGUUGGAUACGCGUAUGAAUCAAUCAUGUCUGGAUUGAGUGGGCUCAUAUUGACGUGAGGCGAGCUUGAAGGUGCGGCAGUGUCCAUUUCAACUCUCUUCUCAUACAAGUUAUUUCUUGUAGUUGUAGUGGUGAUGGGUGUUUUGUAAGAGGUAUCUCGAGUGCUUGAGUGGCAGUCUUGGUAGGGUUGUGAUGACAUCCAUUGCUCGAGCCAAUUCCAUCCCCAUUGGGCCUUAUCAGGCAUAUUGGAUUCAAGCCCAAAUUCAGGUCCAUCAGGAAUGGAUUGUAGAAGUUGUUGUUGUCUCUGGUAAACAAAAUCGACACUUUAUCAAACACUGUCACGCAAAAUAAAAAAGAAUUUUUUCAGUGCGAUCGUCUCAAAAUCACUUACAUGAUAACUAUAAGCAUAAGCGAGAGCCCUCUCUCUUUGCACCACAGCAUCAUUUUCCUUGAAACUUUGAUGCCUUUGAUGCCUAGUCCUAUUCGUAUUUUGCAUUUCAUAUUUUCUAAGAGGACUCUUGAGCUUUUGCUCUUCCUCCUCCAUUAAUGCUCUUCUUUCUUCUUCUUCGUCUUUCUGAUCACGAUCCUUCUUGUGAUGCUUGUCUUUGGUUAAUUCGAGUCUUCGAGCUCGUACUCUUGUUUGCACACGCACUAAUGCCUGCAUGCAUCGCAUUGUCAUUUGCGCUUGCUUUCGUACGUUAUACCCUCUCACCAAUGCUUGCAACCUCACCAAUCCCUUCAACGCACGUAGCGCGCGACGAGCCUACAAAAUAAUUGAUUGGUCACGAAUUAUCUCAGUAACAAGGUGAACAUACAAUUAGGGUUUUGAUGUCAUAUAGAUCCUUGAAGUACAAUUUUAGAACAAUGUACAAAAAUAUAGUAAAGAUUAAGGUAAAGGGUAAUUACUAGGUAUCCUCUAUAAUAUGACUGAAUGAAGAUUGCAGCUCUUUCUUCCCUAGAGUGACGCCCGUAACCGGCCAAUCGGACAACUUUAGUGGCGGCCCGUGCUGCGGCAACAGCAGCUUCAGCAGCAGCAGCAGUUGCCACAGCAACAGCAAUGGCAUGGCUUCUAUCUUGACGAUCAUUAUUCAGAGGAGUUGACGACUCAAUGGUUCUCUCAUCGUUCGUGACGUCCGGUGAGCUCUCUGCCAGAAAAUGCUCAAAUGACACCACUUCUGCUGCAUCGUGCUGGCAUUUCUCACCGAUUUCCUUCUGAGAUUAAAUCAUAGUACGUAACAAGUAUCAUAAUUAGCACUAAAACUAGCACUUAAUUAACAAAUAAGUUAACUAAUAUUUAUUGAUGUGAUGGGUUAGGUGGCAUGACAAUAAUAAGUCACGUCGAGUCAUGUGCCUAGCCAGGAAAGAUAUAAAGGUUAUAGUUACAGUAUUAUGUAUGCAUAUGGGGAUGGUGAUAGGGGACCAUAUAGUGUUGGGGCAUGCAUCUUGGUUGCGUUCCUGGUCCUAAAAAUGCCAGAGCCAAAAGGGUAGCUCAUGCAUCUUUAAUGUGAGGCAAACCAUCUCACUUCACCCCCAAACAAACAAAGGUCACGAUCUUGAUAGUUGAUAUGUGUUUUCUUCUAUAUAUCCAAUCCAAAUCAUUAAGUUAAUCAUAGCUCAUAUUGGUUUGUAAUAAGAUUACUAGAAGACAUUAGUGAUUCAUGAACACAAAUUAUGCAUACAAAUUCGAGUUAUAUAACGGCAAAACAAUGUGCUCACCUAUCUGUAUCUAAGAUCGAAUCAUCUCCAACAACAACGAAAAAACUUGAAUCCCUUUUUCAAUAAUUUAUCUUAAAUCAUAAUAUUGCUUAAAUAAAAAAUGGAUUAAUUAGGUAUAAUAAAUUGUAUCAUUGCUUGCCUUGUUGGUGUGAUCAUGAUUAGUACAAAAACUUAACAGAAAAUAAAUUGAAAAGAAAAAAUAAUUAUGUGAAGAACAACUUUUUCUUACGAAUUAAGAAAUUAUAUGAAAAACUAUUUGAAAACUUGCCAAGAAAAAUGAAAGAAUGGAAUUAAGAGAAAACCUUUUUGUCAGGCGAGUCCUUAGUAGAUUGUUUGAAAACUUUCUUGACGGAGGAGAACCAGCCGCUUCCUUUCUUCCCCAUCUCCGGCCUGCCGGCCAAAAGAUCAACUUCUUAUUGCCGCCAUCAUAUUGCUCUCAUCUCACGAGAGCGCAUGCACACAUAUAUAUAUUUCCGAGUUCAGACAUAUAUAUAUAUAUAUAUAUAUGUAUGUAUGUAUGUAUGUAUAUGUAUGUAUAUGUUUGUUGGGAAGUAGCCUCUCUCACAAAUUAAACUGAGAAAAUGAGCUGAUAAUAUCAAGACUGAAGAGAUCUAGAGAGUGAAAAAGAUGUCUGAGAGAGAGAGAGAGAGAGAGAGAGAGAGAUGGAGGGCCGAAGGGGAAGGGAGUAGUAGUUUUGUGAGGGUGCGCAAUCGCAGUUACUAUUUAACGAUUUCACGUGUGAAUCGAUCUUGUAGAAAUUUGGAGCUACUUGUCCAGUACUAGUUACUACCUACAUACAUCAUGCAUACGUAUAUAUGGUGCAGUUGGGGCUGACCCAAUUUGGCGAGAAAUUUUUCAAUCCGGACACAAAAAAAAUCAGUUCGAGGGUUAAAUUAAAAUAUAGAUAAAUAGGGUGUUAUUUGCAUACCUUUAAUGAUAACUAAAAGAUGAGCACACACUUUAUGUGUGAACAAUUUCGUUUUCUUUUUUGUUUUUGAUUAAGGAGUGUGAUUAGUGUAACAUCCCACAUCGCCCAGGGAGUGAUCCUUAAAUGUAUAUUCUCAUCCCUACCUAGCACGAGGCCUUUUGGGAGCUCACUGGCUUCGGGUUCCGUCGGAACUCCGAAGUUAAGCGAGAAGGUGGCUAGAGCACUCUCAUGAUGGGUGACCCACUAGGAAGUUGCUUGUGAGUUCCCAAAAACAAAACUGUGAGGGCGUGGUCGGGGCCCAAAGCAGACAAUAUCAUGCUACGGUGGUGGAGCGGGCCCGGGAAGUGAUCCGCCCAGGGCCGGGAUGUGACAAUUGGUAUCAGAACAUAACCCUGGCCGUGGUGUGCCGACGAGGUCGUCAGGCCCCUUAAAGGGGGUGGAUUGUAAUAUCCCACAUCGCCCAGGGGAGUAAUCUUUAAAUAUAUAUUCUCAUCCCUACCUAGGUGGAUUGUAACAUCCCACAUCGCCCAGGGGAGUAAUCCUUAAAUGUAUAUUCUCAUCCCUACCUAGCAAUAGGCUUUUUGGGAGCUCACUGGCUUCUGGUUCCGUCGGAACUCCGAAGUUAAGCGAGAAAGUGGUUAGAACAUUCCUAUGAUGGGUGACCCACUGGGAAGUUGCUCGUGAGUUCCCAGAAACAAAAUCGUGAGGGCGUGGUCGGGGCUCAAGCGGACAAUAUCGUGCUACGGUGGUGGAGCGGGCCUGGGAAGUGAUCCGCCCCGGGCCGGGAUGUGACCCAUCAGGAAGUUGCUCGUGAGUUCCCAGAAACAAAAUCGUGAGGGCAUGGUCGAGACCCAAAGCGAACAAUAUCGUGCUACGGUGGUAGAGCCAGCCAGGGAAGUGAUCCGCCCAGGGCCGGGAUGUGACAAUUAGUUUUUAAAAUUUUUAAAAAUAGUAUGAGACAAUGAUGAAGGACAUAUUUUUCUUAAUAUUACAUAAUUAUCAUUUUGCCCUAUUUAUGUAAAUAUUUUGUAUCAAAAGCAAAGGUAAAAUAUAAAAAAUAGGGAUAUGAUUAUAAUUUUGUCAAAAGGUACAAAAUUACUAUUUUGCCCCCCUUUUUGUCAAGAGUGUGUAUUCAUAAGUGAGGGCAAAAUUGAAAAAAAAAUGGCAAAAAGUUGACAAUGAGGGUUCUCUUAAUAAUAUAGAAUAGAUAUGGUAUGAUCGUCCAUAGUCAAGAAUUUCUCUAAUUGGAUUUCUACAUUUAGAUAGGGUAUUUGUAUUUUGUAAUAAAGUGGUAAAGGUUUUGAUGUAUAUUUACAAAUUAUUAAACCUUUUUUUGUUCAACAUACAAACUACCAAACUUGUACAAGAAACAAAAGCAAAAGACUUUCCCUACCAAGUAUUAAUUUAAGUAGUUGAAACUUCAAAGCCAUUUCCCCCCUACAAAUACAAAAAGCAGAAAAUAAUUUCAAAUAAUUAAGGUGUUUUUAGUUGCAGAAAGAGAAGGACCAUUGCAAUUGGUAAGCAGCGAGUCAACAGUGACCCAACAACACAAGACAUCCUCUCGACAUAUUUGUCAUGAUAUUUGGUUUCUUUCUCCGUGAAAUAUUUUCCAUUUCUUUUUUGUCUUUUCGAAUAUGCAUUGUAACAAUAUUUUAAGUCAAUUAUGAAUUAUAUUUUAAUUUUUUCAUACGUGAGACAUGAUUAAUUAAUUAAAAAUUACUACACAAUGUCAUUAUGUUGUAUGAAAUUUUUUCUCUUUCAUCUCUGCUUGCAGCUCCGGCUCCGGCUCCGAUUUUCAUCAACCUCCCUGUCGCUUUUGGCGUUGACCAAAUUCUUUUUACAACACAACCCCCACACUUUAAAAAAUUAUACACUUCCGAAUUGGCCAAACCCAAACAUACUAAUUUGGGGAAAACUCCAACUCCCUUGUCAGUAGCCAACCAUAUUAUUGUUUUUGUUAUUUUCAACGAUAAAUUAUGAUCGUGUUGGUGCCAUGUUGUAAAACUUAUCAUUAUUCACCUGUGAAACACAUAGAUUUAAAAUAUCAUUCAACCACUUCCUUUUGGUUAUUUAAAUAAGUAUGCUUUACCAUUGGGUGUUACUUGUGGGGGAGGAGAAAGACCUAGUUAGAGCCAACGAGUGCUGGCUCAGUUGGUAAGGUUUUUGUAUGUGUCGUCCCAUCAAAGUUUGAUUGUUGCUAACAUCAAUUGAUGUUGGUGCACGAUAUGUAAACUUUUACGUAAAUUUAUACCUGCGUCAGCUGGUAGUUUGGUGCAACUUGUAAGUCCUUCCGGCUCGAGAAUGUGGGUAUGCCUUGACGCUGGUGAAUAUAGUAACCAAUCUUCUCCUCCCAAACUUUUUACAAACACAAAAAUACUUCAUUAGAUGUCAUUCACAAUAAUAGUAUCUCAAGUCCAAAUGAACUACCACAUAAAAAAAGUUAGACAUUUGGCACUACGUGAUGUUUGGAUACAGCUACAAUGAUAUUCACAAGCAAGUAAUUUUUCUUGAUGCAUGAUAUACCAAGCCAAUACAAACUGUCAUGUAAAAAGGUUAAAUAUAUAAUGGUGUGUAAUUAAUUUAAAAUAUUGUCAAGAUAAUAAUUUUUUAUUGUACUCUCAAAAUAAUAGAUUAGAUAUGUCUGUUUUGAUGAAUUAAGAAACAUGCAGUAUAACCUCCUUUAGUCAUUUGCUGAGCUGUGAAGUUAUAUUAGACCAGAGUCCUACGCAGAACCAAACUUGAGGUAGUAUUGGGUGUGGUUGAGACUUUAAAAUCGAAAAAUAAAAGAGUUUAAUUAAGGUAGAUAUGACCAAAUACUUGCAUUUAAAGGGACAUUCAAGCAAGAUAUAAAGAAAAUGCUUCAUUAGAAAGGAGAAAGAGGAGUCCCACAAUCCAACCUUUUCGCCCCACUUUUGAUGGAUUAAAUUAUGAUUGGUGAAAAGCACCUUUCAAUAGAGUUAGUCAUAUUAAUAUAAGGAGAAAUUAGGUUCACAUUAUUUUUUAUGCUACUUCAUUGAUUAAAAUUUUAUUCAUUUUCAAUUUUUGAUCAAGGUCCUUGGAUAUUAAUAAUAUCAUUAAUUAUUUGAAUAAUAAAAUAUUUUUAUUUUUAAAUAUAUUCCGUUAGUGUUAAAAAUGUUAAAAUUAGUAUAUUUAUAUUUAUGGCUAAUUUUUUUUAUCAUAGUUUUAUUUUUAGUUUGUACCUAUUUUUAAUUUGUACCAAUUUUCUUUUCAUUUUUAAUUUGUACCCAUAUAUUAGUUUGUUUUUGUGCCCAUAUUUUUUAAAGUUUUAUUUGUGUUUGUAUCCAUGUGUACACCGUCAUGUGACAUUGUAUAUUUAAUCAAUGAUAUAAAAAUUACAUAUGGUAUAUUUAUGUUUUAUGCCUAAACUUUGUAUCAUAUAUUUUUUGUACCCACUUUUAAUUUGCAACAUUUUUUUUUAAAUUUGUAGUAUUUUCUUUUUAGUUUUAUUUUGUACCCAUUUAUUAAUUUCUUUUAGUGCCUAUAUUUUUUAAAAAUUCAUUUGUACUCAUAAUUUUUUAAUCUUUUAUUUGUACCCUAAUUUAUUUAUAAUGUACCCAUUCUUCUUUAUUAAUGUACCACUUUGUUAUAUGUGAAAUGUACCAAUUUUUUUUGUAAAAUGUACCAUUUUUUUAACACUAUGGAUACAUUCUUUUGCCAAUUAUUAUAUCUUAUUUUUACAUAGUUUUUAUCCAUUUAUUCAAUCAAAAUGUUUGAAUUUUUUUUUAUUGUAACCAUUUCUAAUAGUAUUAUAAUGAGGGAUUUUAAUUUUAUAGGAUUAUAAAUCUCAUAAAAUAUCAAACAAUUAAUGUCAAAACUAUAAAAAUAUAAAUAUUAAUUGUAAUAUAAUGAGGUGUACAAAGUCAAGAGACUUUGAUCAAACUUUGAAUACCAUUAAGGUUUUAGUCAAAGAAUGUUAAAAAUUAGGGACCGCAUCCAAAGUAUCCCUUAAUAUAAUCACUGAGCUUCAAAUGAGAAAUUUCUUAAAUAAACUUAUUUAACUGACAUGGGGCCCAUUUCAUAUUGUAUUUCAACUAAACUGUCUAGGUUUAAAGUUUUAUCCAAAUCGGUAACCAUGACGUAUUAGUAUCUCUUUUGUUGUGUGAUAGGUAUAUAUUCUCAUAUUAAUUAGUAUAUCUUUCAACUCGUAAUUUGGAUCAUGUAAUAAGAGAGAUAUUGUUGCAUAUGAGAGAAUCCCUCAUUUGCACAGAUGAACCACAAAAACUCAUAUAUGGCUUUAGACUAGUUGGAAUGGUGCUUCCAAAGUAAGACCAUGCACUAAUUGGUCUCUCCACGUAAUUAUCAUUAUAGUCAAGCAAUAAUGUACGUAUCUUAUCCAAGUUACCUAUGCAAGUUGAUGGAAUGAGAUGGUAGUGUUCAACUACCUAAACUAAGAGAUCUCAACUACUACUAAUUGUUAUCAUCAUGCAUUAAUUACCUUCCUUUAAUUCUAAUUAAGAUUUGGUAAACUGAAUUUCUUGUUGAAUCUUUACUUAUCAAGUAGUUAAUCUCUUUUAUUUCAUGUUUUAGUUAAUAACUAAACAACAACGGAUAAUUACUUAUUUGUGUUUGUGGCAUUUGGUUAUGACUCAAAUAUCUUGCAUCGGAAGAAUAACAUUUUAGAGUAGUUUUAAGAUGUUACGAGGACCCUUCCUUUACAAGUAGUUUAAGACGUAACUGGGGUUGACCUUUUAUAGAUUAACGAGAGUGUGCCCGAAAUACGGAGUAACAGCACUUGUUAUUAUAUAAGUAGUGAGAUAUUUGUGUUAAAAAAUUAACAACUUAAAAAUUAAAACAUCUUCCAUUAAUAUAAUGACAUACAUUGUACCACCCGUAUUCCAAACAUAAUGAAAAAUUUCUCAUGGAUUAACAUGUUAAUUGCAUAUCUUAGGGUGGUUUGAGAGCUUUAAACGGGUAGCACCGUGCUUUAUCGGGUUAGGUUACUUGGCUGUUACACCGAAGUUUGUAUGGUCUGUUUUUGGAGAGAUUUUUUUCAAGUUCUGGGUACUAAGCAGUAUUACAUAGUGGUGGGCACGAGUCGCAAGAAAGCGUUGAAGAAGGUCAGGAAGAAAUUGAAGAAGCAACAGAAGCUGAUAACAAAGAUGGGGGAGGAGUUUCAAAAGAAAAUGACUGCAGUAUAGAUUACAGUUGAGAAAUGAAGCGUCUCUUCUUACUUCUCCAGUUACUUGUUCAUAGGUUCUUACGUUUCGGGUCCGAUAACACGGUUGUUUUGUGCACACAGGAAGUGCUACAAGUAGUGGAUAUAUAUUUGUCCGUCGUAGGAAUCACUGAUGACUUGUAACUAGUUUUGCAGCACUGACAUUGGGAUCGUGUUCUUCUGAGUUUUAUAUAUAUAUAUAUUAUUAUAUAUAGUUGCAGUGGUUGGAGUUUAUGAUGUUAUGCAAAAUUUCAAAUUCAUUAUCCUUUUGAUUGACUGUCGUUUGAUUCUCUUUUAGUUCAUAGGAUACUGAAAAACCAUAAUAUUUCGAUUUAUCUUAUAGGAGAGAAACUUUAGAAAAGAGAUUCCGCUCUACUGUUUAUGUUGAAGUGGGAGACUUGAUAGGUUGUAGUAUGUCAUCCAUACAACUGCUACAGUAUCGUUGUGUGCGGAUAUGAGAUAUUGAUAUCAAUGUCAAAUUGUCAAUAAUGCUUCAAUAUGGAUGUCAACAUGUUAUUGAUAUGUAAAAAAAUGUAUUAAUAUAUUGUUGAUAGACUUGCAGCGGUUUAUUGUAACAUCCCAUAUCGUCUAGGAGAGUGGAUUAUGUAAAACUUGUAUGUAUAUUCCUAUAUUUACCUAGCACGAGGUCUUUUGGGAAUUCACUGACUUCGGAUUCCAUCGGAAUUCCGAAGUUAAGCGAGUUCGCACGAGAGCAUUCCCAUGAUAGGUGACCCACUAGGAAAUUCUUGUUUGAGUUCCCAGAAACAAAGCCGUGAGGGCGUGGUCGGGGUCCAAAGCGGACAAUAUCGUGCUACGGUGGAGUUGAGCAUGGGAUGCGGUGGGGGUCCAGGCCGGGAUGUGACAAUUUGGUAUUAAAGCCAAUCCCUGGCUGGAAGUGUGCCGACGAGGACGUCUGGCCCCUAAGGGGGUGGAUUGUAACAUCCCACAUCGCCUAAUAUAGUAGAUCAUGUAAGUCUUAUAUAUAUAUAUAUAUUAUCAUCUCUACCUAGCACGAGGCAUUUUGGGAACUCACUAGCUUCAGAUUCCAUCGAAACUUCGAAGUUAAGCGAGUUCGCACGAGAGCAUUCCUAUGAUUGGUACAUCGCCCAGGGGAGUGGAGCCUUAUAUGUAUAUUCUCAUCUCUACCUAGCACGAGACCUUUUGGGAACUCACUGGUUUCAGAUUCCGUCGGAACUUUGAAGUUAAGCGAGUUCACGCGAGAACAUUCCCAUGAUUUGUGACCCACUGGAAAGUUCUCGUGUGAGUUUCCAGAAACAAAACUGUGAAAGCUUGGUCAAGGUCCAAAACGGACAAUAUCGUACUAUGGUAGAGUCGAGCCCGGAAUGUGAUGGAGGCCUGGGCCGGGAUGUGACAUUUAUGAUGUACCGCAACUUAUGUGUAAUAAGUCAAACAGCGUUUUUGUUUUUUUUUUUUCAAAAUUGUUCUCCACAUCAACAUAAUAUGUCGUCCAACACCCUUGCCUAAAGUAUGGAGUUCAAUAUAUCCUUUGAUUUUUGAAAAAAAAAGAAAAAUACAUCCCUUGAUUUACUGUCUUCCAACAUCACUAAAAAUAAAUUUUCAAUUAUUUAAAUUAGUGAAUAAAAACUAAUUUUCGCUCCAACUAACUGAAUUAAGAUCAAUACUCGUUACUAAAAUUUAUUUUGAUUGACAUUUUUUUUUAAAUCACAAAAUGUUGAUUAUAUUAAUAUUAAUAUGAAUUUUUUUUUGUGACUUCAAAUAAAUUAAAUUUCGAUAGCAUUGACAUGAAAAGGAUUUUAUAUUUUGAAUUAAUGUUUUUCUUUUUCAAAAUUGCUUCUACUAUGUCUUCUUGAGAAUAAACAACUGUGAAAAGAGCAGUUAAAUAUUUAGUAAACUAUAGUACUAAAAGUGUUUUUAUUGAAAAAAAAAAUGAUCAAUAUAAAAAUUUCAUUACUUGGUAUUAUUUGCCUGCCCUCGAUGAAAAAAAUACGUUUUUUUUAGAAACAUGUGAAGAAUUGUUUUUGGUUUCUGUUGCUUUUGUUUUGGACCUAUAAAAAAAAAUCUAUUUUGCAACACAAUUAAGGUCUCAACUUUUCUAACAAACUGCUUUUAAAAAAAUUUAAACAACCCUAAACCAGCCUAUAAACAAUUAAAAAAGCUAUAGAAUUCCACUUUAUUCGUAAGUGAUCAAGUUACGGCCCUUGGAUCAUAUGGGCCCAACUAUACCGGUGGAUCCAAUUUGAUCCAACGGUCCUCGAUUCCGCCGCGGAGAAUAAGGCCCAACUUUAUAACUCAGAAAAUCACAGAGACAGUGGCAACUGGAGAGAGAGGGAGUGACUCGGUGAGCGAGAGCCACCGGCGAGAACACUGAGUCAACUCGGAAGAUGUUCCAACCCAGCAACCAGGUGAGAACCCUCUAAAUUUUCAUUCUCCGCCCUCUGUUUGGCAGCCGAGAAAAUGCAAGAAAACAACUGGGUACCUCUCUUAGGUUGUAAAGUUUCCAAAUUUACUAGCUUGUCAAACGCCCAGCACGGAAUUAACUGUGUUAAUUCAAAUGCAUGUCGUUAUUCUCUUCGCCAUUGAUUUUUCCUGCUUCGAAUGCCAAAAAAUAAAACCUCAAUUCGGUGCUCAAUGCAAUUCUUUGAUUUUUAAGAGCUUUUUGGUAACUGAGUUUAGUUAAUUUUCUCAAAUUUUUAGCUUUAGAACUAAAUUUUCCGGUACUGUAAGUUUCCACGAGGAAGAAGAAAGAAGGGAAAAUCAGCAUGCAUCUUUGCAUUUUCGGCAUUGGCAGUUUUAUGGGGAAUGUGGUGCUUGUAAUUGCUUGAAUCAAAUUUUCGAAUUGACCCUUUUGGAGGCGUUUGCGAUUUGUAGUCCGAAACUGCGGUCUUGAAUUGUGUGAAUUCUUUUGUGGCGUGAGGCGGUAGUGUUCUAAAUCGAUUUUCGGGUUGAUUUAGUUUUCGCUGUUGACACUGCCGUUAAUUUAAGAACUUGAGGCAUAGAAAUGUGUAUGUGCCUUUCUGCAGUGGUGAGUGGUGACUGGAUAUUGUAUGCAGGCUUUUCUUGUUGGUAAAGAAACAUAUUGAGCAUUUAGAAAACCCUGUACUUGUAGAUGCUAGUUUGUACUCCCACGAACUUAUUAGGGAGCGGAGAUCACUUCUAGGUUGUGCUCAUUUUUUUCGUGCCCAACGUCAAACUUAAUGAACAGUCUGCAUAGUCUGUGUACAUGCAUUUUGGUUUCUGUCUGUACUAUUGAUGCUAUUUAAUCAUUCUUUUGCAGGUUCCAGGUCAGCCGACGCCAUUGUCUGUUCAAGAUCCUGCAGCUUUGAUGCAAGUAGAUAAAAAAGAAACUAGUGUGGUUGUGCAGGAUGAAGUCAAAACUGGAGGCUUCUCGCAAGCAGAAUCCAUCAUCUAUUACACUAAGGUUGUACAAGAACCUGUUCUCAAGACCCUUUAUAUUAUGAUUUUCCAUGCAUUUUGGUAAUAUAUAGUUGAUAUUUCACCUUGCAUUUCCGUUCAAGGUAAUUAAUUAAUUUUUUGAGAAGAAAGGUAAUUAAUUAAUCAUGACAAAAUUGUAGCAUUUUGAUGUUUUUGUUAUUCAUGAUUAAUGAAAUUAUCGUGGAGGAUCCUUUUUGGAGCAAGGAUGGAUCAAACUAACUGACUUUCAAAGAGCUAAUCUAUGCAGAAACUUCAAGACGAUUUACAAAUGAUGGGAAUGAAAAUUAAACAACAUGAGGACAACAUAAAACUGCUGAAGUCUCAGAAGCACAAACUAGAUGACUCUAUUCUCGAUUUGCAAGGUAUAAUAUCUUCUUUUUCUUCUUCCUCCAUUAUCUACAUUUCAUUGGUGAUGUAAUAAAUCUAGUUCAAACAAGUGAACUAAAAUUGUUAAUAAAUAUGUAAGUACACAGUUCGCAAUACUUUGUUGGGCACUUUUUCUUUGUUUCCAUAGUUUCUCUACUGAAGCAUUUCCUUUCAGUUAUUCUAGGCAAGUAUCACACCUCAACCACUCCUAAAAUCGAAGAUGAUGGCCAUUCCUGCCGUAAAAGUGAGGAGGAAACUACUGAAAAGAUUCUUCAGCAUGAGAAGUCUGCCGCAGGCAUUUUAUGGCAGUUGAAAACUCGUCAUGGUACUCAGGCUGCCCUUCUUUCCCCGAUCAAGGAUGUCGUGGGUAUUGUUGGUAUGCUUGGCAAAGUAGAGGAUGAUAAUCUUAGCAGGUCAAAGUUCCCAUAUUGUUUGUUGUUACUUAUUUCUCAAGUUGUGAAAUUGUGCUUUAGUCAUAUGACCACAUUAGUAGUUGUGUCUGUGCUUUUCCGUGCAUUUCACUACUAGUCCUUUGAUUUUGGAUAGUGAGGGGUGAGUUUAGGCACCAUAGUACUGCAAUAGAUAUAUUUGUUGUAAUAGAGAUGGAAUUGUACUGACCAGGUGUAAACGGACCCAUUAGUUUAGGGGCAGUGUAGAAUGAGCACAUUGAUAACACCUGGCCAUGAAAAUGUUUCUAAUUGACCCCCUCUCCAGCUCUCCCCUUCCCACCCUAUCUAUCUAGGCCUAUAACUAUACCGGACCUAGUUUUCAUUCGGCUUAUUUGGAAUGUGCAGGAUUUUUUCAGAGUACUUAGGGAUCGAGACUAUGUUGGCAAUUGUCUGUAAAACUUAUGAGGGUGUUAAAGCUCUAGAAGUGUAUGAGAAUGAAGGCUGCAUAAAGAAAUCUGCUGGUCUUCAUGGACUUGGUUCAUCCAUUGGUAGGACAUUGGACAGCCGAUUUCAGGUCAUUUGUCUUGAAAAUUUAAGGUAUGUGUCCUAUAUACUGUCACACCUCAAGCAAUCUGAACAAAUAUUGAUUUGUAAACUUCACUAUAUCGACUAUGAAAUCAAAUUCUAUUUUUUUUCUUCUUCUGCAGACCAUAUGCUGGUGCAUCUGUGCCCAAUGACCCACAGAUGAGGCUUGAUAUUAUAAAGCCUAGGUUAGCCAAUGGGGAGUGUCCACCUGGAUUUCUUGGUUAUGCUGUAAAUAUGAUUAAUGUGGAUAGCGCUAACUUAUAUUGUCUCACAGCCACUGGGCAUGGACUAAGAGCGACUUUAUUUUAUAGCCUCUUUGGUCACUUGCAAGUAUAUAAAACAAGGGCAGAUAUGGUUCCUGCUCUUCCUUGUAUUAGUGAUGGAGCCAUUUCUUUAGAUGGCGGGAUGAUUAGGUCAACUGGUGUGUUUUCUCUUGGCAACCGGUAAGAAGCUCUGCCAAUAAAUGAAAUCAAAAACUAAUUUUAACCCCAUAUUGUGUUGAAGUAGUUCUGUCUUUUGAAACCAUCUUUUGUAAAUUUUAACGUGCAAACAAUUUAAGAUAUAUAUAACUUUUGAAUUGUUUAGAUAUUGUUGUCAUUUGUUAAUGCUAACAUGGAUUUUGUUUGCUGCUAACGUCUUAGUUUUAAAACAUAUCUGAUGUCAGGGAAGAUGUAGAUGUGAGAUUCCCCAUACUGUCAGCAACAUCAGGCCUACCCGAAAACUAUUUCGAGUCUGAAAGACAAAUCAAUGAGUUGAAGCGGAAAAAAGACAAACUGCAGGAAGAUAUGAAGAGUGAACAAUCAUUAUUGGACAACGCAAAGUUCAAUUUUGACAGAAAGAAGCAAGAUUUUCUCAAGUUCCUGGCGGAUAGCUCAUCAUAUGUAACUCAGGUAACACCCGUAACAUAUCUUAACUAACAAUAAGGUGCAGUAUAGGCGUAAAAGUAACCUGCCAUGUGCCUUCAGUUGCAGGCACCAACCCGAUAAAACGAAAUUAUUAGACCAGUGCUGGAUUCUAGGACCCUUUUUCAUUCCGUCCUUGGGCAGUGUUAAAUACGUGUUCAUCACAUUGUUGUGGGACAUUAGGGAAUAUGAAUAGUUAUAUAAAUCGUGGAUACUGAAUAAAUCAUUUCAAACUUGCUAUUGCACUAGACGGUAGCCCGUGUUGAGUAGUUUAUCAUCUGUGUAGUUUUGCUUUAUUUUCCUUCCUUCGUCAUUGAGUUUUAAUUGCGGCCUUUAUCGUUGCAGCAUCAACUUUAUGCACCGCAAGGCAGAAUGACCCCGAGGUGACAACUGACGAGUACAUUGAAGGAACGAGGCACCUUCGAACCAAACAGAAGGGAGAGCCUUCAGAGCUUUGUCUGGUUGAGAGUCCGGCUGAGGAUCACGUUUUCAUCUAUGUUUUAGAAAGCCACGAAAGCGUAGUGGGAAAAUGCAUAUUCUUUGAGUCUAGUGAGGGGGCUCGUUUGUUGAAGUUUAGGGCCUCGUAGAACCAGAAUUAGGUUGAGGAAUUUUUCUGUUUGUUCGUCCUCUCAAAUGCUUGUGACUUUGUGAUAAAAGUGUAUGCACCAUUUUUCCAUACGAAGACGACCUAUCUACUAGGAUAGAAACUUAACACCCUGUCUGCUAGAAUAUCGGGAUAGAAACUUAACACCCUGUCUGCUAGAAUAUCGAGCUAAAAUUCGAAGGGAAGUUCUCCUUGCAGGAGAGGACUGGCCAUAUGACCCGGCGAGGAAAGAAAUGAAAACCAAGAGGAAAGGGCAGACGGUUGACCGGAUGGCCAAGGAGAAACGGGACAACACUGAGAGGCUAAUGGCGAAGAUGCCGCAAAUACUGACAUCUCGUUCUGUUGGCUAUUGUUUUUCUUUUAGGACCUCAUUGAUCAAAAGUGUGCAUUGCAGAGCAAGAGUAAGGCUGCGUACGCUAGACGUUGCCCGACCUUCCAAAAGCGGGAAACCUUGUUGGCUUGGUGUCGCCCUUUUUAUUAAUCAGAAGAAGGUGUAACAUCUGUCUUGAAACUGUUUUCCCAAAUGUAGUUGAAGCUUAUAAAUCACCAGUUGGAUCAAGCCUGUGUUAGAACUGAGGUACAAUUUUGAGGUACGGAAAUCCGAUCUCCAACCAAAGAGAGGAAUCUGUUUUCUUCCGCUGUUGCGAUGGGCACGAUCGGGUUUAUCCUUUUUGGAUGUUUUGUGUUUAUGUUAACUCACAAGUUGAUCGACACUAAAAAGGUUAAAGAGUGUUAAUCAUGUACGCAUGGCGUUACGGGUUGUGUUCAAAAUUGUCAUGGCGAGACCGGAUCCAUUGGUUGCCAAAUCUAAAAAAUGAAAAAAAAAACAAAACAAAAAAAGGGUUGCGUGAAAGGAUCUACCAAGACUUGAACCCGGGUUAUGGGAUCCGGGGUCCAGUGUCCUGACCAAUAGACCAUAAAACCUUGCUGUUAAAAUCGCCUGUAGUUUGAUAUUUAACUGUUUCAAUUCAAGGGACUGCUGAAUGGUAACGACAGGUCGUAUGAAGUCAAAGAUUCCAGUCCGAGGAAAUCACGACGAAUAAAAAUCUGGCUUGUCAGACCCAAAAAAAUAAUUAAAAAAUGAAACUCUUAUCAGAUGUGGCCGCCCCAGUGGAAUGAGGGAAAUAAUCAUCUUCAUUUUCCUUCCUCAUAAUUCAUCAAAUUCGGGGAUUCAUGUCAUUAAAUUUUGAUUUAAUAGCUAUAAAUAGUAACUUUAGCUAUUUGAUUAAAUUUCAAUGACCAAUAUCUCCGAACUUGAUGGAUUAAGUGGAAGGAAUCCAGAGAGAAUCAUUUCCUGGAAUGAGGAUCCUCUUUAUGAGGAUGUGGAUCUUCAAAUCAUGUUAGUUCAUCUUAUAUCGUGUGGCUAAAAAUUACUUUAAAUACUUUUAUUUUAAAUUAAAUAUGAAUAGCAUCUGACAAAAGCCAAUCAUAUUAUAUAAAAUGAACGAACACGAUUUAAAGAUUCUCGAUUCUCAUCAAGAGAAUCGGAAGGGUAUCCUCCUGGACCCUAGUGUAACAUGAGAUCACAUAGAUUUUAGUUGUGUCAGCUCACUUCCGGUUAUGCCACUAUUGUCUUGUCAAAAUAGUCACGUUAUAUUUGAAAAAAUUAAAAAUAUAAAUGACGUUUUAUUUUUUUCACGCCCGUAAUUGUGUAAGUGUUCCAAAUUUUAAAUAUUUUAACUUAUUCAUAUUGAUUUCAACGUUAAUUUAUUUCUAUUUAAUUUUAAGUAAGAGUUUUAUCGAUCCUUAAAAUAAAAAAUUAGAAAUCAAAUUAUUACUGACAUCAUUUUCCCAAGUCAUAUUUCUCCACCUUUUGCCAGCAAAAUAAGAUCACAUAGACGGUUCAACGGAGAAAUUUUUUUUAGUAUGUCGAGAACAUGAUAGAGUACUUUAAGUGUCAUAAAUUUCGGUGUAACAAAAUGUGUUAGCGGCACACUAAAAAAUCUCUGGUCCACCACCCAUCCAUGAAAAUGACGUCGCCCAAAGUCACACAUGGGUGUUGUCUGUCCCUUCCAACUGAAAAAAAAAAAGCCAGAAAAGAUAGUUCGAAAGCCGAUGGACUUCUCGGUGUCUGUUCGGCCCAACAACAUUUAAUGUCCCAAAACAAUAGUAAUUACGAGUGACAGAAACACAAACAGUAGGCAGUUUCGUUUCUUUUUCCAAGGUGGUUUUUUGGAUGUUUGAUCAUUUUCCUGUUGUAAGAACUUGGAAUUCUGUGAGCUGAAGCGGUAUGUCUGGUUGCAGCUGAGGAGUGAGCGGUCAAAGGAGGAUGGAGAAGGUGGUGGAAGAAGGGGAGAGGAAGAGGAAAGCUCAGGAGGAGGUUGGGAAUGGUGGAAAUGGCGGGGGAGCUGAAGGGGGUGAACAGAGGCAGAAGAGAAUUAGGCAGGAAAGUGGUGAAAUUUUGGGAAAUGGGGAUCUGGGAAUUGCUGGGGAGGUGGCUGAAGGGUGGUUUGGCGGUGGAAACGGCGGAGGGCUGAGUGUUGGGGAUGAAAUUGCGCGCCUUUUUGGUGAAGUGAGUGGCGGCGGCCUUGGGAUUGAUGGUGAAGGUGUGAGCUUUUGGGGUGGUGGUGGUGGAGAUGUAUGUAAAUUUGGCGGUCAAGGUUUUGGAAUUGAAGAAUUUCGAGGUGGCUUCGGCGGAGCUGGUUCUGGAAAUGGAGGUAAGAUUUUGGGUUGCGAGAAUUUUGGAUUUGGGUUUGUUGGAAAUAAGGACCCCGUUGGCGGUUUGGGUCUUGACGGCGGCGGUGGAGGCAUUGGGUUUUGGGGUGGUGAGCAUUCUUGUGGCGGACUUGGCGGUGGUGUGGGAAAUCAAGUUGUUGGGUGUGAUCUAUAUGCUUGUGAAAAUGCCGGUGAGGGAAUUCAAGGCCUGUUUGGUGGUGGAGUCAGAGGCGGAGCCGCCGGGCUUUUAGGCGCUGAGAGUGGUUCGAUAUGGGGUGGUGAAAGAGAUCAGGGCUGUUUGAGUGGAAAUGCGUCUGGAAAUGGAGGUGGAAUGGUGGAGAGACGAGGUGAAUGUGGCGAAGAUAAACUUGGAAAAAAUGCUAAAGAAGAGGGGGUUGGGUCAAAAGGGAGGCGUGGGAGGCCGAAAGGAUCAAAGAACAAGAAGAAAGUUGUUGGUGCUGAAGAGGGUGUUGUGCAAUCGAGUGGAAUUGCUGGAGAAAAUGUGGGUGAAGGCGAGAUUGUGAGGCCAAAGAGCAGGCAAGGUCGACCGAAGGGGUCCAAGAACAAGAAAAAGAAUAACCUUGCAGAUGAUGAAAAUGAGGGUAUGCCUGGUGAAAAUGUGGGUGGAGAAGGGACUGUGAAGCCACAGAGUAGGCAAGCUCGACGAAAGGGUUUCAAAAUUAGAAAGAAGGCUAUUGUGAAUGAUAAAAUUGAGGCUUUGGCGCCAGUUGUGGGUGACGAAACUAAGGAAUUGAUUGCCAUAGCCACCACCAGCAAUGGAGUUGGGAAUGAGAUCGUUCAGCCAAAGAAAAAGGUUCGUCUACCAAGGGGUUCAAAGACCAAGAAAAAUCUUAUAGGAGAGGAAAAUUAUGGCAUGUCAAUAUUAGGGGCCGAGGGCAUUGACAUAUCUGCUCCGCCUAUCGGUUUGAAGAAAGAAAUGCUUGAUCUCAUGGGUGAACAAAGCGAGAAAAUGGAAGUUAAAGUGUGCAGUGGUUAUGAAGUUGGAGAUGGGAUUGUGCGGUUGAAGGCAAAGCGUGGUCGGCCUAAGGGUUCAAAGAAUAAGAAGAAAAAUGUUGGUAAUGAUAGUAAGAUUGAGGUUGUCUGUUCGACAGGGCUGGAGGAUGAGAUCAUUAUUGGAGAAGAAAUGGGGAGAUUGCCAAGUGGAGCCACUUCUGAGGAUGUUCUGAUGAAGAAGAAGCGUGGUCGGCCAAAGGGUUCAAAGACUAGGAAGAAAAAUAUUGUAGGUGAGCCAAUUCAGGAAAUGCCUGGUGAUAUAGUAGUUGGCAAUCACGGUAAUGGUGAAGAUGCUUCCGUGAAGGGUUUGGAGAAUGAGAUGCCUAUUCUUUUGGGUGAGAAAGAUAAGCGAAUGCCUGUGGAAGCCUCUGGUAAUAAUGGAGGAGGAAAUGUGGACUCCCAACAAAAAGAUAGGCAUGGUCGAUCGAAGGGUACAAAAACCAAGAGACUAAAUGCUGCUGUUAGAAAACACCGAAGGCAGGAAGGGGAAAACGUUGAAAAAGUUGAUGGUAGAGAUGAGAGAUCAGAGAAAAAGCGUGGCCGACCUAAGGGUUCAAAGAAAAAGAGACAAAUUCUUAUUGCUGAAGCUUGGAGUAAGAUUGCAGCACUGCAGCAUCAAAGUUCAACAUCAGUAUUGGAGGUAGAACAUCAGAAAGAAAAGGAUUUGAAGGAGGACUUUGGUUUUCCGGUGGAGCAAUUGAAAAACUCUCAUAUGGAAAAACAUUAUCAUAAGAGGCCUAGAGGGAGACCCCGGAAGAACUUUGCUUUCCCUGUGGAGCAAUUGAAAAACUCUGAUGAUAUAGAAAACAAUUGCCAUAAGAGGCCUAGAGGGAGACCCCGGAAGUUCAACAACCAGCAUCCGAUUACCAGUGAGUUUAACAGGGGAAAAUCUACUGAUAUGUCGGUGAGUUGUCCUACAUUCAAUAUUUCCUAACUUGAUUAAUUAUCUGAACAAGCUUAUCAGCAUGUUUACUCAUUUGAACAAGCCACUUCUCUUUGUACAAACAUCCUAUGUGUCUUUUCCCUACAUAUAGAAUAUAUAUCUCUACAAGUAAUAAUUCAAAUAGUCUAUUGCAAUGCAUUCUAACAGUUUUUUUUUCAUUUAGGAUGAUAAAAAGGAGAGUUUAAUGUGCCACCAGUGCUUGAAGAAUGGCAGAAAAGGUGUCGUCGUUUGUUUAAACUGCAGAAGGAAACGCUAUUGCUACGCAUGCCUUGCAAAGUGGUAAUUCCAAUUCAAUGAUCAUUUGGUUGUCGCAACGUAAACUUUUCUGUUAAUUGUCGAUUAAUAUGAAUGUUCUUUUAUAGCGCUGAUAUGAAUGAGUCUCAUCAAAUGUUUCUGAUGGUGUGCUCAUUUAAAUGAAUAGGUACCCAGACAAGACAAAACAGGACAUAGAGAUUGCAUGUCCAUAUUGUCGUGGUAACUGCAACUGCCGAAUAUGCCUCAAGGAGGAUUUAGUUGUGGUGGUGUGAGCCUUACCUUGAUUUUCUUCUUCUUUUCGUUUCUUCCUGCCCUAGGAAAGUAAUUUUUCCUUUUUAUACCAAACAAAGUACUUGUUUUACAGGCUGGGAAUGAAGAAACAAAUGCAAAUGUUAAGUUGCAAAAGUUGCUUUACUUGCUAUGCAAGACACUUCCUCUCCUUCGGCAUAUCCAACAGGAGCAGAAGUCUGAAUUAGAUGUGGAAUGCUGUUUGCAGGGUAUUGUAAUGUGAUUUUUUUUUUCUUUCUUUAAAUCUCAUUUUAUACGCUGGGUUGAUGGUUCAGAAAUGUUUUAAGGAUGGGUUUUCCCUACUUGUUUUUAUAGGUGUCCAGAUGACAGAGGAGGACCUCACGAGAUCCAUACUAGAGGAUGAUGAUCGAGUGUAUUGGUAUCAUCUCAUUCGCCCUUAUGAUUGAAGUUGAAAUACUGGUUAUCUAUGAAGUUACUUUUUCAGCAAUUUCAUAAGUGUAUAUUAAUAUAAUCGGUUAUGUUGAUAAAUAAAAUGGUUACUCUGUUACCAUCUUACUAGGUAGGUUUGGACUUGACUGAUCACAUAGUUUUCUGGGGGGUUACUUACCAAUAAGUACUGGUGUUCAUGAAUAUCCUACGAUUUGAGUCAAAUGUAUUUUAGUUUCAUUCAUAUGGUACAAGUUUGUGACCGUGAACAAAUUCUACAGUGACAAUUGCAACACAUCCAUUGUCAAUUUCCACAGAAGCUGCCCUAAUCCUGAUUGUUCUUACGACCUCUGUCUCACUUGUUGCUCGGAACUAAGGGAAGGAUGCCAGCCUGGAGGUGGUGAAGCAGAAUCAUCUUGUCGGCAGUCUUUUCAAAGAGUAUAUGGUAAAGGCACAGUCACAAAUGGCCAGAUUCCUGCUAAUGGGAAUGUAUCGCAGAGCGAAAUGGCUGUACCAUUAAAUGGGUGCACAACUGAUAUGUCAUCUGAUUUUCCUGAUUGGAUAGCGGAGGCUGAUGGUAGGAUUCCUUGUCCUCCGAAAGCACGGGGAGGUUGUGGUGCCCAGUUACUUGAACUGAGACGUAUCUUUGAAGCGAAUUGGGUUGAAAAACUAAUUUUGAGUUCCGAGUACCUCACUAUCAAUUAUCAGGCACCAGAUAUUGAUUUUUCUCGAGGAUGUUCUUUGUGCCAUUCUAUCAGUUCUGCUGGAGAUGGAGUAAAAGCUUCUGAAGUAAGGCAGGCGGCUUAUAGGGAGCACUCCCAUGAUAACUUUCUCUACUGCCCAAAUUCUGUUCAUCUGGGGGACAAUGAUAUUGAGCAUUUCCAGUUACACUGGACGAGAGGCGAACCUGUUGUAGUUAGGAAUGUACUAAAAAAGGCUGCUGGCCUGAGCUGGGAACCAAUGGUUAUGUGGAGGGCUUUUAUUGGGGCGAAAAAAGUAUUGAAAGAGGAGGCUGUCAGGGUCAAAGCCAUUGAUUGCCUUGAUUGGUGUGAGGUACGCGGUGAACUUUCAACAUGUUGAAUGCGAAUUUCAUCUCCCCUAUAUUUGUUUAACCGUCUUUCAAUUUGGCACUGCAGGUUGAGAUUAAUAUUUUUCAGUUCUUUAAGGGCUAUAUAGAGGGCCGUAAGUAUAGUACUGGGUGGCCAGAGAUGUUGAAGCUGAAGGAUUGGCCCGCAUCAAAUUCCUUUGACGAGUGUUUACCAAGGCAUUUUGCUGAAUGUAUUGCCAUGCUUCCAUUUUGUGACUAUACCCAUCCCAAAUCGGGUGUUCUAAAUCUUGCGACUAAGCUUCCUGUUGCCUUAAAGCCAGACUUGGGACCAAAGACGUACAUCGCUUAUGGAACAAUGGAGGAGCUUGGUAGAGGUGAUUCAGUAACAAAACUGCACUGUGACAUUUCUGAUGCGGUACACAAUUAAUCAAUUUUGGAUUUAUUCUUUAUUAGCUAUUGUUGCGUAUCGUUCUCAUUUUUCUAUGCAAUUCCACUGCUACUUCAACCGUUUUCACAAUUUCUGUUUAGGUUAAUGUGCUGACACACACAACGGAAGUAAAGAUUCCUCCACGACAGCGGAAAAUCAUCAACCAAUUACAGAAGCAAUAUGAAGCUGAAAAUGAAAUAAUUGAAAGGAAUUCAUGUAACGAAUAUCUUGAGCCUUCUAAUUUGACAGAAGACAUGAAGUUUGUCAAUGCCCUGGAGUCCAGUUCAAUUCCAACUAGAAAUGCUCGAAGUAAUGAUACUUCAGAGGUUGUAUAUGGAGGUGCUGUGUGGGACAUUUUCCGUCGCCAAGAUGUACCCAAGUUAAAAGAGUACCUACAGAAGCAUCACAAAGAAUUCUACCACAUCAGUAAUUCCCCCGUGAAUUCUGUACGUAUCAUGGCUUAUCCCAUUUGCAAAUAUUACUUUGAAUUAAGUCGUUUCUAAGUUGAUGUGCUGCACUUGAAUUUGCUUCAGGUUAUUCAUCCUAUUCACGACCAGACUCUUUAUCUUAAUGAGAAGCAUAAAAAGAAGUUGAAGGAAGAGUUUGGUAAGGAGUUGCGUGCAUUUAGGUAGUCAUUCUUGUUAACCGAGUAAUUCUUGCUUGACGAGUUAUUAACCAUGAAUGUGAAUUACUUUCAGAUGUUGAGCCUUGGACAUUUGAGCAACACCUCGGCGAGGCUGUUUUCAUUCCUGCUGGAUGCCCACAUCAAGUGAGAAAUAGGAAGGUGAGAUUUCCUCCCAUUGAUAUGCCAAUUUAUCACGACUUACUUUCUUUAGCAGCGCUAGAUUAUCAGUAUUCGUGUAAUGUAUCAAGUUUGACACUGUCUUCAUUUUCUCUUCUCUCAGUCAUGCAUUAAAGUGGCCCUCGAUUUUGUUUCCCCCGAAAAUAUUCAAGAAUGCAUCCGACUAACAGAGGAGUUUCGCUUGCUUCCGGAAAAGCAUAGAUCCAAGGAAGAUAAAUUGGAGGUAGUGUUAAUUUGGAUUGGUCCUGGAGCUCAUCGUUAGGUGGUUUUGCAUCCCGAAUAAUCUGAUCAUAAUAGGUUGAACUAUUAGUUUUGCAUGCAGGCAGCACUACGAUUAUAUGAUUUUCGUAUCUAUAUUUCUAUACGUUAGCAAAGAAUUAUACCUGCACAGCGAAAAUGCUACGGGCUUAAUCUUAUAUUGUCUCCGUAGAAUGUAUACGAUACAAUGCCAGAAUGCGGCAUGCCUGGAGUUGUCUCUUGCGCUUAACGAUUUUGCUGUUUUCAGGUGAAGAAGAUGGCGCUAUUCGCGGCGAGCGAUGCUAUAAAUGAAGCCAAAAAUCUGAUGUCAAAAAAUGAGUGAGUGAUCUUUCUCUGAAGCUCAUCAUCCAAUGCCGAAAAAUAACAGUCUCAUGAUGAAAGUUCUUGUUUUCUGUUCACGGAUUCUGAUUGUUUUCGGGGACCCUGCAGUUCAUUAAACGGAGCGUGGGAGCUUAGGAGGAGCAGCCAUUCCGAUUGAAAGUGCCGGUCGGAGAUAUCGGUUUAACCCUGCAGUUCAUUAAACGGAGCGUGGGAGCUUAGGAGGAGCAGCCAUUCCGAUUGAAAGUGCCGGUCGGAGAUGUCGGUUUAACGUUGUAGAGUUGAGGAUUAUGAAAGCUUUGCUCGUAGAGAAGUGAUCUUUCGCCUUCAUAGCUUGCAUUGUGACUAUUUCAUGUAAAGAUGUAAAUGAUAAUGUUUAGAUUUCUUCGUAAAUAAGCCCCUUUUUUCAAAAAAGGGGAGUAGCUCGCGUCACGGCAGUCCACCCUUCUUUCGUAAAUAAGCCCCUAUUUUGAUGUGUUCAUUUGUCACUUUCUUGAUAAUUCACAAGUUUAGGCAAUCUUGAAGAGGGUUAAAGGUCUAAAAGCUAAAAAAUCGUCUGCGUUAUCCAAAAAUUCCUCUCUAAUUGGUGGCUGGUUAAAAGCCUAUAAUUAUUAUUUGUCUAAAGGGCGUCGUUUGGUCAAAUGUAGCCUCUCCUUGGCCUUUUUGGAGUCCAGUUGAAUGAUUGAAUGAUUAGGUUUGAAAACGUCCAAUGGUACGUUAAUUAAAUUAAUUAAUAAAUUUAAAGUUAAAAUUAAUAAAUUAUUGUUGGAGCUACGUUCAACCCUUCGGUUGAAGAUAGUAUAUGAGUAUGGGUUGAUGUUGUUCAUUUCUAAAUAGUUUCUUGGAAAAUGAGUAAAAGAGUUGUUCUAUGAUUUUUUAUGGCAGUGACAUAAAGUAAUCAUGCUUAUGCAUUAUAGUAGAAAUUCGAUUUUUAUUGAUUUUCUUUCCCCUAACAAUUAACUAUUUAAUCCAGUAAAAAAAAAAAAAGAUGAGUACUGACUACUGAGUUGCUCUAAGUUCGGACUCAUCUCAAAACACAUAAGAUUAAAUAGCGAUAUAAUUUUGAUCAAGUUAAAUGACAUUUUUAUCCUUGCAGAUGUCUUCAAACGAGACGUGGUGAAAUAGAAAAUCGAUCAAACCUCAAGCCCUGUUAUGUAAAUUCAUAUAUUUCCAUUGUCUUUCUUGCAAGUUAAUGCAACAAUCGAGCUCAAAUAUCUCUGCUUUCCUUUGUACUCUUCUUCCGAAUUUCAAUUUUCAACUCCACCAUCAAAAUUCCAGCACCAUACACACACUUCCCAAAAUCUUAGAUAAACCCAGUUGAAUUCAACCCCAAAUUUCCCAAACCCCUCACCAAGUUUUCAUUUUUCACCCAAAAAUCCAUGUUUCGAUCCUAAUUUUCCCUCGUUUUCCUUCAUUUUCCCGGAAAAUUCCUCACGCCCCCAAUGGCCGCGGCGCUCAGAUCCAAGCCCUCCAGAGACACGGCGUCGUCCGCCGUCUCACAAUUCAGGUACUUUGUCUUCAACUACAUGCACGCCGGCAGGGUGGCCAGCUCUCACCAUGCCCACCGCACCAAAAGCGACGACUUGUUCAUGAACACUCCCUACCACUUCACUUCCUUCAAGCCGGUGUUGCCCGGCGGCAACUUUGUUGAAAAGGGUUCGCAGAUUUUCAAUCACCCGCGAGCUUCCCAGAGAGUUAGCAAGAAUAGUGAUAAGAAUUGGGGACGGAAAUUGAGCAGCAGCAGGUGUAACACUGUUGUGUCGUCUCAGGGGGACCCGCCGGAGGUGUGGUCCGGUGAUGGAAUUGUGGUUCGGACUGCUCCCGGCUCGAAUUUGGUUCGUGGAGGAGGCGGUGGAGGCGGUCCGAGCCCUGGUUCCGGAGGUGGUUUCGAUUCGAAUUCGAAGGAUGAGAAUUGGGGUGGUUCCAAUUUGGGGAAUAAUUUUCCUACUCCGAAGGAAAUUUGUCAGGGGCUUGACACGUUUGUAAUUGGGCAAGAGAAGGCCAAGAAGGUGAGUUUUUGCUUUGGUUUUUUUGUUUGCCUUUUGGAGUUCCAUAUAGGAGAAGUUUAUGUUUCUGCAAUUCUUAUAAAAUUUAUAUAUAUUUUAUGCAGGUGCUAUCUGUUGCUGUUUACAAUCACUAUAAGAGGAUAUAUCAUGAGUCCCUGCAGAAGUGGUCAGCUCCAUAUCCAUAUACAUAUCUUGUUUGAGUCUAUGUUUUAUGUGAAGAAGAAUCAUUUCGAGGCUCGCGUCGUAGAUUGAAGGCAUUUGUACUAAUUAUAUCUCAUAGCUUUAACUAUAAGUUAUGAAAAGUGAAAUUCAGUUUAGUUUUGGUGUCUACUCAAAACCCGACUGGAUUGACUGAAGCUAACUCCUACCUUCUAAAAUGCUGCUUCUUGGGAAAUUAGGUCCACAGGAGAUUCAAGUAACGGGAAAGUAGAUGCAAUGGAUGACGAUAGAGUGGAGCUUGAAAAAAGUAACAUUCUUUUAAUGGGGCCAACAGGCUCAGGUAAUUUAGAAUUAUCCUUGAAAACUUCGAAGUACAUUUUCAUUAUGUGUUAAACUGUUCAAUUGCUGCUUGGAUUUGACGGGCGUCUUAGUGUCAUGGAUGUUGCAUGUAUUUGCAUUAUAGCUGGAAAUUUGUGUCUUUAAUGCUUUCUUGUUUGGAUGUCUUUUAAUGGUUUGCUACUGAAGUCUUCAUUAGUAUGUUGCUUUGGUUACUGGUCUCAUUUGUUCUCUUUGAUGCUCUUUCAAGGACAGGGAAGACACUACUCGCCAAAACCUUGGCACGGUUUGUGAAUGUUCCAUUUGUUAUUGCAGAUGCGACAACAUUAACUCAGGUAAGUUUUGUUAUUCUUCGUUGUUGUUUUGUAAUUGGAGUCCAUUUGUAAUAGAAAGUGGUUUUUCCUUUACCAUUAAAUUUGGAGUCACUAUGCUCUAGGCAAGGAUCAACCUUGGAUGUUUUUUUAAAACACUGGCCAUCAUGGUCCCCAGAAUAUUCAUCGUACAUGCAUGGUUUAUUAUUUAGGUUAUUUUCCAAAUUUCUAUUGCUAUGUAAUGAGAACUGUAAGAGAUUAAUAUGGAUUGCAAUGGCAUUGUUCUUGUCAUUGUGGUAGUCAUGACACAAUGUUUACUUGCAGGCAGGAUAUGUAGGGGAAGAUGUGGAAUCAAUUUUAUACAAACUCCUUACGGUAAAUUUUCUUGAACAUAUUUUAUUUUUGUCCGUCUGAAUUCGUGUGUUGAUAGUCGAUGCUCAAUAGCAAGGGCUCCCUUUGGUGCUACAUGUGCAUCGCAUUGUUAAUUGUUUUCUGCUUCUUGUGAUUAAUUUUGGAAUUGGCAACAAGAAUCCUAUUAUUGAAACAUCUUUUAUGCUUAUGGUUUCAUUCUUAUCUUAUAUUUAAGUCUAUAAGAAGAGCAAACCUGUUUUAAUUGCUUUAUGCCAUAAUUCUGCGGGGAAAUUUGAAAGUUGUAUUUUUGCCAUAAACCUUUGUUAUCAUUACUUACCGAGUUCCCACUUAUCGUGAAAAUUUUCUUGAAACGUGCACUUAUAUGCUUAUAGUGCUUAGUAAUCCCAAGUUCAUCUAUGUGCUUCUGUAUUCAAUGCCAGGUUGCCGAUUAUAAUGUAACAGCUGCACAGCAGGGAAUUGUUUAUAUUGAUGAAGUUGACAAGAUUACCAAAAAGGUGUGUUUUUAUGUUCAUCUUUCUCUCUUUGUGGAAGAAGCUUUCAACUCUUUUAUGUGUACCGACCUCUGCUUCUAUUUUGCAGGCUGAGAGCCUAAAUAUUAGUAGGGAUGUAUCUGGAGAGGGUGUUCAACAGGCUUUACUUAAGAUGCUGGAAGGGACCGUAAGUGCACAUUUUACAUACUUUGUUAGUACUAAUGCUAGCGGGCAUUGUGGAGAUGGCAUGUUGGUUAAGGCUGUGUCAAGGGCCUCAAGGCCCAUGUCAGGAUAUUCUUGUACGCUGUCAUAGAUGUCUCAUUUAUGACUUGGAUUCAUAUCAACGAUUUUAACCUAUAUGGGUUUAAUUCGUUGUAUUCUGAUCUGUGGAUUUCUUAUGAUCUAGGUUGUCAAUGUUCCUGAGAAGGGAGCUCGAAAGCACCCUAGAGGUGAAAACAUUCAGGUAUAUCGGUAGCUGAAGAUAUAUGUCGAGUUAUCUACACAUUAUAUUAAACUGCAUUAUCUUAUGGAUACAAUUACAUAUUGAUCAUAAUCAUAAAAUAAGCCUAUUCUUCUAUUCUUUAUGAUUUAACUAGUGCUCAGCCUAGAAAAUAUCUUGGUGUAUUAUGGUUGACUGAUUUUCGGUUGGGUAGAUCAUUGAAAAUCAGUUUGUAAUUUUACUCUUUUUCCCCCAUGUUUCUUCGCAGAUUGACACAAAGGAUAUUCUCUUCAUAUGUGGGGGUGCCUUUAUUGACUUAGAGAAGACAAUCUCAGAAAGGUACUUCUAUACCCCAACACUGAAAUUAUAUAAUCUUCUGGUUUUGUCCCUCUCUCUCUCUCUCUCUCUCUCUCUCUCUCUCUCUAAUGUACUUCUUCGGCUUUUUCUGGUCCUACAGACGCCAAGAUUCCUCUAUUGGGUUUGGUGCCCCUGUUAGGGCAAAUAUGAGGACCGGCGGGGUUACAGAUGCUGCUGUUACAUCAUCCUUAUUGGAGAUUGUAAGUUCCCAUCAGUUUUGAAUCAACAAGUAGCAGUUUAUAUAACCUUCCUUCUAUUUUUAUCUCUUCUUUAGAAAUUUAUAAAUAUGUGAGAACUGGUUUUGUUGUCAGGUUGAAAGUAGUGAUCUUAUACGAUAUGGGUUGAUACCAGAAUUUGUUGGCCGGUUUCCCAUCCUUGUCAGCUUGUCAGCACUAACCGAAAAUCAAUUGGUUGAGGUAAUACAUUGCAUUCUUUUUGUUUCUGUAGAAACAGCUCAGGCAUCUAUGUCAUUUACUCGACCAUUUUUAAUCUCAGAAAGUCUUUAUGGAUUGAUGGCUAAUUAUUCAUUACUAAGCUUUUGAAUAAGUCCUUACUGAUCCGUCCAGUAAUUUGAAAUUUUUUUUCCCCUUUGAGAGGAAAUAUGUUAAUUUUAAUCAACAUGGUGGUCUACUUAUUCUUGUCGUGCUCAAAGCUUUUACAAGUAUUGUUUUUCUUGUUUGGAUUUUUUUUUUAACGUUAUUUGUUAAAUGUACUGUCCCAUGCGUUUCUUACCAGCAAAUAUGUUUUGUAGGUCUUGACAGAACCAAAAAAUGCCCUCGGGAAGCAAUACAAGAAGAUGUUCCGAAUGAAUGGAGUAAGUAAUUCUUAUCCAUCAACGUGCUGGUUUUGUGCACUUCUAUUGAAAUCUUUGCUUGUUAUGUCCUACUUACAUAGUCCGUUGUUGCAAUUCUCUCACUUCCAUGGUUCGAGACACAAUUGGUUUUUAGCUAAAUCGUUUAUGCUUCACUUCUCUCAGGUCAAACUGCAUUUCACAGAAAGUGCCUUGAGAUUAAUUGCUAGAAAGGCAAUAUCAAAAAACACCGGGGCUCGUGGCCUACGAGCAAUUUUAGAAAAUAUAUUGAUGGAUGCCAUGUAUGAGGUACUCCCACUUCUCCUUGAAUCUUUUGCAUCUUUGCGAGUCAUCUGAUAUGUCAGAGAUGAUUUAAUUCUCUAGGUAUCUUUUGCAGAUUCCUGAAGUUAGAACAGGCGAUGACAUAAUAGACGCAGUUGUAAUUGAUGAAGAAGCCGUUGGAUUGGACGGCAAGGGUUGUGGAGCUAAAAUCCUUUAUGGCAAGGGUGCAUUGGAUCGCUAUCAUUCGCAGAAUAAGGCGAAGGAUGCAGAGGUGCGUAUUUCUCGUAUUCGUCAAUAACAUCCUGCUUUCAGUUUACCACCCUCAUGUUUUUAUCUGCUGACGCCGUAUUCUCGUCUAGCAGAUUGCAACCACGGAGGGUUCCGAUGGAGAGCCGGAGGCGGAAACAGAGCUUUCUUCCGUUGUUGCUAGCAUGUAAACUUGGCUUUUGUUGGACCUUAUUUGUGUCCCCAAAUCCCAAUCUUGUACAUAAUAAACAUUAAUUUAAUAAAUCAGAUAAGCGUAAUGUAUAAUUUUUUUUAAUGAUACAAAGCAUUAUGUAGCCGAUCCCACUUAGCGGGAUAAGGCUUGGUUGUUGUUGUUGUUGUUUUGAUACAACACGUUGUAUAUUUCUCACAAGGGUUUUGGUUCAGCCCUGUUCAGCAGCAGGAUGCUUUGCUUCUCGGUAGAAAUUUGUGAGCUUGACUUUCUGCUUUACCCAGAACCUUGGAAAUAUACAAAUAACUUUUAAUCAGAAAUAGAACUUGAGGAUGCUAAACAGACAAUGAUAAAAAAAUUAUGUUAUUUUCGGAUUUAAAUUAGAGGAGUGAUAGGAAUCUUUUUGUUCUAUAUUUAGAUUAUUUUUCACAUAAUUGGUUUUGAAAGAUCAAUAUCGAGAGACUCAUCCACCGAAGACUUUAUCGCACCUUUAGAUCUCCAUCUCUUGAGUCGAGUUCAAUCUUUGGCGGGUAUUGUUUUCUUUUUGGGUAAGUGGGAUCCAAAAGGAUCGCCAACGAGGAACUUUUAUUAAAACAAACACACACUUACAAACCAAACAAAGGUCCAAAUUAUUCCUAGAAACAAACAAAGAACGGACUUAAAAACAAAGAAAACAAAGAAAACACAGAAAAAGAGCCCAACAAUAGUGAAGCCUAAACAAAAACGAACUGCCAAGAACCACCCACUGUGUUCUCCACCGCCGAUCCGAGAAUCAGCCAGCCGUCCGAUCUACCUUCCACCAUAGAUCAUCACCUCCACAGGCACCACUUGCACAUAGCCAUCAACAAGAGAUAGUUGGCGAGAGAGAAGCCAACCAUCGGAAAAAAGCUCUGGGAAAUUCCCGAGCAACACUGCCGGAAACGGUGGACAACAAGGAGACCGUGGUGGUGUGGGAGACACCCGAGUCGGAUACAACACCGGAACUCUACACACGAACUCAACAUAAAACAUGGAAAAACGAAGCAAGGAAGCAGGGCCGCCUCAGGCUCAGUGAGGGCAGGGCGACUGUCCGGGGCCUAAAAAAGUUGGGGGCACCAAAAUUAUUAGGGUGAUAUAUUUAUAUAUGUUUUUAUAAGAGUAUAAAAUUAUAAAAUUUGGUUUAGUGACUAAGAAAUUUAACCAAAAUGGGUGGUUUUGUUGUUUAAAAUUAAUGAAAUGAGAAGGUAUUAGGUUCAAAACACCAUGGGUGCUUAUUUACAUUCCAAUUUUUACAAAUUUCUUUUCAUAAUUGUAUAAAUUUAUAAAAUUUGGCUAAAUGAUCAAGAAGUUUAAUUAGAAGCAAUGAUUUUUGUUGUUUAAAAUUAAUGAGAGGUCAUAAGUUCGAAAUGCUAUGUGCAUGUCUAUUUUUUUCAAUUUUUACAAAUUUUUGUUUGGUUGUUAAUUUAUUUACUAGCUCGUAGUUAUAUGAGUUGCUAUUUUUAAACAUCUGUUCCAAUUCAAGUCUAAUCUUCAACAAAGAAUAACGUGUAGACUAAAUUUUUUGACCAAAUUUGCAAAUAAUAUUACAUGUCAUCAAAAGGUUUAACUUAGUGGUCAUUCAUUACUUAUACAUAUCCUUAAGGACUCGAAAACAUUAUUAUUUUUUUAGUCUUAUAUUGACGAGAUUAGUAAAUAAGAAAAAAUACCUCAAGAUUUAUAUAAAAACACUUUAAAAGUUCAGAUGGAAAACGAAACUCAUAAUCUAUCUACUUGUAGGCUCGAAGUUUCUUGGUUUCCCUCUCUCGAUACAAAAUAAAUUAGUUAUUAUGUGUUUCUAAAUUAUUGAGUUUGAAGUGCUUUUUCUAAAUAUAAUUUUAUCGAUGUCUUACGUGUGAAAACAAAUAAUUUUUUUAUAUGAAGUGAGGGCCAUGAAAAUAAUAAUCUCUGGACCGGCCUUGCAAGGAAGGGCCAUGAAAAGGGAUACCCACCGGGGUUGAGGAAUUGGAAAGGCCAGAGAGGAAAAUUAGAAGAACCAUAAGCAAAUGGAAGGGGAGAAGAAAGAAAAAACAAAAACCAAAAACCACCCACCGAUCCCACCUGCAGCUAGGAUCGGCGGUACCAAACAAAAACACGAUUGGGAAAUCACUCACACCAUAUGGUGAGAAGCACCCUCAAACAAAGGGAAGGACUCUCACAAGGAGAGAAAAGAGGAAAGUAUUCUUACUUCACUUUUCUUUGGCAGGUACUGUUUGGUCUGGAGUGCGGUGCAUCUUUUUCGAUAAUGAAUCCAUGUUUGAAGAUAAGUGGAACGAUAAUCUAGUCUAAAAAAGAAAACGCCUAGAACUAGAAAAUAAGCGAUUUGGAUCGUUAUACAACAUCAAUAAGAAUCAGAAAAAAUUGGAAAAGAAAAAAAAUUCCACGUUUUACGUGUGUGGUAUAAAGCGUAGAACCAAACCGGUAAUGACGUAUGUGCGGCACUACGACAUUCUCUAAUCAAAUCGUAAACGAAUUGUCCUGAAACUUUUUGGCUUAGGACAAUAAAGCGGAUUAAAUAAUUAACUCAAUCCACAAUAGCCGUCCGAUUUCAAUCCCACUCUCAAUUACUUUUCGAAUCAACGGCCACCCUUGUCCCUCUCUUUUUCUCUCUCCUCACUCAGACGAAGAGAGAGAGAGAGGGAGCGGAGAAGGAAAGAAAGAACCUUUUUUUCACAGAAGAGGGGGUUGGAAUCCCAUCAAUCCAUCUUCCCCCUCCUUCGCUCCCUCCUUUUUCUUCCACUCUCUGAAAAUUUCCCGGAAAAUAAUAGGGAAGAAGGAAGGUCCGAGAGAAACCCAGCAGCUCCGAGCAAUCGGUCCUUCGAUUUAUGGGUUCGCUUCGGGAUUUUGAUUAGUGGGUUUUGGAUAAGUUUCCAUUUUUUCAAUUGGGUUUGGUGAAAACUUCGAUCUUUUGGGGGUGUUCGAGGGGAAGAGCGAUGGACUUGGAAAGCAUCGAGUGUGUGUCGUCCUCAGAUGGACUCGAUGAGGACGAGAUCCAUCCCCACCACAACACUCUGCACCCGCAUCCUCAUCCUCAUCAGCACCACCAUGAAUUUUCCAAGCCCAGAAGCAAUGUCACCACCAACGCCACCAUCAACGGGCCCACCGCCAUUGCUCCCGCCACCAGCGUCCACGAGCUGCUCGAAUGCCCCGUCUGCACCAAUUCCAUGUACCCGCCAAUCCAUCAGGUCAUUUUUCUCUCUAUUUUUCCUGCAUUUGGUUUUAAUUUUAUUGAAUUGGGGUUUUGUUUGGGUAUUGGUAAUUUUGUUGCUUGCAUUUCUGUUUAUUGAGUGCAAAUGGAAACUUGGGCUUUUGAAUGAAUUGAUUAAUUUGAUGUAUUUGUGGUUUUCUUCUGUUGGAAAUUGGUCUUUUUGAUUCGAUUUGUGGAACUAGGCUUUGGGUCGAGUUUGGCUUUAGGAUUUUGGAUAGAUGAUAUAUGGUUCUACUGAAAGCCGACUGGGGUUUGAUUGUAUGAACGAGCGAUGAUAACUAGAUUACGGAUCUUUUGGGUCCGCGGAUGAUUCAGAUAGAUGAUCCAGGUAGAUGAUCCAGGUGCUGCUGAUUUAGUAUUUGGAGUCAUGGAAUGUUCUUACUAAGAAUGUAAAAGUUAGUCAACUUUGUCAAAUACAAGCUCCUGACUCUGCAAGAAGGGUGUGUUCCGGGCACCAUUGAAACUUUCAAUCACUUCUGGUUGUAGUUUCAAUCACUUCUGGUUGUAGUUUCAAUCACUUCUGGUUGUUCUUGUGAAAACUAUAGUACAUUAACUGUUGUUGCGGUCCAAUGAAACACGGGUUCCUUACUGAGGAUGCACAAUUUACCAUUUUAAGUAGCUGGAACUUUUUUUCCCAAGACCUCCUUGGCAUGCAUAUGCUUAUUUCCGUUGGUCUGAACCGUAGUUUUGCAUUGACGUGAGUUUGGUGCGUCGUGCGGAAAGUUUUCUUGUUAUUGAAAGAUGGAUACUGUAUUGAUUUCUCUAAUAUCAUGAUGGUUAUUGUAAUUCUGAUGAACUGAUCUCCUUUUCUGAUAUAAAAUUUGCUUAUCUGCAGUGCCACAAUGGCCACACACUCUGUUCCACUUGUAAAUCGAGGGUACACAAUCGCUGCCCCACUUGUAGACAGGAGCUUGGAGAUAUUAGGUGUUUAGCGCUGGAGAAGGUGGCCGAGUCACUUGAGUUACCCUGCAAGUAUUACGCCUUGGGAUGCCCAGAGAUAUUCCCGUACUACAGCAAACUAAAGCAUGAAUCGGUGUGCAACUUCAGACCGUACAAUUGCCCUUAUGCUGGAUCGGAGUGCUCUGUUGUUGGAGACAUCCCUUUCCUGGUUGCCCAUCUAAGGGAUGAUCACAAGGUGGACAUGCACACAGGAUGCACAUUCAACCAUCGUUAUGUGAAGUCAAAUCCGCGGGAAGUAGAGAACGCCACAUGGAUGCUAACAGUAAGUGGCAUGGAAUUUAACUAUAAUGCAAAUUUCUGUGGUUUGUCUAUUGUUUGUCCCUCUAACGCCUUUGGCGAUGAUUACUGCUCUAUCGAGAAUGGAACAAUCAAGUUAAAUUUGCUCCUAAUGUUAAGGGUUGCAUGCAGUUGAUCGCGUUUUCUGUUUUCUGUAAGUAGCAUGUUAGAGGAUGUGGUUAAAUCAACCGUGUUCCAUCCCGCCAAUCGGGACUGCCUGCAAGCUAGGCUUCAUUCUCAAUGUGCUUAUACCUGAAUUGUCUGCUUUUCCUGUCAGGUCUUCCAUUGUUUUGGUCAAUACUUCUGCCUACAUUUUGAAGCCUUCCAGCUCGGCAUGGCUCCUGUUUAUAUGGCAUUCCUACGUUUUAUGGGCGACGAGAAUGAGGCCCGGAAUUACAGCUACAGCUUAGAGGUUGGAGCGAAUGGCAGGAAACUCAUAUGGGAGGGGACACCACGAAGUGUCCGUGAUAGCCACCGGAAGGUCAGGGAUAGCCACGAUGGUCUCAUUAUCCAACGAAACAUGGCUCUGUUCUUCUCCGGAGGCGACAGGAAGGAGCUGAAGCUGAGAGUUACCGGGAGGAUAUGGAAGGAACAGCAAAAUCAAGAUUCUGGGGUGUGCAUACCAAACCUGUGUAGCUAAGACAAAUGAUUUUGAAAACUUUAAUGUUUGUUACUUGAGACACUGUCGUGUGUUGUUGUACCUGUGCCAGCUUCUUCCUGGUACGUUGUAACGAACCCGGUUUCUUGAGUUUGGGAAGUUUUCAGCUUUAAUAAAAUUGUAUAAUACGCAGGCGUUUUCUUCAUUUUCAAUUUGCUUGGUAACAAUACAACUAGCAUGCUUUUGAAUCAAGACAAUUCCAAUAAGCCUCAAUGCCAUAAACCCACUAAUUCCAACUGAGAAAAACGAUCUAUCACAAAUUUUCACCAGUUACCCAAAUUCAAACCGAUACCUGCUCAGUUGCGCCGUCACUUUUGGACUCUAUCUCAGCUGAGCCUUGGCCUUCUUCUCCGCUACGUUCCUCCUGACCAGUCUGUGCAGCUUCACUCGCUGAGGCAGCUUCACUCGCUGAGGCAGCUUCACUUGCAUUUUCAGUGGCCUCUGUAGAGCCUGCCUCAGGUUCUUUAUUCCCGAACAACUUGGAUGGAAGUAAGGAGGAGACAGCAGCUCUUGCACUUCUCUUUGCCGCUUCUGCUGCCUCGAGCUCCUUAGCCUUAACUUCAGCCUUCUGCCUUUCUUUCUCCUCCAUAAGCUUCCCCACUUCGUCCUCUCUCCCAUCCUUUCUCAGCAACCCUUUAACAAACUCCUGCACCUCCUCAUCGAAUUCAACCCCAUCGUCAUCCAGCAUUGUAUCUACCACAUUAAGCACCUCAUCGAGUUUACCAGCAUCACUCAACGUCUUCAUUAUAAACUGAUAGCUUGGAAUGUCCAUCUUGAGCUUCUUCACCAUCAAAUCGAAAAACGAUUUAGCCUCGUCAAUUUUUCCUACCUUAACCAAUCCAUCAGCCAACUUAUUAUAAACCGCCAAAUUCGGCCUCAGCUUGGCAUCAACCAUUUUUCUGAAGUACUCAGCUGCAUCAGCGGGCCUAUUCUCCUCGAAACAAGUAUCCAUCAACAAAACGUAUGUAAACUCAUCUGGAUUCACUCCCUUGUCGGGCAUUUCUCCAUAAAGCUCUUCAGCUUCACUCAGCAUCCCAUUCUUGCACAAUUGGUCAAUCAAAUUAUUGAAUGACAAUGCGUCCGGACUACACCUAUAGUCUCCCAUCUUCCUGAAAACCUCAAUGGCAUCCUUAAACCUCCCCUCUGCGCAAUACCCGUUCGCCAUCACAUUGAAGCUUCCCAAAUUCACAGCCAAACGCUUCGGCGGGUUAUGCUCCUGGAUCAUCCUAUCAAACAAUCUCAAUGCCUCGUCAAACUUGCCAUUCUUGCUCAAGGCAUCCAAAACAGAAUUAUAAGCCACGGCGCUCAUCUUCACCUUGGAACUCUCUCCCACAGCCUCCUCAUAACAAUCCAUGGCCUCCUUCUCCAUCUCCCUCAUGAAAUACCCCUUCAUCAAGCUCCCAUACACAACCCCAUCUUCCACAGCCCCUCCCAACUUCUCCUUCAACUCCUCAUAAAGCUUGAAAACCCCAUCCGAAUCCGAAUUCUUCACACAUCCCUGCAUCAAGUAAUGGUAAACAACCGGGUCCGGCACGAAACCCUUGACAUCAAUUUCCUCCUUGAGCUCCAUAGCCCUGUCCAAUUUAUUGUUAUCCACCAACCCUUUGAUCAAAAUCCGAUAAGUGGUGGGGGAAGGGUUGAAGGGGGCGUCAUUGAUCAGCUGCUUGUAGUGUUCCAUGGCGGUAUCGGGCUUGCGACAAUCCAUAUAAGUCUGGAAGAUGAGAUUGUGAGUGAUGAUAUUGGGGGCAACGCCGGCCUGAGUGAUGAAACGGUGGAGGGUGAGGAGGUCGGAGUACUUGGACUGACGGAGCUGAGCAGUGAGCACGGCGUUGACGGUGAAAAUGGUGGGUCGGCAGUUGGAGUAGAUGGAGUGGCGGGUGUAGAGAGCAGCCUCCUCGAGAUCAUUCUGGCGGACGAGGGUGAGAAUGCGGUUGUGGAGGUUGAGGCGGUUGCCGGAGAGGGCCGAAACGGGUUCAGGGAGCUUGGGGGCGUUAGGGUUUAUUUGGGGUUUUGGGGACUGUUGCUGUUGUUGCUGCUGGUUGCGGUGGAGGGAGGAGAGAGGGGGUUCGAGGCGGAGGCGGCGCUUGCGCUGGCGUCGUUCGGCGGCGGCUUCUUCGGGGGUGGCGAAGGAGAGAAAACGGAGGGAGAUGAAAGAGGGUGGCGCUAAACGGCGGCGAAUUGGGGGCUUUGCUAGGGUUUUGAGGUGGGUAAGGAAGGUGGGUUUGGAGAGAGCCAUUGAUUUGGUUCAGAGUUUCAGAGAUUUGGGGUUCUGAGGGGGUUUAGAAAACCUGAAAUGGAACAAAGGGAUUUCACUGAAUUUUGAUCAACUCGAUUUUGUGGUAAAAAUUGGGCCUUCAACUUAGAGUUUGUCAUAGGCCCAUUAGGUUCUAUGCUCUCAUUUUUUAUCAGUAGGCCCAUUCAUUUAACCUCCACCGCUAAGAGAAGAGAUCCUCUCCGGAUCUCUUUCACCAAGGCCAUCGGAUCAAGUGAUCCAGGCCUUUGAAAUUUCAUCAAACGGUCAAAAAUCAUUAUAGCUUUUAAGGGGUCAAAACAGGUGGGCCGUUAGAUGAAAUUUUAAAGACCCGGAUCACUUGAUCCGAUGGCCUUGGUGGAAGAGAUCCGGAGAGGAUCUCUUCUCCACCGCUAACUAGUUAGUAAGUUUUUUGUCAAAUCAAAUACCAUGUCAAUACGACCUUAAUCAUUUUAUUUUUUUGAAUUACUCCAAUAAUUUGACCUAAUUUUAGGUCAGAACUGAAAGAUGAUAAUUGUAACAGGGUGACUGGAAGUGGAGGAUUAAUUAUAGAUUGGUAUGGUAACUAGAUCAUUGGUUUAUUGUUAAAAAAGAAGUUGGAGAAGUUUCCAUGCUAAGCUUUGGGUUUUGUUUUAUGGGUUGAGAUAGCUAAAGCUAGAAAUUUCUCUCAUCUUAUUAUGGAGGCUGAUUCUGCUUUGGUGGUCUUUCUCAUUCAUGGUUCUCCUAGCUGUAAUCAUCCUUUCUAUGGUCUUGUCUAAGAGUGCAGAAGUUUGAUCAAAGAGAACUAGAGUUGCAAUUUGCAGCAUAUGUUCAUAGAAAACGUAAUUUUGCAGCUAACGGGUUAGUCAAGUUGGGUUUAAAUAACGACAUGGAUUUCUGACGUACUUUUUGUUUUGUGACACACUAAUGAAAAUUUAAGUAAGGUACACAUUAAGAUUAGCUAUAUCGAGCCUAAUUUCAAUAUCAUUAUUAAGAGUACAACUUAAAUAAGCUUUUACUUUUUAGAUGGGUUUCGAUCCCUCCCCCCCCCCGAGCACACCCACCCCACCCCCAGGUUUUAGAUGGGUUUCGAUCCCCCCCCCCCCCCCCCACAACACACCCACCCCACCCCCAAGCUGCGUGGACAGAGCUACAUAAGGCCUAGGGAUGGCAUCCGCCCCCACUCAGAUUUUUGGGUGAGGAAAGCAAAAAUGUCAUGACAAUUAAAACAACAAUUAAAAUUUUGAUUUUGGUUCCAAAUAUUCCACGUUUUCUAACCUAAAUCAAACUCAGUUGAACUAGGGGUUUCAUAAAUACAUUGGAUUCAAUUGAUGAAGUAUCAUAAUUUAAUACAAAAAUUUUACUCCAAAGUAUUUUAUAUGAAUUUACUUCAUUCAUUUGUUUGUGGCAUUACAAUUUAGAAUUUAACUUUCUAAUUUAGAGAUUUUUUACUGUAUUUGGUCAUCAAUAACCUAAAACCCAUCAUUUUACUUGGUUGUUUUAAAACACCCCUAAUCAAAAAAAUUUCUAGCUUCGUCCUUGCCGGGCUGUAUAAAUUAUUACUUUCUAACCAACUUCUAUGGAAAUGGAAUGCCUAGCCAGCUAACGUGCACUCAAUUGUAACAUAUAUUUUAUUGGUCACAUCUCCUUCAACAAGACUUUGUCUGCGUUGCAAUAUUGUUAGUGGAGGUGACUUGAUCAAUGAAUGGCUUCACAAUAAAAUUAUCGGACACGCAACAUUAGCUAACACACUUUCUAAUAGAGUUGAGCUGUAUUAUUAUGCACGAGUUGAUAGGCUAAGCCCGCCAAAUCAAAUUUCAAAUAGUUCUCUCAUCACAUCCAGUCCAUUAUCACUUGAUGCUUCUACUCAGUUUGAAUCAUUCAAAGACCUUAGGGGUUUGAAUUUUUGAAUUUAUGAGCUAUUUUUUAAAGGAGUUUGAUCUUAUUUCAAACUCACUCUUGUAAACCAUAUAUAAGCGACGUGAGAUAUGCAGAAAGCUAAAUUUUCUAGCCAAACUACAAUCAAAGUUUCUUAUACAAGUAUCAAAAGUAAAAAAUGUAUUAACAAAUGCAUAUACUAUUAGUUUUUGAGUGUCCAAAUAACAUACCUAUAACUUAACGCAACUAUCACAAAUAUGGUAAGCGAAAGAGAUUUGCAUUUAUCAAAUGGAAAUUUCAUUAACAAUUUAAGCCGAAAUGGUUUAGGGCAGUGCUAUCCACAAACUCAUUUAUUAUCCACAGACUUCUCUUAAUUUCCGUCCAUUAGAUCGAAUGAAUUGAAGAACAUAAAAUGACAUAAGGUAUAUAGGAGGUAAAAAGAAGUAUGUGGAUAGCACCGUCCAAAAUUAAUACAUACUUCAAGAAGGGACUUGAUGAAUGAAAUAAAUUAAACGCAUGUGUUUAUACCAUACUUAGGGUCUCCGUAUUUAGAUCUCGUAUAAAUACUCGGGGGACUUAAAUGUAAUUAUGUAAUAAAGGAAAUAGCAAAUAUGUAAUAAGUGAGGAGCCCUUAUUCUAUAAAAUGGACUCCUCACUCUCACAAUAGGGGAGGCCAAUUCCUAAGCCUUCUCACCCCAGAGAGCCUCCUCACAUCCCCUAAACUCUAAGCUUUCUCAAAGCUCUCACUCUCAUAUUCAGAGCUCUAUCUUCCUCAGAAAUACAAUAUCAGUGUGGAUGUAGUCCAAACAUUGGGGUGAACCACGAUACAUCUUGUGUUAUUUACUUUCUUGCAGAUUCACAGUCGGAUUUACGUUGUUCCAAGACCCCUCCGGUUUGUGCAUCAACAUUUGGCGCCGUCUGUGGGAAUUGACACCAAAAAGCUAUGUCGGUUCUCUUUCAUUUUUUCAUCUCACCAUCGUGAGACCUCAUCACUGUCCACCUUGAAUCUACAAAAAACCCAAAAAACCUAAAAACCCAAAGCUUUCCCAGAAAACCCAACAGUUCAUUCUCUCUCUAACUUUAUCUCUCCACAUUCCACUUUCAGUCACUUACUCUCUCACGCCACCAACUCCAAACGCCCAUUCCUCUCUCCCCCUUCCAUCCCUCUCUCUCAUGCCCUAACUCAGCACCUAAUUCACCAGAUCUGAGCCCGACCACACCAGAUCGAACCUUAGAGUUUCUCUGAUAGAGGAAGCACUGGAGCUCGCGCGUGCCAAGGACACCAAGGAGCACAUGGCAGGAGUUGAGUGCCUGCAUCAGCUUCUAGAAGCGUCCAGAAAGAGCCUGACGUCGCUCGUUAACCGCUGCUUGGAUCUUCUCAAGAACAACAACUUCAGAGUCUCCCAGGAUGCUUUGCAGGCCCUUACCUCCGUCAUUGUGCUCUCCGGCGACUACCUCAAGCUUUGCAGGCCCUUGUCUCCGUCGCUGGGCUUUCCGGCGACCACCUCAAGCUCUAUUUCAAUGUGCUUGUUCCCGCCGUCGUUGAGUGUUUGGGCGAUGGAAAACAGCCUGUCUUCCGAAUUCGAUUGCAGUUUCCAAUUUCUGGAAUUUCAAAUCUUCCCACAGUAGUAUCCGAUAAACAGUAGCCACAUGCAAUAUGAUCCGCGACCCUUGCUAUUGGACAACUUCAAGGGUUUGAUUUUUGCUUUGUUUUCAAGUUUGUUUAUCGGUGCUAGUUUCAUUGUGAAGAAGAAGGGAAAGGCUGGGUUGUCUUCUCAUCGGUUCCUUUUACAAAUCACAAAACCAGAAGCCGAAUGAGAGAUGGUAGAAAUCUGAGUUUUCGAUUGAUGUAGUGCUUGGGUUGCUAAGGUUUCUCUUUCUGUGAAAAUGGAGGGGGUGGAUCAUUUAGCGUAAGAACGGAGCAAGGCACAGUUUGAUGUCGACCAGAUGAAGGUCAUCUGGGCCGGCUCUCGCCAUACCUUGAAAGUCUCCGAUCGAAUUGUUUGCCUCGUCGCUAGCGAUCCGAUCUUUAGAAAAGAUAAUAGAACAUUGCUGAGUAUGAAGGAUUUGUUUAAAAACACUCUGCAAAAAGCCGCUCAUGCUUGGAAACGGAUCACAAAGCGGCGACUAUCCAAGGAAGAGGCAUACUGGUUAAGGCAUUAUGUGGAUCAACCAGCGUAUACGAAUCUUCACUGAAGACCUCGAUGAGGCUAAGGAAAAGGAAAAGGAAAAGAUGCUGAGUCGACUCAAGCAACUUGGACGAGUUAUGAAGCAGAGGCGCUGAGUCAAGCCGGCGAGUUUUACAUUUAGAACUCCAUAUUUGAACAGGGGAAUGAUAAUCAUGUGCUAUGGGUCAUCUUUUAGGAAAAAGAAAGAAAAGCAAAAGUAAGAAAAAGAAAAAGGAGGAGGAUAUAUCUUGACCAGGCUGCACAUGCUCCCACUUUUUCUGAAGAAGCCACUGGAAAGCAAGAUAAUUCUAAUACGUUGAAAUCUCAACUUGACCAAUGGAAAGCUGUUGUUGAUAAUCUUGUGUCUAAUACACGGCUUUUAGAAAGCAAAAGGGGGGCACAUGGGGACACUGCAAAAGCAAGAAAUAAACACCCCACCAGAAUGAUGUAAUUUAUUUUUCGUAUCUUUCGGAGAUAUCUGUAUAAACCCCAUCAGAGGGUAAUAAAAAAAAUGGCAAGCCCAAAAUAAUGGGCUGGAAUAUUAUGUGGAGGGCGAAGACCCAUAUGCCCAAAAGAGUCAGGCCUUCUAUUAUCACCAAUCAGGUGAUCAAAAGUACGUCCAGUACUACAAAAAAUUAUUCAGCAGGCUGCCGCUAUUACCACCAACCAGGUGAUCAAAAGUACGUCUAGUACUCCAAAAUUAUACAUGAACAUCACUCAUGUCAAUCAUACAUAAACAUUCAUGAGUAUCACUCAUAACAAUCAUACAUAAACUUUCAUGACCAUCAUUUAUGUUAACAUUCAUGAGCAUCACUCAUGUCAACAUCCAUGAGCAUCACUUAUGUUAAUCAACAUAAACAUUCAUGAGCAUCACUCAUAUCAAUCUAGCUUCAAAAGCUUCAUUUAUAGAGCUCUAGCUUCAAAAGCUUCAUUUACAAAGCUCUAGCUUCAAAAGCUUCAUUUACAAAAGCUCCAGCUGCAAAGCUUCACUUGCAAAGCUUUACCUACAAAGCUUCAGUGCAAGGUACACAAAUACCGCAUCCGAACAACUAUCACUUCGGCCCAUACAUGGAUUCAAUUUGAAGUCUCCAACCAACAAACUCUAUUGAUCGAAGAAUUGGGGGACUACACUAUACACCAUAUAUUGGGCCUCAACUAGGCCUCAUGAAAAAUACUUGGGGGGCUUAGCCCAUUAUUUAUGUAUUGAGGAGCGAGCCCUUAUUCUAUAAAAGGGACUCCCUCACUUUCAUUAGAGAGCACUCAUGAAAAAUUCUUGGGAACUUAGUCCUUUAUUUAUGUAUUGAAGAGCGAGCCCUUAUUCUAUAAAAGGGACUCCCUCACUUUCAUUAGAGAGCACCCAUUAUUCAUAUACUGAGGAGCGAUUCCUUAUUCUAUAAAAGGGACCCCCUCACUAUCAUUAGAGAACAUCGCCGCCAGCUGAGCAACCACCUCACCGCUAGCAUCACUCCAAACCCAUCACUUAUGUAUUGAGGAGCGAACCCUUAUUCUAUAAAAGUGACUGCCUUACCUUCAACGCCAUAAGCCGAGCCAACCAAGGCAACAUAAGCCAUAAGCAGAGCAGCCACCCAACAUGUGCUACUUCUAGUUGAGUAUCAUUUCAGAUUGGGCACCGCCUCAUAUCGAGUAUCAGUUCUAGACGAUAUCUAGUUACUUCGGCCCACACAUGGACUAAAUUUCAAGUCUCCAGCCAAAAGAGUCUAUUGACUGAAGACUUGGGGGACUACUGUUUAUACCAUACUUAGGGCCUCCGUAUUUAGACCUCGUAUAAAUACUUGGGGGGACUCAAAUGUAAUUAUAUAAUAAAUGGAGGGGCAAAUAUGUAAUAGGUGAGGAGCCCUUAUUCUAUAAAAGGACCUCUCACCCUCACAAUUAGGGGAGGCCAUUUCUUAGGCCAUGGGAAGAGUUCUUUCACCCUUAUAAGCUCUCUCCCUCACUCCCUUCACUUCUCAGAGAAAUACAAUAUCAGUGUAGACGUAGCCCAAACCUUGGAGUGAACCACGAUACAUUUUGUGUUAUUUACAUUUCUUGCAUGAUUCACGAUCGAAUUUACAUUGUUCUAAGACCUCCGAUUUUGUGCAUCAACAUUUGGCGCCGUCUGUGGGAAUCAACACGAAAAGUUAUGUCGGUUCUCUCUCAAUUUUUCACCUCUGCUGUGAAUCUGCACAACCCAAGAACCCAAAACCUCACUCUUUGGCUUUUCCAGAAAAACCUUCGCCAUUUCUCUCAUCCAUUUUCUACUGUAUAAAACUCAGCCCGCUUCAAGCUGACGUGACAACAUAUCUUUUCACACCAAAUAAAUCAACCUAGUUUCCAAAAUCCCCAAAUUUUCCCUUCCUUUUCCUUUCCACUUUCACGAGGGCCAAACAAAAAAAAUAGAAACCUGCAACUUAGAAAAACCGUGGGAGACCGGUAAGGAAAUCGAGCAUGAAAACUGAGAAACUCGAAGGACAACGACCUCUCUCUCGCCCCCAUGGAUGCUCUAUCUUCCCUCUUUCUCUAUAAUUGGUAAAAAGUUCGAAUGUUUACUCCAGUUUUGCUUACUGGGUUGUCGAAUUUAUAGAGAAAGAAGAGUUGGUUUGUGAAUUCGAGAAGAUUCAAGUUCAACAGAAUCGUAAAUGGAGGCUCUGCACCGGACCCAACUACCCUGGCUCCAUCCAAAUCUCACUCGGCUACUUCCUCUUUCUCUCAUGCCUUCCACCCUGCUCUCCAAUCAUCAUCAACAUCCAAAACCCACCUGUAAUCUUCGAUGGGUCGGUGUUUCAAGACGGACCCACAUCGGGAAAUGGGCAAUGGACGGCUGUGGUUGUGGAGACGGAGAGGAAUCGGACGGAGAGGAAUUGACGGCUGGGUUUUCUACAUAAGAGAUGGGAGCUGGGACGCGAAUGUGGUUGCUGUAUAAGACAUACACAUGGGGAGCACAAAAAAAUCUGCAUAAGACAUCGAGCACACCAGAAUUGGAAGGGCAUCAAUAUAUUUUUUCCUUCGGGGGAUGAUCGUUUUUGGACCAGAGGUAAGAUCGUUGGGGCUGACCAUAUUUCUGAUUGUUGCUCCUAGGUUGAAACCCCAUUUUCAGCUUCUAGGUCGAUACCUUGUUACCUGUUCCUGGGUCGAUACCCCAUUUCAACUUCUGUGAAUCGUGGGUCACGUUUGAUGAUAGAUCCCGUCAUACUCGGGUUUUCUCCCGCACCCAGAAGCUUACAGUGUUACAUCUUCAGUAUAUCGUACUCGGGUUUUCUCCCGCACCCAGAUCCCGUCAUGGCGCUCGAUCUCAGCUCCCUCGCCUCUAUUAGGAGCUUCGUCUUCAAUUCCGACAUUUGACUACAUCAGGGGUUUAAGCAUCGAUCCACGAGCGCACUGCUCUGUUACUUUGAGCUGUCAUCCGGAGCUUUAGCCAGUAACCAUGUGAUAAGUUCAGAAUACCCAACAAUAUUUUGACAGAUCGGGAAAGCAAUAAUAAAAGCAAAUAGUCAUGGCCAUGAUGGCAAUGAUGAACUACUUUAUCGGGGACAUGGAAAAGGAGAAGUGUUUGGCCUAACCUACACAUCUGGGGAUAUAGUUGGAGGUGGUAUCAAUUAUGAUUCACAGGAAUUCUUUUUCACUAAAAAUGGAGCCUUGGGGAUGGACUCAUGGACCAUGCAAAAAAAAAAAAAAAAAAGCAAAAGCAAAAACGGAGAUAAGAUUCUUUGCUUAUUAUUGAAAUCUAUUAUCAUUCCUUGUCUGCCAUAUUCAUCAGGGUCAAGAAACAGAAACAAAAGCAAAAGCAAAGCAGAAAAGAAAAGAGAAAAGAAGAAACAAAAAGCAAAAGCAAGGAAUAAACAUCUCACCAAAAUGAGGUGAUUUACUUUUCUUGUUUUUGAAUGAUGUAAUUUAUUUUUCUUAUCUUUCAGAGACAUCUGUAUAAACCCCAUCAGAGGGUAAAAAAAAAAAAAAACUACAAAGCCCAAAAUAAAUAGGCUGGAAUGUUGUGUGGAGGGCAAAUGCCCAUAAACCCAAAAUGGCACCAACCAGGUGACCAAAAGUACGUCCAGUACUACAAAAAAUUAUUCGGCACCCCACCGCUAUUAUCGCUAACCAGAUGAUCAAAAGUACGCCCAGUACUAAAAAAUUAUUCAGUAGCCUGCCGCUAUUAUCACUAACCAGGUGAUCAAAAGUACGCCCAGUACUUCAAAUUAUACAUGAGCAUUACUCAUGUCAAUCAUACAUAAACAUUCAUGAUCAUCACUCAUAUCAAUCAUACAUAAACAUUCAUGAGCAUCACUCAUGUCAACAUUCAUGAGCAUCACUCAUAACAUCCAUGAGCAUUACUCAUGUCAAUCAACAUAAACAUUCAUGAGCAUCACUCAUGUCAAUCAGCUUCAAAAGCUUCAUUUACAGAGCUCUAGCUUCAAAAGCUUCAUUUACAAAAGCUUUAACUUCAAAAGCUUCAUUUACAGAGCUCUAGCUUUAAAAGCUUCAUUUACAAAAGCUCCAGCUGCAAAGCUUCACCUACAAAGCUUCAGUGCAGGGUAUACAAAUACCGCAUCCGAACAGCCGCCACUUCGGCCCAUACAUGGAUUCAAUUUGAAGUCUUCAGCCAAUAGACUCUAUUGACCGAAGACUUGGGGGACUACAUUAUGUACCAUAUAUUGGGCCUCAUGAAAAAUACUUGGGGGACUUAACCCAUUAUUUAUGUACUGAGGAGUGAGCCUUUAUUCUAUAAAAGGGACUCCCUCACUUUCAUUAAAAAGCACCCAUUGCUUAUGUACUGAGGAGCGAUCCCUUAUUUUAUAAAAGGGACUCCCUCCUCUUCACUAGAGAGCAUCGCCGCCAGUUGAGCAACUGCCUUGCUGCAAGCAUCACUCCUAACCCAUUACUUAUGUACUGAAGAGCGAGCCGUUAUUUUAUAAAAGGGACUCCCUCAUUUUCAUUAAAGAGCAUCGCCGCCAAAUGAGCAACCGCCUCGCCGCGAGCAUCAACUCUAGCCCACCAUUUAUGUAUUGAGGAGUGAGCCUUUAUUCUAUAAAAGAAACUCCAUCACCUUCAACAUCACAAGCCGAGCCAACCAAGGAAACACAAGCAGAGCAGCCUCGUAACAUGUGCUACUUCUAGUUGAGCAUCAUUUUAGAUUGGGCACCGCCUCAUAUCGAGCAUCAGUUCUAGAUGAUAUCUAGUUACUUCGGCCCACACAUAGAUUGAAUUUCAAGUCUCCAGCCAAAAGACUCUCUUGACUGAAGACUUGGGGGACUACUAUUUAUACCAUACUUAAGGCCUCCGUAUUUAGAUCUCGUAUAAAUACUCGACGGACUCAAAUAUAAUUAUGUAAUAAUGGAAGGGGCAAAUAUGUAAUAAGCGAGGAGCCCUUAUUCCAUAAAAGGGACUCCUCACCCUCACAAUAGGGGAGGCCAAUUCCUAAGCCUUCUCACCCCAGAGAGCCUCCUCACAUCCCCUAAGCUUUAAGCUCUUUCAAAACUCUCACUCUCAUAUUCAGAGCUAUCUCUCCCUCAGAAAUACAAUAUCAGUGUGGACGUAGCCCAAACAUUGGGGUGAACCACGAUACAUCUUGUGUUAUUUACUUUGUUACAGAUUCACGGUCGGAUUUACGUUGUUCUAAGACCUCUCUAGUUUUAUGCAUCAAUAGUAUGGUUGUUGAUAAGUAUGUGGCAAACCUGUGUUUAUGCUAAUAGGGAUUAGUAAGUUUAAUUAUAUGUUAAUCCCAUUGAUGUUGUUCCUCAUUAAAUGGUGCGUGACCAUGAAUUAGGCAUCUUUUUGUACUCAUAUUAGGACAAGGAUUGUCUGCCCUUCCACUUUCCGUGCCCUUCCGUGCCCUCCUGUUUAUGUGGUCACGGUUAAGCUAUGUCAACAUUUUAUAUCACUAUUCAUUUUUGUCUUAUUAUCUCUAUAAAAACAAUAAUAUAAAAUGUUGACGUAGCUUAACCGUGACCACAUAAAACAGGAGGGCACGGGAAGUGGGAGGGCAGACAAUCCUUGUCCCUCAUAUUAUUAUAUCAAUCUGUGUUGAUAUUUUUCUCUGUCUAUGUCUAUUGGUUGGAAAACGAUCUUCGUCGGAUCUUUUUUUCUGGGGAUUCUGUAAUCGUGAUCGUUCAUUGUAUAUUAUACGAUUAGAAAUAAUUUUCCUUUUAAAAUUUAAAAUUAAAUAUAAAUAGUACCUAGCGAAAACUGACCGCACGAUAUACAAUGAAUAGUCACUAUCGCGGGAUCCCCAGGAAAAGAAUCCGAUGAGGAUCUUUUUCCUUAUUAGUUUGCUGCUCUUCACAAGUGCUCUCGCACGUGCGAGAGACAUUUUUUUUCAUUCACGCAUUUAUCUACUAUGGACAAUUUAUGUUAUACCAUUUUGUGCAUCCCCUUCGUAAUGUAUUUUAAUGAUUUGAAUCGUCUAUCUUUUAGAACAUCAUUCAUAGAUCAUCCUUGCAAAAAAUUAGACAAGUCCAAAACCAUUAAGACAUUCAUCUGUAAGGAAAAUACACAAAUAAGGUUAUGCAAAGAAGCCAUAAUCCUUUAAUCCAACAGUCAUAUGGUUUCAGAUUGGGGUGUGUAUCACCAUGAAGAACAUGGGCACGUUUUGCUGCUACCACGAGCAUAACGGCCAUGACGGCGAGAAGUGUAUCACCAUUCGUGAUCAUAUGGAAGCUUUGGCUAGGUUAAUGUGAUAUAUUCCAUAAGUGGUGGCACACCCAUAUCUAAAUCUUCCAACAUGGCUAUGAAAAACAAUGAACGAGCUUUAAGGCCUGGCCAUCAAGUGUUUCACGUGGAAAACAUCAGGGGAGGUAAGUAUCAAAAGCCUAACUGGGAUCCAAUAUGUUUCUACCCCGAGGAAGAAAGAGGUAUCAUCUACCCUCACAACAACCCACUGAUCGUGGAUGCUCACAUAGCUAACUUUGAAGUACGACAAAUCCUGGUAGACACGGAGGCUUAGGUCAAUAUCAUGUUUGCUAAAGCUUUCAGGCAACUUAAUGUAGCUGAACACUUGCUCGAUCGCUCGAUUUCUCCUAUGAGAAACUUCUCCAGUGAUAUCGUGCAACCUUUAGGGAGCAUACACUUACCUUUCACCAUUGGUACAUGCCCUUACACUGCUACCAUUAUCACUAACUUCCUGGUGGUUGAUUGCCUAACGACAUAUAAUGUCAUCUUCGGACGCACAUGUAUCAAUGAUCUCAAGGCCAUGGUAUCCACACAUAUGUUGAUGAAAUUUCCAACCCCCUAUGGCAUUGGUUACAACAAAGAAGAUCAACUUAGUGCACAAUCAUGUUACAACACUUCGGUCAAGCAACAAUACCUGCCUGUGCCCAAGGAAACCCUUUUUAUACAUGACCAAGUCAUAAAGACCAACCUAGACGAAGCCAACUUGGAUCUUCACGGUGGCAAUAGUCAACCCGAUGAUCCUCGAGACGACUCUUUCACCUAGCAAACACAACCUGCUGAAGAGUUGGAGAAGGUUUCUAUCUCAAAAGAUUAUCCAGAUCGCAUGGUGAAGAUUAGCACCACCUUGUCACCACCCAUUCGGUUGGCAUUUAUCUCUUUUUUGCAAGAGAACAUUGAGGUCUUCGCCUGGUUAUACGAGGACAUGUUAGGCAUCUCUCCCGAUAUCAUAUGUCAUCGCUUGAGUAUUGAUCCCAAGACCAAGCCGGUGAGACAGAAGCGAAGAUCUUAUAACGCUAAACGAUACGAAGCAAUGAAGGCAGAAGUUGAAAAACUCAAAGGCAUAUGCUUCGUCCGCGAAGUCAAUUACCCAACAUGGGUAGCAAAUGUGGUCCUUGUUAAGAAAAAUCCAACCAAAGAAAGUCUCCUACUCCAAAAGGUCUUGUGGAGAAUGUGUGUCGAUUACACCGACCUAAACAAAGGAUGCCCGAAUGAUAGCUUUCCUCUUCCUCUCAUUGACAAACUUAUAGAUUCUAUGGCAAUGUGUGAACUUCUGAGCUUCAUGGAUGCUUAUUCAGGAUACAACCAAAUCCCCAUGAACCCUUCGGACUAAGAACACACAACCUUCACUACUGACAGGGGACUAUAUUGCUAUAAAGUCAUGUUAUUCAGCCUAAAGAAUGCAGGAACGACUUAUCAGAGACUAGUCAAUUCAAUGUUCGCUGAACAGAUUGGGAAGAGCAUGGAAGUUUACGUUGAUGAUAUGUUAGUCAAGAGCAAACAUGCUGACCAACACAUCUCUAACCUAUCUGAAACUUUCACCAUUCUGAAGAGGUAUCGAAUGAGGUUGAACCCCAACAAAUGUGCCUUCAGCGUAGGCUCUGGCAAAUUCUUAGGCUUCAUAUAAGCCAAUGAGGCAUUGAGGCUAAUCUCGAGAAGAUCAAAGCAAUCCUCGACAUGAAGGAACUGGUAACUUUAAAAGACAUCCAGAGCCUUACUGGCAAUGUGGCAGCCUUAACUAGGUUCAUCUAUAAAGCCACACACAGAUGUGCUCCUUUAUGCUCUAAGUUCAACAUUAACUUAUGUUUUGCCUCUCCAGCUCAUCCCCAGUUUAAUGGACAAGUCGAAGCCAUUAACAAAAUAAUCAAGCGAACUUUGAAAACCAGCUUGGACAAGGCUAAAGGUUGUUGGCCAAAAUUAAUACCCCAAAUUCUUUGGUUAUACAGCACUUCGUAUUGAACAUCAACAGGAAAAACCCCAUUCUCACUUACCUUUGGUACAGUGGCAAUUGUCCCAGUUGAGCUUAAGCAAGCAACGUUCAGAGUCCAGAACUACGUGCAAAGCGAAAAUGACAAACAACUUACCCUCAACUUAGAUCUAGUCGAGGAACACAAAAACCAAGCUCACUUGAGGAAUGUCGCCUACAAGCAGCGCAUCUCUAACUACUAUGACUCAAGGGUCAAACCUCGUUCUUUCAAAGUGGGGUACUGGGUAUUGAAGAAAAGAUUACUCUGCGAUAGAGUCCCGAGUGAAGGAACACUUAGUCCAAACUAGGAUGGACCGUUUGAAGUUGUUGGCAUUAAUCGCCCUGGCUUCUACAAGCUUAGAAGCUCCGAUGGUAAGACCCUUGUCCAUCCAUGGAACAUUGAUCACUUGAAAUAUUAUUACAAGUAAACUCACAUUGUACAAGUGUUAAGCUUCAGUAGUUCGACAUCCUAUGUAACAAAGACCAUUUGGCAUGAAUUCAAUAAAGAGGUGAUUUAGACAACUCGGUCCUAAUCUUCUUAUAUUCCUAGCAAUGAAACACUCGAGUUCAAAGCUUCAACAUGAAUGCUUCCAACAUGAAACAAAGUCUAAGUAUAUGUCAACAAGACUUAUAAAUAAACGAAUAGCUUCACAGUAUAUUCGUUCAAUCAUACAUUCCAACACAUUCAUACAUAAGCCAACUGUGCUUCGAAAGGGUUCAACAUACUUUAUGUCAUUCGACACUUGCUACAAUGUGCCUUGACACAUUGUCCUUAUUCUCACCAACCAGGUGAUGAAAUGUGAAUAAGGAACUCAUCUUCAUGCCACCAACUAGGUGAUGAAAUGUACAACUUGUACUCUCCUUCAUGCCACCAACCAGGUGAAGAAUGAACUCAUCUUCAUGCCACCAACCAUGUGAUGAAAUGUACAACCCGUACUCUAAUAUCAUUUGGCAACUUGCCAUUCAUGCCACUAACCAAGUGAAGAAGGAACUCAUCUUCGUGCCACCAACCAUGUGAUGAAAGGUGAUAGAGGAGCUCACCUUCGUACCACCAACCAAGUGAUGAAAGUAACUCACCAUUCAUUCCACCUACCAGAAGACAAGUGGUACAACUUGUACAUGCGAACUCGUAGCAUUCACAAAUAAUAAAAAACCCUCAAGCUUGAUAACUCAACUAGGGGAGCACUUAUGCCCAACAAGAGUUAUAGUCACCAACAAAGUCUUAUUGCAAGCCAACAACAACUUCAGUGCAUGGCAUACGAAGAUCAAGCUAUUCAACCCUCUUGCAUCUACUUCAGACAUUUAUCCUCAGUAACAAUGCAAAUACUACAACUAGUAGAAAGCUUCACACACUCUUGAUCAAGACAGUGUGAAGCAAAACUAAUUUAUGGUGCCAACAAGAGCUUCAUCAAAUGAGUUCAACCAUAAUUCUCAAAAGCUUCACAUACUCUUGAUCAAGAUAGUGUGAAGCAAACCAAUUUAUGAUGCUAACAAGAGCUUCAUUAAUGGAGGGCAACCACAAUUUUCAAAAGUUUCACACAAUCUUGAUCAAGACAGUGUGAAACAAAAUCAAUUUAUGGUGCCAACAAGAGCUUCAUAAAUGGAGGGCAACUACAAAUUCUCAAAAGCUUCACAGUAUCUUGAUCAAGAUAGUGUGAAGCAAAAUCAAUUCAUGGUACCCAACAAAAGCUUCAACUCCAAGGCUUCACCUACAAAAGCUUCAACUCCAAAGCUUCACCGACAAAAGCUUCAACUCCAAAACUUCACCUACAAAGCUUCACCUACAAAGCUUCAACUCCAAAGUUUCACCUACAAAGCUUCACCUUCAAGCUUCACAAAAGCUUCACCUACAAAGCUCAACUCCAAAGCUUCACCUACAAAGCUUCAACACAAAAGCUUCACCCACAAAAGCUUCACCCACCCACAAAAGUUUCACCUACAAAAGCUUCACCCACCCACAAAAGCUUCACCCACCCAUAAAAGCUUCACCCACAAAAGUUUCACCCACCUACAAAAGCUUCGUGCACCGACAAAAGCUUCGUGCACCGACAAAAGCUUCAAUACAAAAGCUUCACCCACAAAAGUUUCACCUACAAAAGCUUCACCUACAAAAGCUUCACGCACCCAUAAAAGCUUUACCUACUCAUAAAAGCUUCACCUACAAAGCUUCAACAUAAAAGCUUCACCUACAAAAGCUUCACACACUCUUGAUCAAGAUAGUGUGAAGCAAAAUCAAUUCAUGGUACCCAACAAAGCUUCACCUACAAAGCUUCAACACCAAAGUUUCACCUACAAAGCUUAAUAUAUAUAUAAUUUUUUUUUUUUCGAAAAUUCGAAAAUUCGAAAAUUCAGAAAUUCAGAAAUUUGAAAAAAAAAAUUGCCUAAGCCUCCUAUUCUUUGGGCCUAACAAUUUCAUAACAAAUAUAUACGAAGGAGGAGUUUUCGGCUACCACUUAGAAAGGAAAUGUCUCAUUCAUCAACUCCCUUGAUCGGAGACUUGGGGGACUCCUACCAUAUGCUACUGCACCUUGAUACUCGAAAGUCUCACGACCACUUAGUGACUUGGAUUUUUCAAGUCUCCAACCGAGAAGUUUUCCUCACUUGGGAAAUUAAGGGAGCACUACCUCAACAUAAUGCUUGACUCACAAAGCUUCAACAGACAAGCUUCAACAAAAGAAAAAAUUCAAAGAACUUAGUGAAGAAGGCUUUGAUGUAUUUAACACAAUACGUUGAAAUGAAGCAAAGCUUAUUUAUUGAUAUUUCCAAUAAGUUACAAAUAUGUACAUAUACAUGAGUCAAAAUAAACAAACAAGAGGGAGACUUCACAAAGUUUGCUCAGGAAAAGUCUCAGUAGUCGGCAGAGCCCCAGAAAGAGAAGGCAUCAGAGGGUGAUCAUUCAGAGCCUCAGUACUGGACAGAACCUCAGAAUGAGGAGGCAUCAGAGGUUGAUCAUUUGGAGCUUUAUUACGCAGUACAACCCCAGAAGACGAAGGCAAUAAAUGCCUUUGGAACAAACCCACAAACCUUUGAUGAUUAAGUAAAAUUUAACCAUCAGAUUCCUGCAUCUGGUCAAACUUCCCCCUUCAUGUUUGUAUCAUAGUCAUGUGCGAGACUGUGCAACUGUUUAUUCUCAUGCUUGAGCCUUUUAAUCUACUGUUUGAGACUUCACUUCAGCCGUCAAUGAUUCAACUUGGCGGGUUCGAGCAAAUAGGCGUUGGGCCAUAUUAGACACAGAACUUGCACACUAAACACUGAGAGCCAGAGAAUCCUUAACAGCUAACUCAUCAGACCGUUUGGAAAGUAGUCUGUUAUCUUUGGGAGUAAGAAGGUUCUUGGCCACCACCGCGGCGGUCAUAUAAUUCUUUAUUACAGAGUCCCCAACGGUAAGAAGACCAGUAAGGGAUAAGAAGAAUGGACGCCAUAUGUUGUCUUGAGGAGGCAUGACUGCUUCUUCACCAAAGUUCAAGUCAAAACGAUGGUCGGAUGGGCCAGACAUUCAAGCUCAACCGAUCCUCAUUGGUUCACAACCAUCAGGUUUUGAUUAGAUCAUUUGUUACCAUUUACAUCCAAUGUAGUCACUCUCUUCCCAUUUUUUUUUUUUAAAUUACUUAUUAAUUGAUAAGAAUGUAAAAACUACAGUUCAAAUUACCAAAAAAUGGAGAAUAUUAUAGAGCUCAGACAGUGGGCCAAGAAAAUAUUUUUCUUUUUCUUUCUUCUGAAAAAUUGUCAAUAAAUAAUUGUGCGACAGGCUGUUUUGUCCACAAAUUGUAACCUUUUCUUUUGGUCGGCAAAUUGCGAUCACGAACACCAUUUCUGCAUGGUGUUCUUUCACGUCUACUGUCGCCAUUGCCUAGUCCAUAUCCAUAAAGUUCUGUGUAGCUUUAGAGUACUUUCUUGAUUUUCAAAUGCCAUUCAAGCUCACUGUUGGAUAUUACUGGAAUUUUUUAUGGAUCUUUUUUUCUUCUUCAAUGGCGGAUAAGGUAUUACGUCUUACUCUCCUGUUGGCUGUGAAGGAUGACAAGCUACUUUAGGAGCCCUCAUCUCAUGGCAGUUUUCCUUUCCUUCUAGCUAUGAGCUUCUUCACAGUAGACAUAGCGUUUAUGGUUGGACAAAGGUUAUGAAGGUCGUUGCCAUCAUAUGAGAAAAGACAAAUAAUAUUUGUUUAGAAUCUACUUAGAUUUUCACUAAAGAUUAGUUGCAAAAAUAUUUUCAUAAAAAAAAAAUUCAGCCAUUUUAAAAAAUACUUCUUAACGUGCCCUAUAUUUUUUUUCCAAUACAGCUUGCAAGUUGCAAACAUAAUAGAAUGUAUUUUAGCAGAAAUUAAAACAUGUCCUUAUCAUAAAAUGUUAAAAUAAAAAAUAAAAAGUAUUGUGUCACAUUGAAGGAAAUGACUUAUAUGAAACAGAUUCACCGUUAUCGUCACACUUUAUUUAAAUAAAACAUAACAUGUGUAAGUUUUUAAUAUAUAUAAUUGAUUAAUUAUACAAUAUCACGUGACGGUAAACAUAUUUUAUAUAAAUUGGUCUCAUGAGAAGAAUAAAGAUUAUAGAUAAUGAUGCAAUGUCAUGAUACGAAACGUGCAAAAAUAAAAGGUAGUGAAACAAAAAGUACCAUCAAGUAAUUGGUAGGAUGCACAAAUUGACCCACAUUAUUACAAUUAUUAGUCGGUGUGAUUUGUUUAAAGUCGUGUUACUGAAUGAGGAUCCUCUCCUCUUUAUGAGGAUUCUGAAGAUUCUUAAAUCGUGUUCGUUCAUCGUGAGAUCAGUUUUCGUCAGAUAUUAUUCAUGUUUAAUUUUAAUAAUAUUUGACCACACGAUGUACGAUGACGGAUAUGAUUUGAGAAUCCUUAGGAUCAUCACAAAGAGGAUCUGAAGAGAAUCCUCAUUCACCAAGCAUCUCCAUCAAAUAGUUUUCUACCAUAAUUAAAUAGAGCCCACUUCUUUUCUUUUCAAGCAAAGAGUGGUACUUGUUUAGGGGGUAUGAGAACUCAUGCCAUCUCUAACCGAAUGAGGGUUAGAUGGCUGACCCUAUAGCCCUCCAAGAAAUUAUAUUUUAAUGAAUAGUGUCAUACCAUAUUUCAAACCAUCUCAAACCGAAAGGGCCAAAUGGUCAUAGGCCAAAUAUAGCACUGUGACAAAAAACUAUCUCCAACCAAAGGGGUCAAAGGGCCAUAGGCCAAACAUAAUUUAUUAUUUUAAUUGAAUUAAUAUAGUUAAUUAAAUUAAUUACCAUAUUAAAAUAAGAUUUUCGGACAUAGGAAGAUUAUUAGAAAUGAGGUAAGAUAGUAUAAAAUGGUGAAAAAGUAUGUGAGAAAUAGUGUAGGAAAAAAAUUAGAAUUUUUUUAAAAAUAAAAAGUGGGCUAGCUGGCUAGUUGGAGAUGGCCAGCCAGCUAGCCUAAUUUGGUGUUUUUGGCCCAAUGGGGCCCACAAGCCCUUUGGUCUAACCCUUGGUUGGAGACUAUUUUUGUGUCAUUUCGAGCUAUUUUUGACCCUAUAGCUUUCUGGUCGGAUCGGUUGGAGAUGACCGCAUAUACAAAAAUUGCUACUUUUUUAAAGCAAUGACUAUAUUAAUACCUCUUUUGCAAUUAUGUCACCAACACUAGUUUACCAUAACCACUAUUUUACCUCCAUAAUAACCAGUGUCACCACCGUCACUCCUAUGAGCAUCACCAUCAACCCUAUUAUGACGACCACCAUCACUAUGACCGCUGCCUUUACCAUCGUCAUCACCACCCCAUCACCACUGCCCUCAUCCCUUCUCCACCACCCCAACAACCCUUCACCACCACAAUCACUACUCCUAUUAUUUUCGUCAACACUAAAGACACUAAUUUUAUUACCAUCAUCUUGUUGACAAUCACCAUGCGACCUCUAAGACUACUUUGUCAUGGUCAUGAUCACCAAUCCAAUAGUAAAAACUUAAGAAUAUAAGCUUAUUAGUAAAUUGCUCGUUAAAAAUCUAUGACAAUCCAUUGAAUUCUAAAGAAUUCUAACAUUGAACUUUCUAAAAUUCUGCAAAAAUCUAUCAUUUAACUCAUUUUAUUUUUCACGAAACUAUAUUAUCAAAAGUCUAUGAAAUUUUAUAAAAUUUAUAAUAAUCAGCAAAAAUUUACUUAAAUAUGUGAAAAUCCACUAGCAAAACUCCAUAAAAAUCUUAAUACACUAAGUGACUUGUAUAUGUUUAAGGUGGCAAGGCAAAAGUAUCAUAUCCAUUUCUUAUCAUUUAACAAAACAUAAAAAUAAAAUAAACUCACACACAUCACAAACGUUAGUGUGACAGUUGCCUACUCGCACAUGGAAGACUAUCUCUAAAAAAAGUGCUAACCUUGAAGACCACAAAUUAAUGUCCCCCAACUCCAAAGUAGUUGAGAAGCUAGGAUAGCCACACAUCUCUAAUUUGGUACCGAUCAUAUCACCCCAUCUCAAUUGGGAUAUCACCAAGGAUGGUGCAUUGGUGCAAAAUUUCCAUCCACUUCGAAAUGGGACAUUUAGGGAAGACACAUCUAAAGUACAUGUUAUUCAAGUCGGCCUCACUAGUUUUUAUUUGCUAAUUAUUAUAUAUUAAUUCGAGCUAUUUUGUAUAAAUUAAUAAAAAUUAUAACAUUUGUUGAUGCACAAAAUCAGUGAAGACUUUGGUACAACAGAAAGUGUUAAGUUUGUGACAUUCGCUAGAUUGCUCCGGUCACUAGUGUGGAUAAGUAUGUAAAUAAAUAGGGACAGGGAAGCAAACACAAGAUGUACGUGGUUCACCCAGAUUGGCUACAUCCAUGGAGUAGAGGAGUUCUCAUUAAUUGUGAAGGGUUUACACAAGUAUAUAGGUUCAAACUCUCCUUUAGUGAGUACUAGUGAAUGAUUUAGUAUAAAUGACAUUAGGAAAUAUUGUGAGAGAAUGAUCUCUAUUUAUAGAAGAGAGUUUCUAGUUUCAUUCUGACAUUGACACGUGUUGUGUUGUGAUUGGCUUCUGAUGUUAACACGUGUCGUGCUAUGAUUGGCUUCUGAUGUCGACAUGUGUCGCGCUGUGAUUGACUUCCUGGUUGGAGGGAAACUCUUCUAGGUCCUUGUUGAUAUAACGUUGACCGGUGCUCAGUAGUUUCGGGUUCGGUCAAGUAUGGUACAAACAACAUUAAUAAUAUUUACGUUAAUUAUAAAUAGGUUAAUUUUGUAUUAUAUUUAUGAUACUUAAAUGCAUCUAAAAAAAAUUAUAAAAUUUGCUACAACAGUUGGACCCAUUUUAUCUGACACCUCCUUUCUAAUAUUUUUUUCUUUUAUAUUUUAGAAUAAGUCAAUACAUAUUCAAACAUUGUUUAUUUCUUGGUUCUGUUUUUUACAUUUGGAGUCAGACAUUGGUUUGCAAUGCUCGUUUCAUCACUAUGUUUUUCCAUCAAUAACACACUUCCUACGCUUCACACUUCGCAAUCACAUGACCCUUUUUUUUUUCUUUUUUUACAUUAAGAAAUUGCAACACAAUGUCCAUUUUCUGGCUAUGUUUUUUACAUUUGCUGUGUUGGAGUGUUUGUUUCUUGGUUCUUCAGCAGCUGAUGUACGCGUGCCAUCACUCAUUCACGAACCCUGCAACCACUAUCCGCUUCAUAAUCUCAUGGAGCCAUAUAGGUCAUUGAUGGUUCUGGAAGUAAUUGUUUCAAUCACGAUGUAGCAGUCGUUGAUCACCUGAGCCAUUGGGAACUGGUGCUCCUCGUUGUCACCAAUUAUCUCUUUUUCUUCAUUAGAGAGAAAGAUGGAGAAAAAGAAAGAGAGAAGGACGAGAGAGUAUGAAGAGAGUGAAUGAAGAGAAAAUCGUGAUAAAAGAGGGUAUAUACAGACAAGAGAGGGAAUGAGAUAAGGAAAUGAAUAAAGUGAAGACAUAAGGAUUUAGUAACUAUUUUCUAUCGAAAUUGGAUCCCAUUCGGAUCCCCCACAUCUUAGUCAUUCAUCGUAUAUCGUGCGAUCAGAAAUCUUUUGACUUUUUUUUAUUUAAAAUUAACACAAAUAGUAUCUGAUGAAAACUGGCUGCAUGAUGUACAAUGAACGAUUAGGAUGUGGAGAUCCUAGGAUUCCCACAAAAUGGAUCUGGAGAUGAUCAUUUUUCAUUUUCUAUCUAGCUUAAACUUAUAUGACAUGCUCCAUGAACCUAUGUUGAUGCACAAAAUCUGGAGGAUCUUGGACCAACGUAAAUCCGGUCGUGAAUCACACAAACGCACAAGAACACAAAGAUAUAUCGUGGUUCACCCUAAUGUUUGGGCUACGUCCACACUGAUGUUGAUUCCAUUUCACUGUGUGUAUGUAUGGAUUACAAUAGAUCGGCAAUGGAGCUCUCUGUAGAUGCAGCCCUUGCCAUUUUGCUCUCUGUUUGGCUGAGAGGGUAUUGCCCUAUAUUGUUGUGAGGGAUGUGAGACUCUCUGGUUCCUCUCCCUUAGUGAAGGUGAGACCCUGUUUAUGAGGGUGAAGGAGAGUCCAUUUCAUAGAAUAAGGGCUCCAUCUUCUUUUACAUAAAUCAUGGGCUUAAGGAUUAGGCCUAAAGACGAGGCCCAAUAUAUGGUACCAAUAGGAGUCCCCCAAGUCUUCAGUCAAGAGAGUCUUUUGGCGCCAUCAGAUAAUCCUUAACAGCCAACUCAUCUGACAGUUUGGAAAGUAGUCUGUUAUAUUUGGGAGUGAGAAGGUUCAUGGCCACCACCGCAGCGGUCAUAUCAUUCUUCAUCACAGAGUCCCUAACGGUAAGAGGACCACUAAGGGAUAAGAAGGAUGGACGCCAUAUGUUGUCUUGAUGAGGCAUGGCUGCCUUUUCACCAAAGUUCAAGUUAAAAAGAAGGUCGGAUGGGCUAGACAUUUUCAGAAAUGAUGAAGGAGAAAUGAGGUCCAAUAAAUCUCUGAAGUAUGAAAAUAAAGGGAAAAUUCCUACAAGCAAUAACUCUUUGAACGUACUUCUUGCACACAAUUGGUGCCCUUAUAAAAGAAGAGGCAGUAUGGCCGUUUGUUCAAAAAUCGAAGAAGCACCGCUCUCCGAAUCUCAAAAGCUAGACUCCCAACAUGAUUGCUUUCUCAAAAAUCAAAGAGGCACCGUUCUCCGAAUCUCGAAAGCCAGAUCCCCGACAUGAUUGCUUGUUCGAAAAUCGAAGAAGCACCGCUCUUCGAGUUUUGAGAGCCAGAUUUCCUUGGAUAAAGUUUAUCUGCAAUCUUCACACGCAACAUCAGCUUUCCAGAUACCACAUACCACUUUUUCAAAAUGCUCUGACAAAGUUAAAACAUGUGAAUCUUGCAGUUUCCCCUACAUUGCCAUGACCAAGAAGGGUAAAGGAACAACAUUACUACUCGCUGUUGGGACAAUUCCUAUAUAUGUCGACCUUCAUCCUCCACAACCAGGCAAACCUGUAAAUAAAAAAAAAUCUCAACUUUUCUUCACAUCCGAGAGGGCACUCUUAGCAGAGUCUCUCGAAAUACUCAACUUAUUUUCCCCCUGAUAAUACCUCUGCAAACAAACCACACCAGAGUAAGAGUAUCUCAUAUCAUCAGGGUUAAAAGCAAGAGUAUCCCAUAUCAUGGUUUUUCCCUGUCUUUUCCUUUGGCCUUGUUCUUACCUGUAAGACAAGGAGAAAAAGAGCAAGUAGUCAGCACUUGGAAUCAAGCUUCCAGUCAGAAACUGACUACCUGGAAAUCCUUGCCUGAUUACUUACUUGGCAUUGCUCUUAAGUACUCAUCUUCAACAUCUUAUGUUUUCAGACAAAAUACCACAUCUGCCUAAGGAACAUAUAGGGCAAGUGAGCAGGAUACAAGGAAGCAUGUGGAGACAAGUGCAACAGAACACGUGCUGAUUCAUCUAUUACUUUGUCAACAACAAAAGUAUCCUAUAUCAUCAAGGUCGAACACACUCUUGAUUUGAUGAACUUGUUUUGAUCCUUAAAUUCUUAAGUCGACCUUAUACUCUGGAGGAAACCAAAAAACCCUCCAGCCUAGUUCAAGAAUAAGCCUGUGGAAAGUUACUUCUUCAAAAGCAAAAGUAUCUCAUAUUAUCUCUUCUCCUUUUUCUUCUUUUUAUUCUUCCUGCUGCCUGCAAGAUAGGGAAAAUGAGAACAAUCAGUUGGAACUCGAAAUCAAACUUUUGAUCUGGGACUGAUUGUUGGGAGCUCUGAUUGCUUACCUUGUUUGUCACCUCUUUCAGCGGAUCUCCUAGCUCAGCGACUUAAGGGACUCCUACUACAUGGUUUGUAUCGCGCUUGACCAAGCCUGAAACUACAAGUAAGCUUCAAGUGAAAUUGAUACAUUACCUUGUGCAUCUCCACCGAUUAAGGAUACCACCCCUGGAUGGAGGAAAAGUACUUCCAGAGAAGAUGCCACAUCUACCUAUGAGACAAAUAAGGCAAGUGAAAAUGAUACCACACUUCGGUAAUUAAAAGUUUCGUGAUUACUCAGCGGCUUAAAUCUUGCAAGUCCCCAACCGAGGAGCUUCCCUCACUCGGGAACUUAGGGGAGCACUGUUUGUACCAUACUUGACCAAUCUCGAAACUACUGAGCACUGGUCAACGUUAUAUCGUCAAGGACCCAUAAGAGUUUCCUUCCAACCAGGAGGCCAAUCAUAGUGCGACACGUGUCGAUAUCAGAAGCCAAUCACAGCGCGACAUGUGUCAACAUCAGAAGCCAAUCAUAACACGACACGUGUCAAUGUCAAAACAAAGCUAGAAACUCUUCUAUAAAAGGAGAUCAUUCUCCCACAAUAUUAUCUAAUGUCAUUUGUACUAAAUCAUUCAUUAGUACUCACUAAAGGAGAGCUUGAACCUAUGUACUUGUGUAAACCCUUCAAAAUUAAUGAGAACUCUACUCCAUGGACGUAACCAAUCUGGGUAAACCACGUACAUCUUGUGUUUGCUUCCCUGUCUCUAUCCAUUUACAUAUGUAUCCACACUAGUGACCGGAGCAAUCUAGCGAAGGUCACAAACUUAACACUUUCUGUUGUACCAAAGUCCUCACUGAUUUUGUGCAUCGACAAUAUAUAUAUAUUCGAAAAUUUAAAAAUUCGAAAAAGAAAAAAAAAAAUUGCCUAGACCUUAUCUUCUUUGGGCCUAACAACUUUCAUAACAAAUAUAUAUGAAGGAGGAGUUUUGGGCUACCACUUAGAAAAGAAAUGCCUCAUUCGUCAACUCCCUCGACCGGAGACUUAGGGAACUCCUACCAUAUGCUACUGCACCUUGAUACUCAGAAGUCUCACGACCACUCAGUGACUUGAAUUUUUCAAGUCUCCAACCUAGAAGUUUUCCUCACUCAGGAAAUUAAGGGAGCACUACCUCAACAUACAUGCUUUCAAGGUUCUAAAAAACGCUAGGCGCUAGUCGGGCAGAGGCCUAGUGCCUAGCGCCUAGGCGACUAGGCGGGGUCUAGGCGGGCGCCUAGGCGGUCUAGGCAAAUUUAGGUAAAUUUCUUAUAUAUCUUGUAAAUAAGUGCAUAUUGACACUUACAAAAAAUUAUACUUAUAUGAAAUAGAUAAAUAAGAUAAUAAAAUAAUGAUAAAAUGCAAACAAAAUAUCUAGCGAGUCCAGAAUUUAAAAACAUAUUAAGCAUGUAUACCAUAUAAUUUAAAAUAUUUUAAAUGACUAUAUCUAAUUUUUAAAAAUGGGGUUAGGUGGUUCAUAAUAAAAAGAAUUUUGAAAAGGUACAUAUGCAUCAUUUCCCAUUCCACGUGUGUGGUGUGUGUGACCUUUCCCUCUAACCCUAGUUGCCAUGUGGCGCCUCACAUCAACCAAGACGGUCAGAGACUCCAAACCAAAAAGCCCAUUUUGAUGCUUUGAAAACAUGAAUCUUCUAUUUUUUUUAUUCUUUCCGUUUCCUCAUCCUAUUCGUCUUCUUUUAGUUCCCUCUUCUUAUUCUUUUUUCCAUUUUCCCUCCGUAAAAUCUCCCUUUUUUCUUCAAUUGCUCCGUCUGAUUCCCUAUCUUCUCCGCCUAAUUAAGUUUCUCGUUUCCUCUCCCUUCAUUCUUCUUCGAUUGCUCUUCCUGAUUCCCCAUCUCUCCACCUAAUUUUCAUCUUCUUGCUUUGUAUAAUUUUCUAAAACCUAAUCAUGAGUCCAGUCAAUUUCCUCAAGCACAGCGAAGAAGUCUUCUCUAGCGAAGAAAUCUGGGCUUCCUGGUCAAAGUUCUCGUUUUUUUUCUUGCAAAUGCAUUGUUAUUCUGAUUCCUUCUACAUAUCUCUCUCACGUUUACUCUUCCCUCACACUUUCCCGAUUUCUCUUUCGUCACCAUCGCGGUGUAGUGAGACGGAAAAUUUUAACAUAACCGCCGCGGAGGCCACUUAACCCGACGUCUAGGCCACCUAACCCGCCUAGUGGGCUGCCUAGGCACCGCAGCCUAGGCGGCCGCCCAAACGCGUUUUAGAACACUACAUGCUUCACUCACAAAGCUUCAACAUACAAGCUUCAACAAAAGAAAAAAAUUCAAAGAACUUAGUGAAGAAGGCUUCGGUGUAUUUAACACAAUACGUUAAAAUGAAGCAAAGCUUAUUUAAUGAUAUCUCCGAUAAGUUACAAAUAUGUACAUAUAUAUGAAUCAAAAUAAACAAAUAAGAGGGAGCCUUCACAAAGGUUGCUCAGGAGAAGUCUCAGCAGUCGACAGAGCCCCAGAAAGAGAAGGCACCAGAGGGUGAUCAUUCGGAGCCUCAGUAUUGGACAAAACCCCAUAAGGAGGAGGCAUCAGAGGUUGAUCAUUUGGAGCUUCAUUACGCGGUACAACCCCAGAAGAUGAAGGCAAUAAAUGCCUUUGGAACAAACCCAUAAACCUCUGACAAUCCAGUAAAAUUUGACAAUCAGAUUCCUGCAUCUGGUCAAGCUUCUUCUUCAUGUUUGUUCUCAUGCUUAAGCCCUAUAAUCUCCUGUUUGAGACUUAUCAUUUUAGCUGCCAAUGAUUUAACUUUGCGGGUUCGAGCAAAUAGGCGUAGGGCCAUAUUAAACACAGAACUUGCACACUGAACACUAAAAGCCAGAGAAUCCUUAACAACCAACUCAUCAGACUGUUUGAAAAGUAGGUUGUUAUCUUUGGGAGUGAAAAGGUUCCUGGCCAUCACCGCAGCAGUCAUAUCAUUCUUCAUCACAUAGUAUCUAAUGGUAAAAAGACCAGUAGGGGAUAAGAAUGAUGGGCGCCAUAUGUUGUCUUAAGGAGCCAUAGAUGCCUCUUUACCAAAGUUCAAGUCAAAACGACGGUCGAAUGGGCCAUACAUUUUCAGAAAUGAUGAAGGAGAAAUGAGGUCCAAUAAAUCUCUGAAGUAAAAAAUAAGGGGAAAAUUCCUACAAGCAAUAACUCUUUAAAUGUACUUCUUGCACACAAUUGGUGCCCCUAUAAAAGAAAGGGCAACAUGGCCGUUGAUUCAAAAAUUGAAGUGACACCACUCUCCGGAUUUCGAGAAAUGGAUUUUCCUGAGUAAAAUAUGUCGCAAUUUCCACACGCAACAUCAGCUCCUCGGGUACCAUAGAUAAUUUUUCCAAAGAUCUCUGACAAAGUUUAGACACAUACAUUUUGAAGGUCCAACUACCUUACUAUUACUUACAAGGGUAAAGGAACAGCACCACUGCUUGAUAACUGGAAAGUCCCUAUGUGUGUCAAUAUCCGUGCUCCAUGGCAAGCCAGACUGGCAAAAAUACCCGACCUUUACUCACAUUCGAGAAAACACUUCUAACAAGAUUGCUUGCUCAAAAAUCGAAGAGGCACAGCUCUCCGAAUCUCGAGAGCUAGACUCCUAACAAGAUUACUUGCUCAAAAAUCGAAGAGGCACCACCCUCCGAAUCUUAAGAGCCAGACUUCCAACAUGAUUACUUUCUUAAAAAUCGAAGAGGCACCGCUCUCCGAAUCUCAAGAGCCAGACUCCAAACAUGAUUGCUUUCUUAAAAAUCGAAGAGGCACCGUUCUCUGAAUCUCGAGAACUAGAUCCCCGACAUGAUUGCUUGUUCGAAAAUCGAAGAGGCACCGCUCUCCGAACUUCGAGAGUCAGAUUUCCUUGGAUAAAGCUUGUCUGCAAUCUUCACACGCAACAUCAGCUUUCUAGAUACCACAGACCACUUUUUCAAAGUGCUCUCAUAAAGUUAAAACACGUGAAUUUGCAGCUCCCACUACAUUGCUAUGACCGAGUAGGGUAAAGGAACAGUGUUGCCACUCGCUGCUGGGACAAUUCUUAUAUAUGUCGACCUUCAUCAUCUACAGCCAGGCAGACCUGCAAAUAAAAAAAUGCUAAACUUUUCUUCACAUCUGAAAGGGCACUUUCAGCAGAGUCUCUCGAAAUACUCAACUUUUUUUCCCCCCGAUAAUACCUCUGCAAACAAGCCACACUAGAGCAAGAGUAUCUCAUAUCAUCAAGGUUAAAAGCUAAAGUAUCCCAUAUCAUGCUUUUUCCCUGUCUUUUCUUUUGGCCUUGUUCUUAUCUGCAAGACGAGGAGAAAGAGAGCAAACAGUCAGCACUUGGAAUCAAGCUUCCAGUCAGGAACUGACGACCUGGAACUCCUUACCUGAUUACUUACCUGACAUUGCUCUCGGGUACUUAUCUUCAACAUUUUAUGCUUCCAGAAAAGAUACCACAUCUGCCUGAAGAACAGAUAGGGCUAGUAAAAAGGAUACAAGGAAACAUCUGGAGACAAGCGCAACAGAACACGUGCCGAUUCAUCUAUUACUUUGUCAACAGCAAAAGUAUCCCAUAUCAUCAAGGUCGAACGCACUCUUGAUUUGAUGGACUUGUUUUGACCUUCAAAUUCUUGAGUCGGCCUUAUACUCUGGAGGAAACCAGAAAACCCUCUAGCCCAGUUUAAGAAUAAGUAUGUGGAAAAUUACUUCUUCAAAAGUAAAAGUAUCUCAUAUCAUAUCUUCUCAAUUUUCUUCUCUUUAUCAUUCAUGUUGCCUGCAAAAUACAGAGAAUGAGAACAAUCAGCCGAAACUCGAAAUCAAACUUCUGAUCUGAGACUGAUUGCUGGGAGCUCUGAUUGCUUACCUUGUCCGUCACCUCUUUCAGCAAAUCUCUUAGCUCGGCGACUUGGGGAACUUCUACUACAUAGUUUGUAUCGCGCUUGACCAAGCCUGAAACUACAAGUAAGCUUCAAGUGAAAUUGAUACAUUACCUUGUGCAUCUUCACCGGUUAAAGGUACCACCCUUGGAUGGAGGAAGAGUACUUCUAGAGAAGAUGCCACAUUCACCUAUGAGAUAGAUAAGGCAAGUGAAAAUGAUACCACACUUCGGUACUUAGAAGUUUCGUGAUUACUCAGCGGCUUGGAUCUUACAAGUCCCUAACCGAGGAGCUUCCAUCACUCGGGAACUUAGGAGAGCACUGUUUGUACCAUACUUGACCAAUCUCGAAAUUACCGAGCACAGGUCAACGUUAUAUCAUCAAGGACCCAGAAGAGUUUCCCUCCAACUAGGAAGCCAAUCACAUCGCGACACGUGUCGACAUCAGAAGCCAAUCAUAGUGCGACACGUGUCACCAUCAGAAGCCAAUCACAACACGACACGUGUCAAUGUUAGAACAAAGCUAGAAACUCUCUUCUAUAAAAGAAGAUUAUUCUCCCACAAUAUUUCCUUAUGUCAUUUGUACUAAAUCAUUUACUUGUACUCACUAAAGGAGAGUUUGAACCUAUGUAAUUGUGUAAACCCUUCACAAUUAAUGAGAACUCCUCUACUUCGUGGACGUAGCCAAUUUGGAUAAACCACACAUCUUUAGUUUGCUUUCCUAUCUCUAUCCAUUUACAUACUUAUUCACACUAGUGACCAGAGCAAUCUAGCGAAGGUCACAAACUUGACACUUUUUGUUGUACCAAAGUCCUCACUGAUUUUGUGCAUCAACACAUAUAAUCUCUAAUAAUUAAUGAAACUCUCUUUGUCAACAAAAAAAGGGUGAAAAGAUAACUUAAGUCUUUUAUCACACAAAAAAAAAACAUGAUGGAUAAUAAUGUAAUUUCAUAGGUCCAAAUUUUAUUGUUUUUUUAUUGAAAUCUCACCUACAUGUGAUGUUAAAAUAUCUCCAACAUUAAAAUGAAAAAAAAAACAAAAACAAAAAGAAAACCUCCCACUCCCCCACGUUCUCUCUCUCCCUCUCUCUUUCUCAUUUUCUAAAAAAAUGUGUUCAUACACACAAAGUGUGUAGGCAAAUGCUUGUAAAUAUUAUAGAAAAUUAGAUUUUAAACCUUAAAUAAGAUGAAGUUUAGAAAAAUGUCUUAUACAAGAUUAAAAUUGAUUUUAGUCCCUAAACUCUAUUUAAUGCCAACAUAUGUAUGCAAUUUCUCUCUUUUUAUUUAUAAUUUUAUGGUGUUCAUAUAUUAAAUUUUAUGAAAAUAUUAUAAAUUUUAAUUCUCAUUAUGAUAAGUAUCUUAUAUAAGAAAAUAUUUUCGUAGAGAUUUUUUGGUACACUUAUUUUUGUGCAUAUUUUCUUAUGUGCCAUUAAUUUAUUACAAUAUAUUUAGGUACAAACAUUUUAGUACACCACAUUAGUAUAAUAUGUUUAGGUAUGGACAUUUUGGUACACUAGUUUAGUAUAACAUAUUUAGGUACCGACAUUUCAAUACACUAGUUUAGUAUCAUAUAUUUAGGUACAGAAUUUUUUAUACACUUAUGUUUUUACAUAUUUUCUUAUGUGCCACUAAUUUACUACAAUAUAUUUAGGUAUGGGCAUUUCGGUACACUAAUUUAGUAAAAUAUAUUAUGAUAGGUACGUUUAGGUACACUAAUUGUGGAAGUUAAAUAAAAUUAAUGAAUUAAAAUGUGUAUAAUAAUAAAUUUUAAAUUUAAUGUAAUGACAUUAAAUAAAAGGGGUGUGAUAUCCACACACCCCUUUUUACUUCUCACACACCCUUUUAAGUUUUGGCCUUUGGAUAGUGUGAAUUGAAGAAGAUCAAAUGGUAGAAAUUAACAAGGGGUGUGUGAGAAGUAAAAAAGGGUGUGUGGAUAACACACCCCUAAAUAAAAUAUCUAUUUUUAUUUUAUAAUAUGAAUUUGAAUUAAACACACAUUAAAUGAUUAAAAUAUGAAUUUGAACUAAGCACACAUUUUUUUUUUUAUUAAAUUUUAAUCUUCUUCAAGGUAAAGUUGAAAAACCCCUACAUAUACCACUUAGCACACACCAUCUCUUCCACUCUCAGUCCUCCUCCUUCUCUCUCUCUCCCUCUCUCCCCCCACCAACACCAACAACAUCAACAACACCAAAUCCAAAAAAUGGGUUCGACCCCAGAGACUCAGAUGACUCCAACCCAAGUCUCCGACGAAGAAGCCAACCUCUUCGCCAUGCAGCUAGCCACCGGCUCCAUCCUCCACAUGGUGCUCAAGGCAGCCAUCGAGCUCGACCUCCUCGAGAUCAUGGCAAAAGCCGGGCCUGGCGCUUUUGUUUCUCCGGCUGACUUAUCUUCGCAGCUGCCGACCAAGAACCCUGACUCCCCCGUCAUGCUGGACCGCAUGCUGCGCCUCCUGGCCAGCUACUCCAUCCUCACUUACUCCCUCCGCACACUUCCCGACGGCAAAGUCGAGCGGCUGUACGGCCUCGGCCCCGUCUGCAAGUUCUUGACAAAGAACGAGGAUGGUGCUUCCAUUGGUUCUCUCUGCCUCCUGAUUCAGGACAAGGUCCUUAUGGAGAGCUGGUAAUUACCAUUCUUCUUCUUUAUUUAUCAUCUUAAUUUGAUCGUUAACAAACAUUAAUUAAUGGGGUUCAAAUAGGUUGAUCAUAAUACAAUAUUCAUAAAAUGUUACGUACUAACUGUGAGUAAUGGCUUUAAUGUGUGUUUGUUCUCUAUUUUUUCCUAACGUGUUCUUCGUUGUUCAUAUUACUUUUGGCCCAUUAGGCGGUUGGGGACGGACAUGAUUCCAAAUUGACUUCUUGUCAGAGUUAUAAAGAAAGCAAAACUAAUAAAAAAUCCUGGAAAAUUUUGAAUUUUAACCAUAAGGAUAAAAUAAAAGGUAAAGUGAAUAGUAUCAGAAUUGACUUUUUAGUGUAAAAAUGUGGUUUUUCGUUAAAGUGAACAAUAUCAGGAGUUUUUCGUUAAAGUUCCUUAUAAAGAAACCAAUUUUUAAACAAAAUUUACAAGCUAAAUUAUAUAUCACCAAUAAAAAUAGGGAAAACUAAUGAAAGGGGCUUGAAAACUUUGAGUUUUAACGAAAAUGUCAAAAUAAAGGGUAAAGUGAAUAGUACUAGAAUUGACUUUUUAGUGUAAAAAUGUGGUUUUUCAUUAAAGUGAACUGUAUCAGGAGCUUUUUGUUAAAGUUCCCUAAAAAAUAAGCACGUUUAUCAACGUCUAAGUAAUAAUUCAAUCAUCAACUUUUAUAUCAAUUAUUUUGUAAAUUUUAAUUAUAAAUUUAAUUUUCCUAGUAUUACGCUAUAUGAUGACUGGUUACUUGUUUUACGAUUACCACUUAAUCAAAUUAGGAGUGAAAAGUUGGUACCACCACUUCGCCAACCACACCAUAGUGUUUCGAUAUUACACAUUUAUUUCUUAUCAAUCUUUUUCCUUAAGACAACGGUAUGUUUUAACUAUUUUAUUCUUCUAUAUAGAGCGUAAGUUCCGUCAAUUAGCUAGAGGUGAAAUUUAAAUUAACUUUCUCCUUCAUUUUUAUCAAAACCACAGAAAUGAUAAUUUGUACUUGAACCUAAGAGGAUACUAUUUUACUAACUGACUGACGUAAUCCAUGUCAAUAAAAGACCAAUAGGAUCCUUUUCGGAUUAUAUUUGUGAGGAUUCUAGGGAUCUGUGAAUCGUGUCCAUUCAUCAUGUAUCGUGCGGUCAGAUUUCGUCAAGUACUGUUGUGUUUAAUUUUAAAUAAAAAAAUUAAAAUAAUUUAUGACCGCACGAUGUACAAUGAACGAACACAAUUUACGAAUCUUUAGGAUUUUCACAAAGAAGAUCCGGAUUCAAUAAAAGAACUGAGAGUUGUUUUUACAAACCCAUAAAUUAUUUUAUUAUUGUGAGUUAUGCGGGCCUUGAAACACGUGGUAGUUGGGUUGGCCUAGUUUACAAGAUUGCUUGUACUUUGGUAUUGUAGAUUAAGCUUUAAACACAAAUGAGUCAUGCAUGCUUGUUUUGGGUUUGUGCAGGUACCACUUGAAAGAUGCAGUCCUUGAAGGAGGUAUCCCAUUCAACAAGGCCUAUGGAAUGACUGCUUUUGAGUACCAUGGCACUGAACCCAGAUUCAACAAGGUAUUCAACAAGGGAAUGGCUGACAACUCUACCAUUACCAUGAAGAAACUUCUUGAGAACUACAAUGGCUUUGAGGGCCUCACAUCCAUCGUUGAUGUUGGUGGUGGCACCGGCGCUGUCCUUAACAUGAUCGUCUCUAAAUACCCUUCGAUUAAGGGCAUUAACUUCGACUUGCCUCAUGUCAUCGAAGAUGCUCCCCAAUAUCCUGGUAUGUUCUUCAUUUCUGAUAAUGUUCAUAGUUCAAUUACUUAAAAGCAUUCAUCUUUACAUUCGAUCUCUCAAGUUCAAUUUCUCUUCCCCAAAUAUUAUUGCAUAUAAAAAUAAUAUUUGUACUAUUUAUCAUUUUUCCUAAUGAAUAUGAGGUCAAUGGAUGUUGAAUAUAGGUGUGGAGCAUGUUGGAGGAGACAUGUUUGUAAGUGUUCCAAAGGGAGAUGCAAUUUUCAUGAAGGUGAGUUAUUAUUUAUCAAAAAAGAACCAAUGAUUAUUUUGUAGUGCUAAUAUUCAUUUCUCAUAGGAGCUUAGUUGCUCAAUAUAUUUGGAACUAAUAUCAAAUCCUGUAUGCAAUCUUACAGUGGAUAUGCCACGACUGGACCGACGAGCAUUGCUUGAAAUUUUUGAAGAACUGCUAUGCUGCGCUCCCAGACAAUGGGAAGGUAAUUGUUGCUGAGUACAUUCUUCCGGUAGCUCCGGACGGUAGCCUUGCCACCAAGGAAGUUGUCCAUAGCGACGCGAUCAUGUUAGCUCACAACCCCGGCGGAAAAGAGAGGACGGAGAAGGAGUUCGAGGCCUUGGCUAAGGGAUCUGGAUUCCAAGGCUUUCGAGUCGUGUGCUCUGCUUUCAACACCUAUGCCAUUGAAUUUCUUAAGAAGAAUUGAGUAUAAUUUGCCCUUGGUAUGCUGCCAUCUGCAUUUAUAUUGCUUUGGUUUUUUAUAUGGUGAUCGUGUAUCCGUACGUGGACUUUACACAUAAGUAGGUUUUCAUAUGUUAGAAAAAAAUAAUAAGAAAGUGAUUUUGUUGCUUUGAUAACAUGUAGAAUUAUGACUCUUUGUAUUGUUAUGUGAAAAAUAUUACAAUAUACAUACAAGGUUACAUUAGUCCCUAUUGAAAUAGGAAUGUUACACUAAUUACAAUUAAAUAUUACAUUCCUAUAAUACAUGUGACAACUACGACGGACAAAUUACAUGUCUAUAUUGCCACAAACACAAAAUCAAAACCUCAUGGAUUUUCUUAUCACCUUAACUUACCCGUCAAUUGAUUUCGACAUACGACCUGUUUGGUGCCUAAAUCCGCCAUGGGCCUCGCGGGCAAGCCGGGGAUUUACUUCACAUACGAGAUUGAUAGGUGCGGGCGUGCCACUACUAGAUGCCGCUAGUAGACGGGAUUUGAAUGAUUGAGGUUGCGCCUUUUGACUUCAAAUCAAGAGAUUGUGCCAUUUGAGUGGGAGUUGCUCAAAUCAAGGUUCUUUCUUUGCCUUAAAAAUAAGGACUUUACUUAUAUGGAGAGAUAGAACAAUAUGUAAAUGAUAAGGUUGCUCGGAAAUGUAAAUGAUAGAGGAAAGUGACUAAUAUUGCAGAUUGCUUGUAAUUUAAAUGACUGAAAAUGAGUUGUACAUGAAAACUAUAAAGGAGAUCGAUACUACAAGUGAGCAGCAGAGCUAAUAAACUAGACAAAAGAUGGCUUUUGUACAUGAAAACUAUAAAGGAGAUCGAUACUACAAGUGAGCAGCACAACUAAUAAACUAGACAAAAGAUGGCUUUUGUGAGGGCUGAUCCUGAAAAUGAUGAAGGUUUGGGGGGCUGACUACAGCUUCGUGUGAAGGCAAAUCUAGUUUGAGCAGAGUUUGUGCUUGUAUUUGUUUGUUUGAUUGAGUGUCCAUAAUCCUUCUCCAUCUGCUUCUUUAUAUAGAGGUCUGGAAGAGCCCCCUUGUUGAGAUCUUUGUACUUGCCCGAAAGAAGCUUGGGCAGCUUGCAUUGCAUUUGCCAACUUGCAUGUAGAAACAAUAUUAAAAGGGAAACUUGCAUCUCCACCACAUGUUUUUAGCACAUGUCUCCCCACUUGUAAUAAACUAACAAUUAAAACAGAAGCAAAUUGCAUCUCCACCACAUGCCUUUUCCCACUUGCAAUAAAAUAAUUAAAAAAAGCAAACUAGCUUCUUUCACUACACAUUCUUGCCCGAAAGCAUGCAUGGUAUAUUUCCAUCCACUUGCAUGAAAAAGCAUGCACUUAUCUUGAUUAAACAACUCUCUUGACAAAGCUCCACCACCCAAACAAAUGGGAAAAACAAUAUUAUAGUGCCAAACCAUCCACUUGCAGCCAAAUAUCUUUCCAAGUUAGCUUUCUUGCAUAUUAAUCCUUCAAAUACCAUAUUUUACCCCAAUGGCCCAAAUAAGUAAAAAUGGGCACAUUUUGGGUGCAAACACGACCGCUCAUACACAAGAACUCUCCUAAAACAGAAAAAAUGGCAAGAAGGGAAUAAUAAAAUGACAUUCAUAUUAUUUUCAUGACGUACCUAUCAAAUUAUUAUCCAUGAUGUUCAUUCAAACUGGUAUUAUGUUAUAGGCUUUCCCGUUAUUCAUGUUGUCAUUAUAUUUGUUCAGCUUAGAACACAAUAAGAAACAAAAUUAAAAGCCAGUAAAAUCAUAAAAAAAAAAUAACCCAUUGACUAAUUGAGUAUAACACUAGCAAAAACGUCCGCGCUCCGCUGCAGGGAAUGACACAAAUAUAAUCUUAUACGAUCUAAUUGUUUUUGUUAUUCCUAGUUCUUUUUGGCAUUGUGUGCAAAAAAAACGGAAACUCCAAGCAAGAAAUUGAUAGCUGAGAAGAAACGAAUGACUACAAACAUUUUCAUUAAACAUUUCUAUUCCAUUUGCAAUGUCAGAAGUAUGAUCUUCUUGUAUCCCCUGAUUUCUUUUGCUAUUUCUAGUUCUUUUCCUCUCUGACUACGGUCCAAGAGACCCAGAAAACUGCAGCGAUGCAAAUUGCUACCGGAAUCAUGAAAAAUUAAAAUUAAUAAGACUCGUUCGAAUCAUAUUACAAUGCAUGCCAAACCACAACAUCUGAUAAUCCAUAAAUUAAACGAAAUUGAAAAUGAAGUUCAGCAGCUGGGACAAAAAUAAAAACACAAAAUACUAACUCAAGCGCCUGCACAUAUAAACACCACAUAAAAAUCACACAAAAAAACGAAAACAACAGCUGAGACACGCUUAUGUAAAAAUCCAACAUGCAUAGUUCUUUUAAUUCCAACACAGAAACAACAAAAAUUUCUGAAAAAAUACCCAUACGAAUUCAACUUAAAUCCCAAAAUCCAAUCCCCCAAAAAAACCAUAAUUUCAAAUACCACAAACAUGCAAAGGCCAAAUCAAAGCUGCAAGUCGUUUUAGAUUUUACCGAAUAAUAGGAACAAUUUAAUUCCCUAAUUAUGAGGGAAUAAUCCGAAAAUCUGGAAAAAUAAAGAGGUCUAAAACCCUCGGCCGAGAUCGACCUGGAAGAACACACAAGUCAGAUUGGGUCUCCACAAUAGAUAAAAACAGACAGAGAAUCUUCGUUUCUUGAAUUUCUGAGAGAAAAUUUAUGAUUUUUGAUAGGAUUUUUAUCACCUACAAAAGUAGGGAUAAAAACACUUAAAAAAUAAUUGCAAGAGUACAAGUGACACGCCCCAACCGAGGCCAAGGCAUGCUGGCCGUUACGUGAGAGUGACGUAGUCAUGUGCAUAGUACGGAAGCGAUAAAGAUAGCAAACAUACGAAUAAUUAAAAACCAUAUUAAUAUAGUGCACUACUAGCAGGGAGUGAUAGGAGUUAGUUACAACCGUAAACUCUCCUAAUCAGAGCAUAAUAAGUCUAGGUGCAGUCCAGUAGGACAAGUACUAGUUACACAGUACAAGGAAUGUCCUACUAUAAUAUAGAAUAGUCAGAACAACCAACGUCCUUGAGCCACCAACAGCGACUUACUUAAAACCUGAAAGGGCGCAAAACAGAAAACGUGAGUGGGUAAAAACAAAUGUUUUACAAAAUCGUUUUCUUUAUCAACAUAUCUAACCCCUCGCUGUAAAACAUGUAUAAUUUUUCCCAGAAUCAGAAUAUAAGCAUAUGCAUAAUAUAUAAAUAUAUAUGAAAUCAUAACAAUUCAAUUCAUGCUUCACAUAAUCAUAUUCAAAUAUAUACCAUGUUAAUAUAUAACAGAGUAAGCAAUUCAGGUAAGAAUAAAUUCAUAGAAUAUGAUAUGUUAGCUGGAACCCAUGUGGUAGUCUGUACGGCUGAAUUCAUAGCUCAAACUCAAUCUAGCCGGAGUCACUACUAUGACCUAUACGGCAAUAUACUGCACAUAAGUUGGAACCACUGAAAAUGUUCUGUACGACAAAGUUGGGUGAAAUAUAAUUAUGCUCAAUGAUACGCCCUCAUGCUAGCUGUGCGAUAAAUAGUUAGUCACCUACGAGUCGGAACCACUUAUAGUGGUCUGUAUGACAAGACUGUGUACCUAAAUUGGAUCCAAUGUGAGCAUAUGGUGCGAGAGGUGACAUAAUAUACAGGCAUGUGCCAACUCUCUCUGGCUAAAUCGCAAUCACCCGGGGUGCAGGUUUAUGAGCUCAUUGUUUUCAAUCAUAACUCAUAUAGAAAAUCAACAUGUUCAUCUCAUUUAUUGAAUAGCUACAUCUAACAUCUCGUUAGACUGCCUACGUACCCUAAACAGGGAUCAAGCCGUUCGUAGUUCACCUAAUCAAACAUAACUUACUUGAACUUACAUGUGCCUCCACAACACCACAUUUAUAUAUAUAUAUAUAUAUAUAAAUAUAUACAACCAUGAAAUGCAUAUUUAGAAUAUAAAGGCAUUUGACAUAUUAUUUCAAAGCAUAUUUUCAUUUAAAACACAUUUCUGGGAAAUAUAUCAAGUAUAUAAUUAUAUACUGAAAGCAAAAGCCCACUCACUGAUAUGUUGAAGGGUUGUAACCCCCGAGUCGCCCGUGGAUACGCUCGUCCUCGGGAUAAGCCUCACCUAUAUGCAAAUUAACUAUAAAACGUUAUUUUAAAGCACAUAUACAAAACUAGCUAAUAACUUCUCAUACAUUGCUCAAAAUGGGUAUAUGAAUAUACCACAGUGAUCUAUACAACCUCACGAACAUCGUGAUAUUUUUAGAUAAAUUUUUAGGUGGCUCACGCGCCCCACGCGCCCCCUACGCGCAUCAUCUUCAACCUCCAGACACCAGAACUGUUCACCGGCACCAGAUUCUGGGCAGACCUUCAAACCCACUAUUCUCCUUCAUUUCUCAACCAUUUUCUACGAAAUUUUCACCCAAAUGUCACAAAUUUCAAGAGGAAGAAGGUUAUACUUCUUUGGAGCCUUAAAUCCUUCGGAAACACCUCUGAAAAAUCUCGUCAAAACCGGCCACUUUCGAACCUCGUGAUCCCGACGUCCAAAAGCUUCAAACGAAGCACUCCGAGCUUCCUUGUGACCUCACUAAGCUCGCUAUAAGCUUGGAUUGUCCUAAAACACAACCAUUUAAAAGUUCAUGAAUAGUGCUCAACUUGGAGCUUGAAUUUUCAACGUGAUAUUGAACGAGUUCUUACCUGAAAUGGGUACCCUUGAACUCAUAUGAUCCUCACAAACACAAUGGUGCCAUUUUCUUCCUCGAUCAGUGAAGAUUUGGCUUGGUUUGACCUUGUCCGUACGGAGGAGAGGGAAAAGAGAGUGAGUCCAAGAGAGAGAGAGUGCACGGGAAUGAGAGAGAGAAUUGAGGUGAUGUGGAUAUGUGUGUGUGGUCCAACCUACACACCAAUCACAACUAACUAAGGUUAAGUUCUCAUUGGCCCCAAAAACUUAGGAAAAUAACCACAUUGGUCCAUUUCUAAAACUGUCACAUACGACUCACAAUGCCAUAAACGCUCAAGGGCAUUUUAGUCUUUUCACAUCCGCGAUAACAAAAUAAUGUACAUUUUCGGGAUGGGUUGUGACAACAAGAUUGUCGUAGAAUAGCAACUCAAGCAAUAUCAUUUUCCACAGGAAUUGAAUGAAUAAUUUGUAUUUAAACUAAUUUUUAGCUAAUUAUUUAGAACAAAGUUUUGAAACUGUUGAUUUUGGAAUUUAAAAUAAUAAAAACGAAUUUAAAUGAAAAUAAUUAAAUAUUUGACAAAGUAAAGAAAGCAAAAGAACAACGUUUUGAAAAUCAAAUUGUAAAAGCCUAGGAUUCUGCCGUCCCCUUAAUAAUCCUAUGCAAUUUUACCAAUUACUUAUGAAUUUAUACAUACAUGCUUUGAAGGUUAGGUUUUCCUAAUGCAUAUUUUCCUCGUGAUGUUCAAGCGAAAACGUAUAUCUAACAUGCAACCCGUCUAUGAUGUUCAUAUCAAAUAUAAACAUGCAAGACUCAUUAAGUUUUGUGAAAACCCUUUGAAAAAUCAUGCAACCCUUAAAAACGUGAUGUUUGCCUUAAGUGAACUUACAAUUACUAAUCACAAGAAGCCCUCCUCAAUUUCAAGGUGAUGUUCCAAUAGAAAUUGCAUCAAAUUAUUUGUCUAAAAACCCGGUGAUUAAUAAUUUCAAGCAAACAUGCAUUCAUUCAUAAGCUAAUUAAUAAAAUCACAUAUUCAUGCUAAGGCUUGUGGCUUCGCCUUUAGCAAAAGAAACUACCUACUAACAAUCAUAAAACAAAAUAUUAUUAAGAAUAAGGAUAGAAAACACCUAAAAAAUAAACUUGAAAAACUCUCUAAAGUAUGCGUGCGUUUCCUCCUCUCCUUCCCUUCUAACCCUAACGGCUAAAAAGUCUUAUUUAUACUACUACAAAUAAAACCCUAAAAAGUCUUAGAAUAAAACUAGGAAACAUAAUAAAAUAAUAAAACUGAAAUAAAAGGUUUCUAUGUAAACUUAAAUUCAGACUUAUUAGAAAAUCAGACUUUUGACCGACCAAAUCAACUUCGAUUUGGUCCCAAAAUGUCUCUUUUGAAAGCUAGAGACGUCCCCCACAAAUCCUUGGAAGGAAUCUUCCUCAAAAUAUGUCAUAUGUACUAAUUAAGUUUACAUAAUCUAAUUUUUCAACCAAUUCUUUUUCAAUAGCCUAUGAUAUUAUUUUUUUAAAAUUUUUAUUGAAUUUUAAUUGUAAAAUUUUUAUUUAUAUAUUUUUAAAAAAUCUGGGGCCCCUCCAAAGUGGAAGCCUUAGGCGGGCACCUACUUCGGCUACCCUCAAGGCCGACCUUGAGAUUCCUACAAAGAGGAUCCGGAUUCAAUAAAAGAAGGGGGAGUUGUUUUAACAAACCCAUAAAUUAUCUUAUUAUUGUGAGUUACGCGGGCCUUGAAACACGUGGUAGGUGGGUUGGCCUAGUUUACAAGAUUGCUUGUACUUUGGUAUUGUAGAUUGGAAAUGGAUUAUCUCCGGAUCCCUUCUACCAAGUCUACUAAGUCCACCUAUCUGGACUAUUGAAAUUUGAUUCAACAAUUAAAGUUAUUAUAAUUUUUGAAGGGGCUCUCUUAUUUGUAGCCGUUGGAUCAAAUUUCAAGGGUCCGGAUGGAUGAACUUGGUGGAAGAGAUCUGAAGAGGAUCCCUUUCCUUGUAGAUUAAGCUUUAAACACAGAUGAGUCAUGCAUGCUUGUUUUGGGUUUGUGCAAGUACAACUUGAAAGAUGCAGUCCUUGAAGGAGGUAUCCCAUUCAACAAGGCCUACGGAAUGACUGCUUUUGAGUACCAUGGCACUGACCCCAGAUUCAACAAGGGAAUGGCUAACCACUCUACCAUUACCAUGAAGAACCUUCUUGAGAACUACAAUGGCUUUGAGGGCCUCACAUCCAUCGUUGAUGUUGGUGGUGGCACCGGCAUUGUCCUUAACAUGAUCGUCUUUAAAUACCCUUCGAUUAAGGGCAUUAACUUCGACCUGCCUUAUGUCAUCGAAGAUGCUCCCCAAUAUCCUGGUAUGUUCUUCAUUUCUAAUAAUGUUCGUAGUUCAAUUACUUAAAAGCAUUCACCUUUACAUUCGAUCUCUCAAGUUCAAUUUCUCUUCCCC